This 96653-nucleotide long non-coding RNA is filed under the name Vitis vinifera (wine grape). RNAcentral's name for it is "long non-coding RNA (VVIN_LNC000787)". Lineage: Eukaryota; Viridiplantae; Streptophyta; Magnoliopsida; Vitales; Vitaceae. The record is from RNAcentral.
GUUAAACAAACAGAGAUAAAUCUUGGUGAAACUAGAAGUAAUACAACCUGUUCUGUGGAGAUAAAAGAAAGGGCAGCAGUACUGGUGGCUGCAGAAAUUGAGGCAUGUAGAGACGAUAGAACCCCCAAGAUACCUCUUCAUGAGAAAGUCCAGAAAGAGUGGGCUUGUGCUGUAUGCCAGUUCACAACCCAAACUGAAGCGACCUUCAAUUCCCACCUUCAAGGGAAGAGACAUCAGGCCAUUUCUGAGCAGCUGAGAGCCAAAAACCAGGCAACCAAAACCAAUUGUUCCCCAUCUGCUUCAAUGGCCAAGAAAUCUGAUCAGUCCACCAAAGAGGAGCAACCAAAGUGUACUUCCAACAAUCUGAAUUCCAAAAACAAUGGAAUCUCAGCUGCUUCAACAGUGAAGAAACUUGAUGAGACCAAAGAUGAUGAGCAACAAAAGUCUGCAUCUAGCAAUGGACCAAACCAGAAGAAUAACAAAAAGCAAGAGGUACAGACCAAUGAGCAAGGCCAUCAGAAGAACUCAAGGCAAACUGGUGAUGGAAUGAAAGAGUUGAGAUCAUGGUGCAAUAUCUGUAAUGUAAGCUGCACAAGGGAGCUUGACCUGGCCUCUCAUCUCAAUGGAAGGAGGCACUUUGAUAGGAUAAAGCAGCUGUCUGAAUUAUGGUGCAGUAACUGCAAUGUAAGGUGCAACAGUGAGGUUGAUAUGGCCUCUCACCGAAAUGGGAGGAGGCACUUGGAGCAGCUGAAGGAACAGUUAGGAUUAUGGUGCAGUAUCUGUAGUGUGAGUUGCAACAGCAAGGUGGACAUGGAUUCUCACCUAAAUGGGAAGAGUCACUCGGAUCAGAUCAAGGACCAGUUAAGAUUAUGGUGUGGGGCAUGUAAUGUAACCUGCAAGAGUGAGCGCAACAUGGCCUUUCAUCUGAAUGGGAGGAAGCACUUAGAGAAGAAGGGGAAUACCUGAUUUGCUCUUCAGAUUAUUGAUACUUACAAAUGGUUUUAGUUAGAAGCAUACAGACCAGUGGGUGGUGCUCACAGAUGCCUCUAUUUUGUUGUAUGAAGUAAAAACAGUAUUUCCAUGUCCAGAAAUCAACCACUUGUUUAGUGCAUGCAUGGCUGGUUCAAAAUUAAACCUAAUUGUGAAUGACUAGGAGCAGGGAGGGAAAAAUUGAAGUGAAGAAUGUAAGAUUAUGGCUUCAUUUUUAUUUUUUCCUCUUCUGAAAAUUGUAAGAUUGUGUUAGGAGGAGCUGGAAUGGGUUCAAAUCAGGAAUUAAGACCCAGUUCCAAGACAUGGAAAGUGUCUUUAGAUUAUGUUAAGUUAUUUCCAUUUUUUUUUCUUUAUUUACGGUAAGAGGGAGCAUAAGGAACGAAAAUGAAUAUUUUUUUUUUUUCGAAUAAAAAUGAAUUUGAUAAUUUCAAUUAUUGUGUUUGGAUGUAUUUCGGAAUGUAAGAUUAAAAUAAUUAUUUGUUUUCAUUUUAGUGUUUGAUAAUAAUGAAAGUAUGAAUUAAAAAAUAAAUUGAUAAUAAUAUUCUUAUAUUUAAUUUAAAAUAUAUAUAUAUUUUUUAUUUUAGAAGAAUAUGGGUUAAAAGUUUUUUUUUUUUUUUAAAUAAUAAGCUUAAGAAAAAUAAUUUUUACUCAAUAAAUAAAAUUAAUCAUACAAAGUCAUAAAAACCAAACCAAAAUAUAAGGGUAAAAUAAUAAUUUUAAACUAUUCAUUUAAGUUAUCCAAAUGCAUUCCGACUCUUCAUUCUCUUAUACCAAAUACCGUCUUUAAGUAUUUGUCAAACUUAUUUUUUUGCAAAAUAUCAAUAUUUUACUAAUAUUUUUAUCGAUUAUUUGCCGAUAUUUAUCGCCACGUCACCAAUUCUUUGAGUUUGACUUUCAAAAUUUUGAAAUGAUCUUUGAAGUCCAGUUCAGCCCAAAUCACUACACCCAUGAACUCAUCUACAAAAGGGAACGGCUGGGCCACCACACUAAUAUGGCCCAUACAUGGGACCUCGUAAAAGAAUACCCAUCUUCAAAAAUAGGGACCAUAUUAAAUUAUUAAUGUAGCUAUAGGAAGCAUUUGAGGACAAGGGUUAUGAUUUUUCCCUUUUCUUUUUCUCCUUAAUUUUCACAUCACCCAACAACACCACUCUUAAUUCACACAAAUUUGAAGGUUUGGAAUGAGACUUCUUCAUAAUUAUAUUGUAAUUAUGUUAUAAUAACCAUGUCGUUUUUGGAUUUAUUUAUUCAGUCCAUCUAAAUCUUUUGUUUAUUCGCGUCAAAACAAUAUAUUUAUAAUCGAAUCCAUUUAUGACAUGUUCAUCUUUUAUAAAUUCAUUAAUUUUAUAUAUUUAAAAUUUAUAAAAGUUAAAUAUAUUUUUUCAAUUAUGAAUAUCAUAUUACUAAAAUAUUAAAUAACUAAUUAACUUGAAAUGUUUUAUAUUUCAUUAAUUAUUUUAUAAUUACAAAAUUAAGUGAAAUAAUAAAUAGGUUAAAAUAUAUAUUUUAUUUUAGUUAAAAAUUAUAAAUUGUUAUUGAGACACAUAACUACUAAAAUUCUACCCAUUUGACUAUCAAACAAACAACUUAAGUUUUUAGUCAUAAUUUAAGCUUAUGAUAAACUCUAUUUACAAAAAUUAGAAACCAAAAUCAAAUUCUUCCUAGACUCAAAAAUAUAAAGACAAUCUUUUAACUUUAGAAGAGAACUAUCAUCUAAGAUAAGGGUAACACAUCCCAUUGCCUGUACAACAAUUCUUGCUUCAAAAGCUAAUGUUAGGUACAUAUCCCUAUCAUUCAACCUUUCCCUUAGCUAAAACCCCUAUAAAGAAUUAUAAACAUGAUCAAUGGCUCCAAAAUUUAUCCACCAAGAGUUAGUGGAAUCUAAUACUAAACAUGAUUCAACUAAAAGAGAAUGAUGCAUACCUGACUGUCUCUUUAAGAACUAAGGGCAUUCCUUUUUCUAAUGGCCUUUUUUACCACAAAGGAAACAUUUGUCAUGACCCUUACUCUUCUUCUUCUUCUCUUGCCCUUGAACUUUCCCUUCUGUUUGGUGAAUUCUAUAAUGUUCUUAUUUUGGUUAGAAGAACCUAAAGAACACUUAACUGCCAUAUAAAUACCUCUCUGAUCCUUGAGAAUUCCCUCAAUCAUUUUGUGUUCUCUCAUCAGUUCGGUUAUAGUUUAAGAAAAAAAUUGUUUUUUUUAUGUGACUAAACUUGGAAUGAAUGUCCAAGUUGCAUACAUACUCGGGUUGAGAUCAAGUCAUAAUGUAGUUUAAGAAAAAUAUUUUUUAUUUUUUAUUUUUAUUUUUUAUCUGAUUGAACUUGGAAUGAAUUUCUAAGCUACUUACGUAUCCAGGAUGGGAUCAAGUUCUAACAUAGUCACAAUGCAGUUCAAGAAUUAUUUUUUUUUCUUUUUUUGUGCUCCAACUUUUGCCAAGACUAAAGAUCUUAAUUUUGCGAGCAUGUCCUAACUUUUGCCUAGGUCGCCUUUCCAAGUUUUCAAUUUAGCAAACUAGGUUUUUUUUUUUCUUUUUAGUUCUCUAACUUUUGCCAAGACUAAAGAUUUUAAUCUUGUAAGCAUGUCAUAACUUUUACAUAAGUCGAAUUUUUAGGUUUUCAUAGUGCUGGAUUUUUUUUUUGUUUUUUGUUUUUUUUUUGUGUCGUAGUCAAUUUAAGCUCAUAUGGGUUGGAAGCGAUGUGUAGUUUGUUGGGAUUGAGCCCUUAAAAGCAAGACAUGAUGUAAUAAAGUUAAACUUAACUAUCCCCUUACUAUCCUUUUGGUGUAUCAACAUUGAUUUAAACAUUCAACCCAUAUCUCUUACAUUGUAUAUGAUUUAGAAGCAUUAGGAGUUGUACAGAAGAUACAAGUUAUGUGUUCUUUGUAAGUAGGUGAGUUAUCCAUAGUCAUUUCAUGGAUUUGGGCAAUCUAGUAGAGACUAUAGUGCACCACCUCCUAAUUGAAGGGAUGACUUGUCUUGGCCGUUGGGAUGAGUUUCCUAUGGUGAGCGUACUAGUGUAUAUGAUGCACAUUGGAUAGGACCUAUGACAAAUCAUGAUGCAAGGCUAUCAAUUGUCAUGAUUCACCAAGUUACUAUACUACAUGGACUCUCAACCUUGAGAGGACAUUGAACCUGUGUCAAAAUCAAUAGAAAGUUUUGACCUAUGGGCGAGACCCUAAAGUAGUCAUAUAUCCUUAUGAAUUAGGUCAUUGUUGAUGGAGGCUAGUGAUAAUAGGCAUUCUCAAUAGAGGCACCAUGAUAUGUCAUGCGAUUGAGAUGGUGUGUCCCUUUGGGUGAUCCAAGGAACAUGUGAUCAUGAAAUUUGUGGCCACAGUAAUUCCUUUAGUGGAAUUUGACAUAUGCUCAAGGAUUUGAGAGAUAAUAUUGAUAGGUGAUAACACUAUCUUGUUAGAUUAUAGACACCAGUUUCAUGGGGAAUCUGCAUGUAGUGGAUAGUAGGUCAUGAAUGCGAGCUUUGUCUCGUUGUUAUUUACAUAAGGUACUGGAGUGUAGUUGAUUCUCUUUAGUAGAAUGUUAAAUCAACUUCAAAAUUGGAUUAUGAGGGAGCCAGUACUCCUAUGGGUCUCAAUGGUCCCCACUCUAAGCUUAUAUACCAUGAUGACAUAAUUUAUGAGGGUUGGAUUGGCUUUAGGUUCAUUCUUAUGCAUAAGGGCAUUUUGGUAAUUACUCAAGGUUGCAUAGGGGAUAAUAAAUAAGGUCUCUAGAUUGGACUAAUUGAUUAAUUAGAUGGCCUUAUGUGGUUAAUUAAUCAAUUAAGACAUGUUAGGGCUAGAUUAAGUGACUCAAGCCUUGAUGGGUUCAAGUCACUUAAGCCUAGUGGGUAACCGUAUAAAUACCCCCUUAUGGGUUAGGGUUUUCUAAUGACUUUUAGUUAGUCAUCUUCCACUUUUAGAAAAAUAGAGAGAGUCAAAGCUUCCUCCUUUCCACUGCCCACACUUUGGAAUGCCAAGAUCGUGGAUCGAGUCAUCGAACGAAAGAUCUUGGGUGUAUGAGACCUUCGAACUCUUUAGGCUUCUUCUUCGUUGGAUGGAUUUUGAUCUAGGAACAUCUAGAUCACAUGUAUGUGUUAUAAAAUUUGGUUAAUUCAACCUAAGGUAAUCAUCCUAGAGAAGGGGCGAAUAGGGUGAUGAUCUUUUUUUGAAAAUUUAAAUUAUGUGAAUGCAAGAGACAAUUAUAUGCAAAAUAUAUAGCAAAACCAUAUAAAAACAAUUGCAUAUAAAGUAAAAGGGUAAGGAAGAGAGAAAAUAAACACAAGAUUUUUAUAGCGAUUCAGUGCAACCCGACCUUCAUCCAUUCUCCUCUAGCUUCAAUCCCAAACUUGAGGUUCCACUAAUUUAAGGCUUCCAACCCAAGCCUUCAAGCAAUACAAUCGGAUUAUGGUUCCAAUCAAACCUCUUGAAAUUUUAGUUCUAAGCACAUUUUACAAUCUUCAAGAGAUACCUCACUCUUAAACAACUCCUUAAGUGAUACCCCACACUUGAGAAUCCCUAAGUGAUACCUCACACUUAGAUUUUUCAUCUCAAAGAUUUAUAAAUGAAGAUAGGAAAUUGUUAGCCCAAGGGCUCUCCUAAUCGGGUUUUGAUGAUAAAAAAUCAUGGUUAAAUGACUAAUUGGUUUAAUGGUUAAGAAUCUCAGGCAUAAACUUGAAAAUUCAUCAAAAGACCAAAUGGAUACAAGAUCGAGACGUUUGGAAGACUUGUGAUCAUAGGAAACUAAUGUAAGAUGAAUGCAUGAGUACACUUAGGAUUUUCAUACCGUUUCAUGCAAUUUAGAAAACUCGGUUUAUUCUUUAAAACUUCAAUUUCAUUAAAACUUGAGUUUUAACAAAUGUACCUUAGGCAAAAUGUUUUAAAAUUGGCAUAAUAAUUCACCUAAAAACCUUGCUUAAGUGUUAGAAAAGAAAGGAAUUGAAAAAUAUAGGUUUUCGGGGCCAAAAGGCUCAACCGAUCGAGGCUAUGACCAACCUGCUCAACCGGUUGGGGAAUCGGUCGACCGGUUGCCCCUGUCCGGUCGAGGUUCGAUAGAGGGAUGCACAAAAUUUUCUUUCUCUCCCAGUAGCCUUCUCUUCUCGGUCGAGGUCUGGUUGAGGACCGAUCAAGGUUCGAUCGAGGCAACGGUAACCUGUCAAGCAUUAAAUGUUCCAACGGCUAGUGAACCGGUCAACCCCUAGCUCGACCAGUUGAGGUUACCUUUUGCUGUUUUUGGCUCCCGAGCUUAGAAACCUAUAAAUUGAGAGCUCCACUUUAUUUAUUGACGAGAGAACACUUGCAAUCAAUUGUCUACCUACCUGUUCUUGAUCAAAAAACUCUCAUUUCUUUCUUUGUGCAUUAAAUCAUCACUUGCAUAUCCUUUAGUGCACUCUUAUGUGUCAUCCUAGCUUUGUCUUAUAUUUGAGCUAUCCUUAAGCUAGGUUGAGGGAUUCAUUCUUGUAAAAACUGAGUGUCAAAGCCUUCAAGAGGUUUAAAUCUUGAAGAGAUUGUGUAAGAGCCCAUUGGAGCCAGAAUCCAAGUGUAAGAAGAUUGGAAGCUUGGUUGAAGCUUCAAGUUAGUGGAACCCUCACUCGGUUAAAAGAUUGAGGAGAGUGGAUGUAGGGAAGGAAGUGUCGAACCACUAUAAAACCCAAGUUUGAAUUCUCUAACUCUAUCUCUUUAUUUUGCUUAUAUUGUGCUUGAACUCGUUGUGAUUGAAAAGAAUUUAAAAAACCCAAUUCAUCUCCCUCCCCCCUUUUAGGUGUUUUUCUUAAUUAAGCAUAGCAUUUAUUUUCUCAAUUGGUAUCAGAACUAGACCUCUUGUUUUUUUUUUUUUUUUAAAAAAAAAAAUUAAUCGUCUAAGAGGAUAUGACUAUUGCAUCAAGCUCAUCUCAAGCUAAAAUUUUUUCAAAACAUAGAGCUUCAUUCUUUACGGGAUCCGACUAUCCCUAUUGGAAAACUAGAAUGACUUGGUACUUACAAUCUACUGAUUUAGAUGUAUGAGACGUCAUUGAAGAUGGCCUAACUUUUCCCACUAAACUAGUUGAUGGAGUUUUGGUUCCAAAACCCAAGCAAGAAUGGAAUGAGCUUGAUAGAAAAAACUUUCAAUUAAAUGCUAAAGUCGUUUUUACUUUGCAAUGUGCUAUGGAUAGAAAUGAAUAUAAUAGAAUAUGUCAAUGCAAAUCGGCUAAAGAAAUUUAGAGGUUGCUUGAAAUAACUCAUGAAGGAACUAAUCAAGUGAAAGAGUCAAAAAUUAAUUUACUUGUUCAUAACUAUGAAUUGUUUUCAAUGAAAAAAAAUGAUACUAUUGUUGAGAUGAUUACUAGGUUCACCGACAUUGUCAAUGGUCUUGAAGCUUUGGGAAAAACCUACAAGGAAUCCGAGAAGGUGAUGAAGAUAUUGAGGUCUUUCCCAUCAAAGUGGCAUACCAAGGUCACUGCAAUUCAAGGAGCAAAAGACUUGACUAAGCUACCUAUGGAAGAGCUCAUAGGGUCAUUAAUGACAUAUGAGAUCAAUUUGACAAAGAAGCUACAAGAGGGUAAAGACAAAAAGAAGAAGAACAUAACCCUCAAAGCUAUAACCAAGGAAGAAGAAGAUGUUGAAGAAGAAAAACCAAGUGAUGAAGAUGAUGAUUUAGCCCUCAUCACAAGAAAGCUCAACAAAUACAUGAGAGGUGAAAGGUUUAGAGGAAGAAAGUUCACCUCUAGAAGAGAUCCUUCUAAAAAGGAAUCUUCAUCCCAUGGUGACAAGGAGAAAUGAGAAGAUAAAAGAGAUUUGAUAUGCUUCAAAUGCAAAAAACUGGGACACAUUAAAUAUGAUUGUCCACUCUACAAGAGUGAAGCCAAGAGAAGAAUGAAGAAGGCAAUGAUGGCCACUUGGAGCGAAAGUGAAGAAUCCUCCGAAGAAAAAAAGGAGAAGGAAGUAACAAACAUGUGCUUCAUGGCAAUAGAUGAUCUUGAUGAGGUAAACUCUAACUUUAGUGAUGAAGAUAUGUAUGAUGUUUUUGAAGAAUUAUAUGAGGAUUUUGAAAAACUUAGUUUGAAAAAUAAUUCUCUUAAAAAUAAAAUUCAAGAACUUGAAAAAGAACUUGAAGAAGUAAAAGAAAAAGUUUCAAUUGUUGAAAUAUCUAAAACUCAUCUUGAAAAAGAAAAUAAGAUUUUGAGAAGUGAAAAUGAGAUUUUGAAAAAGAAAAAUGAAUGGUUGACCUCCUCUCUUUCAAUUUUCUCUUGUGGAAAAAAAUAUUUUGAAAUGAUCUUAGUUAGCCAAAAAUGUAUUUUUGACAAACAAGGGUUAGGAUUCAAAUCUUCAAAAAAUCAAAAGUAUUUUAAAAACUACUUUGUAAAAGAAUCCGCAAGUGUAAGUCAUUCUACCACUUGCAACUUUUGUAGAAGAGGAGGAGACAUUAGUAGUACAUGUCUCUUAAGAAAUGGUUCUCAAAAGAAUUCAAAUGCUAAAGCUAAAAAGGUUUGGGUUGAGAAAUCCAAAGUCACUAACCCUCAAGGACCCAAAAAGAUAUUGGUACCUAAAUCAACUUAAAUUUUAUUUUGUAGGGUUCAAAGAAGGAUAAGUGGUUCUUGGAUAGUGGAUGCUCAAGACACAUGACCGGGGAUGAAUCCAAGUUUGUUUUCCUUACAAAGAGAAAGGGAGGAUAGGUUACCUUUGGAGACAAUGCAAAAGGAAGGAUCAUUGGUCAAGGCAACAUUGGUAAUGACACAUCCUCUCUUAUUGAAAGUGUUUUAUUAGUGGAUGGUUUAAAACAUAAUCUUUUGAACAUAAUUUAACUUUGUGACAAAGGUUUUAAAGUGAUUUUUGAAGCAUUUCAUUGCAUUAUCAAAGAUAUUCAAAAUGAUAAAACCAUCUUCAUGGGCCAUAGAUGUGAUAAUUUUUAUGCUAUAAAUAUUUCAAAUAUGAUGGCCAUGGUAAAUGUUUUUCAAGCAUGCAUGAUCAAAGUUGGUUGUAGCAUAGGAGGUUGGGACAUGCUAACAUGGACCUCAUUUCCCAACUCAACAAAGAAGCACUUGUUAGAGGCCUUCCCAAAAGAAAUUUUCAAAAAGACAAAGUUUGUGAAGCUUGUCAAAUGAGAAAGCAAAUCAAAAACUCUUUUAAAAACAAAAAUUUCAUUUCAAUAACUAGGCCUGCAUAUGGAUUUAUUUGGUCCCUCUAGGACACCAAACCUUGGAGGAAAAUCUUAUGCAUUUGUUAUUGUGGAUGACUUCUCUAGAUACACUUGGGUCUUAUUUUUAAGUCAAAAGAAUGAAGUCUUUUUUGAGUUUUCAAAGUUUUGCAACAAGGUUCAAAAUGAAAAAGGUUUUACAAUUUCUUGUAUAAGAAGUGAUCAUGGAGGAGAGUUUGAAAAUAUUGAUUUUGAAGACUAUUGCAAUGAGCAUGGUAUUAACCACAAAUUUUUGGCUCCUAGAACUCCUCAACAAAAUGGGGUAGUUGAAAGGAAAAAUAGAACUCUUCAAGAAAUGGCUAGAACCAUGCUAAAUGAAAACAAUUUACCAAAAUACUUUUGGGCCGAAGCAAUUAACACUUCUUGUUAUGUUUUAAAUAGAAUUUUAUUGAGGCCUAUUCUUAAAAAAACUCCCUAUAAGCUUCGGAAAAACAAGAAACCCAACAUUAGCUAUUUCAAAGUCUUUGGGUGCAAAUGCUUUAUAUUAAAAACCAAAGACAAUCUUGAAAAUUUUGAUGCAAAAUCGGAUGUUGGAAUUUUUCUUGGUUACUCAACUUUAAGUAAAGCCUUUAGAGUUUUUAACAAAAGAACCAUGGUUGUUGAGGAGUCCAUCCAUGUUAUUUUUUAUGAAUCUGACAAUUCUCUCCAAGAAAGAGAGAGCUUUGAUGAUGAUUUAGGCUUGGAGACCUCCAUGGGAAAAUUACAAAUUGAAGAUAGAAGGCAACAAGAAGAAGUUGUAGAGGAUCCCAAGAAAGAAGAAUCACCUUUGGCACUACCUCCUCCUCAACAAGUGCAAAGUGAAUCAAGCUAAAACCUUCCUAAAGAUUAGAAGUUUGUCAUCAACCACCCACAAAAUCAAAUUAUAGGUAAUCCAUCUAGUGGGGUAAGAACUAGAUCAUCUCUUAGAAACAUUUGCAAUAAUCUUGCUUUUAUCUCUCAAAUUGAACCUAAAAAUAUAAAUGAUACUCUAGUUGACGAAAAUUGGAUGAUUGCUAUGCAAGAAGAGUUAAAUCAAUUUGAAAGAAGUGAAGUAUGGGAAUUAGUGCCAAGACCUCAAAAUCAAAGUGUUAUUGGAACUAGAUGGGUCUUUAGAAAUAAAAUGGAUGAAAAUGGCAUAAUUAUAAGGAAUAAAGUAAGAUUGGUAGCCCAAGGUUUUAAUCAAGAAGAAGGGAUAGAUUAUGAAGAAACCUUUGCUCUCGUAGCUAGAUUGGAAGCCAUUAGGAUGCUACUUGCCUUUGCACGUUUUAAAGACUUUCUUUUAUAUCAAAUGGAUGUGAAAAGUGCUUUCUUAAAUGGCUUUAUAAAUGAAGAGGUAUAUGUUGAACAACCACCCGGUUUUCAAAGUUUUAACUUUCCUAAUCAUGUUUUUAAACUUAAAAAUGCACUUUAUGGUUUGAAACAAGCACUUAGAGCAUGGUAUGAAAGAUUGAGUAAAUUUCUUUUGAAAAAGGGUUUUAAAAUGGGAAAAAUUGACACAACUCUUUUCAUAAAAAUAAAGAAAAUGACAUGCUCUUAGUGCAAAUAUAUGUUGAUGAUAUCAUUUUUGGAGCUACUAAUGUCUCUCUUUGUGAAGAAUUUUCUAAAUGCAUGCAUAGUGAGUUCGAAAUGAGCAUGAUGAGAAAACUUAACUUCUUCCUUGGACUUCAAAUCAAGCAACUAAAGGAAGGAACCUUCAUCAAUCAAGCAAAGUAUAUAAGAGAUCUCCUCAAAAGGUUCAAUAUGGAGGAAGCGAAAACAAUGAAGACUCCAAUGAGUUCAUCCAUCAAGCUUGACAAGGAUGAGAAAGGUAAGUCCGUUAACUCAACUAUGUAUAAAGGCAUGAUAGGUUUUUUGCUAUAUUUGACCGCUAGUAGACCUGACAUCAUGUAUAGUGUAUGCUCGUGCGCUAGAUUUCAAUCUUGUCCUAAAGAAUCUCACUUAAGUGCCGUAAAAUGAAUUCUUAGAUAUUUAAAAGAGACAAUGGACAUAGGCCUAUGGUAUCCUAAGAGUGAUAACUUUGAAUUAAUUGGAUUCUUAGAUGCCAACUUUGCCAAUUGUAAAGUUGAAAGGAAAAGCACUAGUGGCACUUGUCAUUUCCUAGGACACUCACUUGUUUCAUGGCAUAGUAAUAAGCAAAAUUCGGUAGCCUUGUCAAAGGCGGAAGCAGAAUACAUAGCAGCUGGUUUAUGUUGUGCACAAAUCCUUUGGAUGAAACAAACACUUAGUGAUUUCAAUUUGAUUUUUGAGCAUGUUCCUAUUAAACGUGAUAACAUUAGUGCCAUAAAUAUUUCAAAAAAUUUGAUGCAACACUCUAGGACUAAGCAUAUAGAGAUUAGACACCAUUUUCUUAGAAAUCAUUUACAAAAAGGUGACAUUACACUUGAAUUUGUAAGCACAAAAGAUCAACUUGCCGAUAUUUUUACAAAACCUCUAAGUGAAGAGCAAUUUUUUUAUAUUAGAAGACAACUAGGGGUGAUUUCUUUAUAAUCAAAUGAUUACUUGAUGAAUUCUUGAUUGAAUAUACCUUAUGAUUGCGUGAAUUUCACAUCAUAUGCAUCAUAUAGAAAUAAUCUUAGGAAAAAGGUCAAAUUUUGACCAAAAAUCAAAAUUCCCUUGGCAUUGGAUAUCAAAAAUUGGGGAUUUCAACUGAAAAGGGCAAGGGAAGGAUCACGAGACAAGCAAAAGCCAAAAAAUUAGAGCGUUGACCAUUGACCAUUGACCAUUGACCAAGCGGUUCGUCGGGGCUGGGAAUUUAAAGAGACCCCCGCGCUUUAUUUUUUUCACUAUUCCCCUCAAUUCCUUGAAAACUCUUCACAUACCUGCUUCCAGAGACCACUUUGGGUUGAAUCUUGGACCAUUUGAAGGGCUUGGAGUUGUUUUUGGGACGUUUUUAAGACUAGGGUUUCAAUCUGAAACCUAAGGUUUCCAUUUUUAGGAGCAAUUCCUCUCAGACCACGUGCAUCAGCCAGGCUCAACUCCUUCUCCUUGCGCUUAGGGCUUCCGGUUGGAUUUCAUUCUCUCUUGUUUGGUUUCAUUCUCUCUUCAAACUUCUUUUUCUUCAUUUUCCGUUCUUUGGAUGGCGCCUAGGAGAGAGACAACUACCUCUAGGGCUCAGGGCAAGCGCCCUGCUGAGCCAUCUCAACCUGAGCAGAUGGAGGCUCACCGAAAGGCGAGGUAUGACACGACCCUCUGUGGACCCGCAUUUUUCACGUGCGUCCCCACUCGAUCGGCGAGACUCGCUUUUUAUUUGUGAAAAAUUGAUCUUUAAAAAAAAAAAAGUUGGAGUCGCCACCUAUUUUAUUUUUAUUUUGAAGGGAAAAUAAAACAAGAAAGAAAAACCCUAAAAAGUGACUCCAUGGUUUUGGAAAAAGCAUGUCUUUGAGAAACCCGAGUCUAAGUCCGGGGAUCAGGUUACUUAUUGGGAAGGUACCUCUAGGAGGUAGCACCCCUCUAAGCCCUAAAAAGGUCUCUACUGACUAAGUUAAGGGAAGCGUGGCAAUUAAAUGGUUGAUCAUGGAUACCUAAGUAGGCUAGGUGAUUCCAAAAACAUAACAUAUCAAACAAGAUCAAAUCACAAUUAAGGAGAGUUAAAAAUGCGUACCUGGACGGCUUCCCAAACGCUAUCAUAAAACAUAAGAGAUUAGUUUGGAGAUACAUCACACAACAUUUGUUUUACUCAAGCAAAUCAGGCAUAUAUCAAGACAUUCAAGAAUCACGUCAAAUAUGGAUAUGGUCAUCAAUGACAUACAAGUCCAUAGAAUUCUCGAAAAAAGGAUGAAAAUGAGCGUACCUGGAUAGCAAGCUAGAGCGCCUUUAUGGGAAACAAGGUUAACCCAAUAACAAAUUCAAGCAUAUCUCCAAGAAGAAUCAAAAUCAAUUGAAUACCAAAAAAUCAUCUUUAAAAUCAAUAUUAGUGAAGAUAUUAGGAAUGUAGGACCCCCCACCAAAGUCCAUAUUACUUUUGCACGAAUUGAUUCAAUGAAUUCCAUUAUUUGGAAUCGUGAAGCUUAUUCAUGCUUGUCAAAAAUCGAGAAAAUCAUAAAAUAGUUGAAGAUGAUGAAAAUGCAUGCCGGAAGGGAAAAUGGCAGCAAAUAGUAUGUUAAAAUUUGGAUUUUAUGCCUAGAGACUUCUCAGGAAUUUUAAAUAAAACUAGAAUUAUUUUUUACGGGAAAAGAUUUUGAAAUCCAGAUUUAAAAUGUGUAAGAUAACAAAAAGAAUAAGGAGAAACAUUAGGAGUAUGGUGUGUGGCAAGGUGACCACUAUAUGAGUGAGGUCUGGAGGUGCACUUGAGACUAAAUGGUUGAAACAGAUUGCAUAGGGAGCAUUCUGUACACCACUAGUUGUCUAGAAAGAAACUGAAUGUGUUCGUUUCCGAGCCCAUGUUCACCGGAGUUUAGGGUGCCACCUCAUUUAAAAAAAAGGGCUUCAAUACAACUCUAGUUUCUCAAGAUCACAAUCUGAAUUAUCAACAGAAGCUUCUGGUGAAGACAUAAUGCUCAAUUUCAGAUUAAAUUUCCUGUUCUAUAACUCGUUUUCUCUGAAUUUUCCUUUAAUGUCUGUGCUUUCUGAUCAUAUAAGUUGCCCGUCUGGUUCCUUGUUUGAGACUCUGCCGAACCUGGAAUAAUGCUUCUAGGUCUAGCUGAGGGGACCUACACCCCUUUUCAUGGAACCUGAGGCAUGCGUUAAUUCGAAACUCUAUUACUUUGCCUUCCAUUGCUUUAAGUCUUUUAGCCAUCUCAGCCACAAAUCUGGAGAUUCAUUUAUCUUUCUUUAAUAUUCAAGCCAAAUGUCAAUCCAGUCCGCUUAAACCCCGAUUUGAAUGAUUUUGAACCCUCUUUUUGCGCUCUUGAUGUUUUUCAUUUCAACUACAAUGACAAACCACCCUUCGAAAAAAGAAGAAAUCUGGACCAAAUCCUAAACUUUUAAUUCACAACUUCUUGAGCCUGACUCUGAGUCGACACAAUUGAAUCACCUUGGAUAAGAGUGCUUCUAAAAAUCCUCCAGAAUGUAGGCACAAGUGCAGCGUUCGUUAAUAAUGUCCAUGGCAUGUCACAAAGGAAAGCUUCUUUUUUUAUAAUCAUCAACGCAAAUUGACUCUUAAUGGACCCCAUUGCCAGCGUCACAUCAAAGACUGGACAGAUAGGGAGAUUCACAAUUUCGAUAGCUAUCUUUGCAUUAUUUGGGCAGGGCAACCAUGUUAUGGAUAUAUAGCUCGAAGGUGACUUGCGUUUUGUUCUGUAUCAUCAGUAGCAGCCUCAAACCCGCCAUAGGUUUGAGUGGUAUUAAAAGACUCAACAUGAUCAGCUGUAGGUGAUCGAGCAGCCAAUUCAUCAUUGAGCAAAUCAAUAAAAGCUUGGAUAUCGUUGCCGAGUGGCCUAAAAUCAUUAGAUAAAUCAUUAAAGUCAUUAAGUAUAUUACUGAUCUCCAUGAAAACCCUCCUCCUUGCUUCUGUAGAGCGAACACAAGCUGCCACUAAAAUUGGUUAGCCCGGAUUGCUAAUUUAUGCAUCCAAUCACCAUCGAUUUCUCUUGUCCUUUUUGGAACUUCUGGAAUAUGGAUGAAACCUGUGAAGAAUGUGGUGGAAUUGCGGUCUGCAAGCACGAAGUUUCCAGUUACUUGAAAUGCUUCGAAAUCAUGGUUCCAGUUUACAUCUACAGGCAUUGGCUCAAGUAAGUUCGUAUCAGCUUGGGUGGCUUUCGAUUCCAAAAGCUCUAACAACAACAUGAUUCUCAAAUAUCCGAACAGCAAUGUCCAAAAUUGAAUCAAGAAAAUUCUUUAGCAGCAGUAUGUGUUGUCCCUGCUGGAGCCAUCACAGGAGCAACUAAGCUAACUGCCAAAAAGGUUCUAGCCAGUGAGAUCCCAUUCUGACGUUUCGGUUUUGGUGACUGAUAGCUUUCUAAUUGUCCCUGCAAAUAAUGUAAACCAAUAGUUCCAUUGAAUGGAUUGUCAUCCAGAGCAAGGAUCCGAAUACUUGUAAGGCCAUCAACGAAAUCAGCGAGGGUGGUGUCGACUUCGUUGUAAUCGAAGAAGGCGAGUUGCAAUUCAGACAAUCUGCGAGAAGAAGGCAAUUUUCCAUUGAAGUGGUUCAUCUGAAACCCCAAAUUGCAGAGCAUUGAAAGCUGGUUGAAGUUUUGAGGGAGAGGUCCCUUUAAUCCCAAUCCCUUAACUUGAAUCUGUGUAACUCUGUCACCACUAUAAAAUACACGAGGCCACAAAUUUGACUCCACCCGUUGGCUCCUUUCCUUCAUUCAUUCGCUUUAACAAGUCACAUUUAAUUCCAAAGAAUAUUAUAUAAUCUUCAAGUAUGUUCAAAUCAGAGGGCUCUAGUCCGUUAACCUUUACACUCUCUAGCAGGUUCUGUUCUUGUCUCUUCCUAUUAUACAGAAGUUCAAGCAAGUUUCAUAAAGCCUGAAUUUCUACACGUAGCCACUACUGGGGUCAGGUUUAUCCAAGUGUGCUGCUCCAACAGAAUUAUCGAUGUGUCAGUUUCUCUAAAAAUCACCUUGUGAAUCAAUCCACAAUACCGAGGCAUCCCAUCAUCAGAACUUCCUAAGCUUUCAGCAAGUAGGCAAGCAUUUAUGCUUGAGUCAACUCUACCGAUGACAACAAACCCAUCCAAAUCAAACUUCAUAGCUGUUUCUUCUUUUCCAUUAAUAUCAACUGGUAUCCUUUCUAAAAGAAUGCUUUUCUUAUGACGACAUGACAGUAAAACCCUUUUGCGAGAAUGGCUCAGAGUUUUGAUCAUCAUCUGAUUCUAUUGUAUUACUGGAAUGAUUGCUUUGGUAAAUGGAAUUCAACAGAAUCCACACAUUCAUGACUCUAAAAUUCAGCUUACUAGCAACCAGAUGGAACACACAUUUUCUGGUUCAGGCAUUCGUUUCUGGUCAGAUUCAUGGUAUCUUAGCGGUGCAACAGACGAUGCAGCAACCUCUUCUAGAGUGCCUUUUAUGAGCCUCAAGAGCAAAGGCCAAUGAUAGAUGAAGCGGUCCCUCUGCACUACUUGGGCUUCUGAUUCAGAAGUUAUCAUGAAGCCAACGAACAAGCAGAGUGAACGCAUUUGCAGUCAACCUUAAAAUUUCUAAUAUUGUCAGCAGGCCUGAUGGUAAAAAAACGAAAGUAGGGGAGCCUUAUUCAAGAGGAUCAUUGCGAACACUGUCACGUGUUAUUGGUGAGCUUGUUGGCAUCUUGUUUUGGGCAGAAUAAUGAGAUCCUUCAGUUAAUUAGAGAUCCAUAUCAACUAAACACCAGAAUCAUGGAUUUCCCAUGCUUUCUACUGGACAACGAUUGUCAGUUCUUUCUCUUGUUCACUUCUACUGGCAGUGGCUUGACUCUCCAACAAAACCCCUGAUGCACCCUGUAGCUCCUCAUUUAAUUCUGGAUUCUUAUCAGCAUCGCUUUCUUCUCCCUUUUGAGACUCUUGGAGUAUGAAAAAGAAAACUUGUGAAGAAUAAGGUGGAAUAUCCCAGCAAUGCAGUAUGGUAGGACCCAUUUGAGGGGGAACCCUGCAUUCAUCACUCUCACCUCCAGUAGCAUUAGAUGCUUGCUGGACCCAAUUCAGCCAGUCUCUGCAUAUUGACUCUCAAUAUAAACGUUUAGAAAUAACAAUGACUUCAUUUCUACUGCCUUGUUUAGACCUUCCUUGAUCAAUGUCUACCUUCAUUUCUCACAAAUUCUGGUUCUACUAUUAAAGUUCUGCCCCCAGUCCGUUUUGCAAAGCAUAAGCUAAUUUUAUAUUUGUAUAAUUCCAUCUUAACACACAAGUCCGUCGUAGCCUUUCCUGAGAAGUUAGAGAAGUUGCUUUUCUGAUAUAAAAAAGCCUUUCAGAACCAUGCUGAAGCUCUGAAUGUUGAUAGUUUUCCAUUGCAACUGAUAUGAGCUCCUCAUCGGUAGUGUCACAAGAAUGAUUCCAUGAGAAGUUUCUUGUUGCAUCACCUUUUUUAUGUAUUCCAACCCCAACUGUUGAGUUUCUUGAAAUUGAAACUACGGAACUUAGUUAUUUUGAAUUGUUUGCAUCUGUAGUGAUAAAUCACUGGAAGAGACAAUCAUAAUUUAGGCACUUGAUUUCCGUUUCGGUCGAACUAACAGCUUCGUAACUGUUAAUCUCAAGGUCAGAUUCAUGCUCUUGUUUCUCAAUUUCCUCUUCCCAUGAGAAUUUUUUUCAUAACAAUCGAAUGAAUUCUUAUAACUCCCAAAAGUUUCUAGCUUUUGCUGAUCAUGGAGGUGCCUCACAAUACUUGUCAUUAUACUCACUUUGGAAUUUUUCUGGUCCAUGUUCACUUUGAAUGAAUGUAUCCCUAAAGGGGGUAUUCAAUGACUGCCCAUAAUGAGUUACAAGUUCCCCAAAAUAGAAUAUAAUGAUCGUCGGCCUUACAGUACUGCUGUUUUAAAAUUUUCUGCUCGCUGAACAGUCAUAGUUCAAACCAUCAAUAUCAAAAGGCUUUCCCAGGCACUCAUCUUCAGAACCAUAAGGCCAGCAAGUCUGCAACCGUUUGAGUUGGGUAAAAAAGAAAGUCCUAAGCAGUGGAAGUGCACAGCAUGAUGCUGUCAAGUUUCAAUAACUUAAAUAUUGGCCAACUUAAGCCAGACCAUAUUCCUCAAAAAUCCAUUCUUCCUCUGCUCAUGUAAACUUGUAAUGCUGUCAGAAAUCCUGUCUUCAGAAUAGCAACCCUGACAAUUGAGUAUGGAAAGCAGAAUACCCAUGUGCUUCCAACUAAGCUUUUUACAACCAUCCUCAUAAACUGAGGCGUGCCAUUCUAAAGAAAAGGCAGAGUCUUUUAGAAAUCACAAUACUUCUGAAGCAGCUUGAAUUAGCAUAUUGCAGUAAUUGGAAGUCGGAUUGACUGAAACAGGGGCUCGAACGCAUCCAUCUGUAAAUCUUACAGACCGACCACCCUCAGAGAAAAGGUCUCCAAAAAAAAGGCUUCAGCUUCAUGACAAACAGCAUUCUCUGUUUCAGAGUUGCAACUGCCCCUGUUAUACUACUCCUGUGCACUUCAGCAUUUAUUCUUUAGUUAUACCGUCCCUUUAGAUAGCAUCUAUCCCACACCGUGAAGCAAGCAAGGUUCACUAUAAUAGGAUCUAGUAGCAGCAACAAACGGGUGAUCCUGGAGAUAUUUUAAACUCAACUUCAUCAACAUCUUCAGCGUGCACUUCUGUUGGAACACAAGCGAUAGUAGCAGUGAAAAAAAAAGUGUUGUACUGAUCCCGUUAGGAUUGCAGCCCAGAAUACCACGAACAGAGAGCCCCAAAAAUUGAAGCAACUCUGCAUCCAACUAAAUCACAUCUAGAACCCGGUUUAACGACUUUCUUGUCUUGAAGAGGAAAUACCCAAUCUGACUCAACAAUCUGUUAUCAUGUGCCAAACCCCACAAACAGCCCACAUUCUACGCAGCCUUUAUAAAGUCUCUACCUUUCAUGAAAUACUCAUGCCAUCAUUGUCUCCAUAGCCCAGAACACCAAAGUAAAGAAGAGGAAGAAGCGUAGAUAUAGAAGCACAAAAAAAGAAACCGAACAAAGAAAGAAAAAAAAAAAAAAAAAACGAAAACAGGGGAAUGGAAGGCAAUGGGUGGGAAAUCUGAAUAAGUCACAUUUCAUUAUUUUCAAAAGGGCUUUGAAGAAUCUGAACACAUUAGGACAAGCUUAGUUAAAAUUAUAUCAGGAUUCCACAAACAUUAAAAUUCAAACAUAAGUCUCUGUUUCAGCUAUUUAUAAAAAGAAUCAAAGAAAUCAAGAACACAAUCAUAAUAGAGCAAGUUUGAAGGAAAUUUCGAUUCAACAACGCAAAUAAAUGGCCCUCAAUGUCCACUCCAAUCAGCAAGAACAACUUCCCGAAAACAGCCAGAGAAUCUCAAGUGAAUGUAAACGGGAAUACCAAAAUAAUAAAAAAAAUAACAGGAAGCGUACCUGGCAGAACCUUGGCUGCAAUCUCCCUCUCUUUCUGCUCUUCUCUCCGCACUUUUUCUUCAAGAUCUCUCUUUUUCUCCUUUUUCUCCUUUCUUUCUUUUCUUUCCUUCUUCCUUUUCUUUCCUUCUCCCUCUCAAGCCCAAAAAUCCUAUCUCUCCCUCCGGAUCUCUCCAAAAAAAAAUCCCCAUGCGUGCUGCCAGUCCCACUUUUCAAAAAGAAAACAUCUUGCUGAAAAGGAAAAUCCUACUUCCUUUUCUCCUUUCUUUCCUUUCUUUCUUUUCUUUCCUUCUUCCUUUUCUUUCCUUCUUGUAGCCGAUCCCCACAUGGAAGAAGUAUAUGUGCUGUCCCUCUAAAAAUCAAAAUCUCCUCUUUUCAAAAUUCCGUUGAUUUUCCUUCCAAAUAAAUGGCGGUUCGUUUCCUCAUGCCCAAAAAAUAAAUAAAAUAAAAAAAUAAAAAUAAAAAAAAUAAAAAAUAAAAAAUUAAAAAAAUUAAAAACAAAAAUAAAAAAAAAUCAAUCACAUGCAAGCCAUACGAGCUAUGUAACCACCAAAGGAAUAUGAGUUAUGCAACCAUGCAAAAACACGAGCCAUGCAACCAUGCAAACCAUGCAAAAACAUCUAAAGGUGACCUAGGGUGUGUCCUAGUGCGCUAGGGCAAACGAAAUGGACUAAGUGUGCUUAAAAGCUAUCCUAAAAAAAAGAAAAGCCUACGACUAAGUUAGGGCUGCCAAGGGUCACAAUAAGGGAUCAAAUAAUCCCUCAACCAAAAUCUCCGAGGUGACUCAGAAAAAGGUUAGUGGUAUGAGUAGCCAUGGGCCACCAAGGAACUAUGGGGCACUGAAAACGAAUUUAAAGACAUGUGCUAAAGGGACAAAAUUGAGGGUCUACACCCUCUUCAGUUCUGUUGAAGAUUAUCAAAGAUACAAGCAAAAAUUCUCCCAGAGGAAACUAGGGAGAAAUAUCAAUUUCUCCCAACUUUAGUACUUCGGGUUUGAGGGACUCUUUAGUCGGAUGGGAUAACUGCCAGUUGUGAUGAUUUUCGAGCCGAUCUUCCUGACUCUGGUGCGGGCAUUUUAUUCAUAGGUGACUUAUGGACUUGGAGGACCAGUCAUGUCCACUAUUAGAGGUGUUGAGAUCAGACUGAGCCCGGAGAGCAUUUUCCGCAUUCUCGACAUUCCUUUAGUUGGACUCCGGGUGUAUGAGUCCAAGGUUUGGCCCACUGUGCCGGGAUUCGAGCCUAGAGAGGCUAUUCAGAGGCUGUGCGGACUUGUAGAUGCUGAGGGGAUGGACAAACCAUCGGCACAUAGCCUGACCGUGACCAGCCAAGUCCUUCAUCACAUGAUUUGCUCCUAUUGCCACAAGGCGGGUAUCGAGAUGAGAUUUCCUACCUGGAUGCUUUCAUAGUGGACACCAUUCUAAUGGGGAGAUGGAUUCAUGUAGGGUAUUUGAUGAUGAUGCAUAUGAUAUCCUACUAUGAGAGCACGACCCGAGUACUCCCCUACAGACGCUUCCUCACUCGAGUAUUCAAGGAUGUCGGGGUCGAUUUGAGUAGAGAGACGAACUUCGAGGCCCUUACUAGCUAUGAUACUUACGAUGAGCAGUCCUUGGAGCGGAUAAAGUUUGAGAAGGCCCUCGAUGGCUCCUGGAUUAGGAGAGUUGAGCGAGCUCCAGCAUAGGCCCGGGGACAAGGAUAGAUGCAUCCCGGAGUAGAGGAGGAGGCUGAGAUCAAAGAGAUGGAGGAUGGGUUAGACCCAAGGAUUGAAAUAUCGAUAAAUAUGGAUAUAUCGGUACUUGGAUUUUACGGAUAUAUCGGAAAUAUCGGAGAAAUAUCAAUGGAUAUUUUUCAUCAAAUAUCGGUGAGACAAAAAUUAUCCAAAAUUGAUGGGAAUGCUUAGAAAAAUCCAAAGAAUGAUAAAAUAAGCAAGAAUAUACAUGUUAAAGUUAUUUUAUGAGUGUAAUUGACAUAAAUAUGGUAUAAAAAAAAUAUAUAUCGGUAAACAGUUUACGAUACUUGGAUUUUAAGAAAAGAAAAUAUGAAAUUUGGAAUUGUACACUUAAAAAGUUAGAAUUGAGUUAAGAAAUAUUUGAUUUUAUUAAAUGAAAAAAAUUUACACAUAAACAUAAUACAUAUGACAUUGCAAUGGUCCUUAAUACCAAAAUGAAGAUCGAUGUGGUUCCAUCAUAUUGUUAUUGUUAGAUGAAGGGAGCCCAUCUUGUUGAAGACAAUAUUCAUACCAGGACAUGGAGUUUCGAUAGUAUUGAUUGUAUGUACUAACAUGCCAUGCAUAAAUUUCUUGAGUCCUACCGACAACCUGUCCAUGGAUGGGAAAUCCAGGGUUUUCCCAUGUGCUCGUUUGAAAUCCUUGUUGUUGCAGCUGAUGUAGAAGGUAGUAUGGAAUUUGUGUGGAAGAAUGAUAGUUAUACCUUUCAUACUCUUCAUCAGUGGAACUUGAAAGAUUUUGAGGAGGCUGACCAUAACUCAUUGCAUAAGGGGCAUAAAUGUUGGCUUCAUUUGAUGAAUCACUUAAUUGAGUCUCUACACUCAUCGACUCAAAACUGGCCGACAAUGAGUCCUCGUUGUAUGGCAUCAUCCUUCGUUGUCUUCCUCUAUAUGGCUUUCCAAUGGCUCCAACACCUGGACCGGCUCUUCUAGAGCCGUGGUCUUCAUCUUGAGUACAAUGUGUGAAAUCAUCUUCACUAAUAAAUGCCAAUGGUUGUCCACUUUGUUGAUGUUGUCUAACAUCCCCUUCAUCAUUUUCAGGGUCGCUACCAUCAUUGGUCCCCUCUCCUCUUGAAUCAUCAUAACCGGAAGCGGAAGUACCAGUAGCACUAGGUCUACUACUAUGUUCAACACUCGUGGGGUCAAAAGAAGGUCGAGAAGUGACUACCAGCUGAGAAAUUCCUUGUCGAAAUGAAUCUUUCGUGUCUUGGUUGAAACUAUCAAUAUGAACUUCUUCGGAUAACACUUGAUCAACAUCAACACCUGCUUCUCGGACAUGUGCGGCAAUUCGUGGGUCGAGAUUUCCAUCUUCAUCAUCUAAAUGAAGAGGUCUAACCCAUUGAAACAAUUGGUUAUCUUCUUCUUCACCAGCCUCAGUUGCAAUAUCAAGUAAAUCAAGGUAAUCUUUCUCUGAAACUUUGUCAUGUUCUGCUUCCAUGUCACGUAUCUUUAGUUUCAUGUUAUAAUAAUAGAAAACUAAUUGUUAGAGCAUCGGGUAAGCAAGCUGAUUUCUUUGUUUUGUAUGAAUUAUGGAAAACAUGCUCCAAUUUCUCUCACAAGCUGAAGAUGAUGCAGUUUGCGAUAAAACCUUGAUGACCAACCUUCUUAAUGUAGGAGUGUGAUUUCCAUACAUGAACCACCAUUCAACUACAACCAAAUAAAUGAUAUCAAUACUUAUAUUGGAAAGCUAUAAUAAUAUGCUAAUGAAAUGAAUUAUUAAUUCACAAAUAAUACUCACCGAGAACCAUUUCUAACCUCGAAGCAAUCACUGUUUGAUCACCGAAUCCUCUUUUUGCAUCUCGGAAUAGUAUAAUCUACAUAUUAAAUAAUUGAAAGUGAAAAAGUUGAGUAAAUGAAAUUAAAUUAUUUAAUUUAUAUUAUAACUCUAAUAAUUUACCUCAUUUCCAAAUUGACUAAAACCUUCUGAUGUAGGAUCUAAUUUCGCAAAGACUUCAUGGACAACUUGAAGUAGAUCAGGAUCAGUACCAACUCCAUGUUUAUAUUGAAAUCUUGGAUUAAGAAAGAAUGCUACAAUAGUAAAAUAGAAAUGUAAAAUUAGAAUGUUAUGAAAGAAACAUAUUAAAUACCAAUAAAUUUCAAAGAUGAAUAAUACUUACCUGCUGCAUGAAAAGGAUGUUUAAAAGUUCUAUCCCAACGAUAUGCAAUUAUUUCUAACACCCAUUCUUUAGCAUUAAGUCGAAUAAGGUUCUCUUUCAUAACUCGAAUCAAUUCGUACACAAAUGGCAUUGUAGGAACAACUUCUGAAUCGACAAUGCGAAGAACUGUGUAUAGCGCCUCAUAUAUUGACACUAGCUUUCCCACUCUUUCCUAGUAUGCAUGGUCAAACAUAAGUGAUUCAACUUCUUUGCCGAUUAAUGUGCAACUUAAGUUGUGUUGUGCCCAUUCAUCACUGAUAAAUAUUUUCUUCAAGUUUAUUUUCUUUUUCAAAAGACUGUCGAAGGCUAUAUAAUUGGUUGCAAAUCUUGUUGCUCCAGGACGAACUAUGUCUCCACCACACACCUUCCGCAUCUGGGUAAGCAACCAACCAUGGUUAUAAAUGAAGUUGGUUAUCUUUCGAGCCUUUGUAAUCACAUCUGCAACACUCGUCCUUUUACCGAUAUCUUCGAACAUUAAGUCGAUGCAAUGUGCUGCACAUGGAGUCCAAUAAAGAUUGUAUUUCUUCAUUAACAACUUCCCCGCCUUCAUGAAUGCCGACCCAUUAUCUGUAACUAUUUGGACCACAUUUUGUUUGCCAAAUUCCUUGAUCACAUCCUUCAACAAACCAUAUAUGUAUUUGUUGUCCUUUAUAUUAUUUGAUACAUCAACAUAUUUGAGGAAGAUUGUGCUACCUUUUGAAUAUACCAUGAAAUUAAUUAUGCUUAAUUUCGUGGGCCCAGUCCAUCCGUCAGACAUAAUCGUGCAUCCAUAAGUCUUCCACUUUUCUCUUUGAAUAUUGACAUAAGCUUCUAUGUCUUUGUACUCCAUAUCCAAAUACUCGUGUUUGAUUUCAUAAGGAGACGGUGGUUUUAUACCCAUACCUACCAUCCAUAUAUAAUUAAAGCAUAUAAGAACAUUUGUGGCAAUCAUACUAUAUAAAUAGUAAUGAUAUUGUUAAAAUGAAUACAACUUUUAAAAUUAUAGUAAUUACCUGCUUGUUGUGCACCAACAAUCAUGUUCUUGAAGUGGUGAGAGUCUGUUUUACUGGGCGGAACACUCUCAUAUAUGAAGAACUUACUGAUCAAACGUCCCAUGGUUUCCUUGAUGGCACCACCUUUGAAAAUAUUUUUCAUAUUUUUAUGUCUUGCUACUGAAGAUUUGUACAAUGAGGGUGCAUCAGGCAGUGAUGGAUCUAAAUAUCGAACACUUUGCGAUUUUCGCAUUUGCCUUGUUGUUGGAUUGGUUGGAUGUGAAGACUUGCCUAUUAUAAUUAUUAAAAUUAAACAUAUAUGCUAAUUUAAUAUUAUUGAUAAAGUUGAUAAGAAAUAGUAAUAAUUCAAAUUAAUAUUAUACCUGUUUUUAUUUUGUCUUUUAUAAAAUGUUCUUCUUAUUGUCGAUUCCAUUCAGCAGCUUUUGAUGCUCGAACCGCCUCUCUAUAAGCAUGUCGCUCACCAAGGUGCAUGUCAGCCAGAUACAUAUACACAUCAUCAUCUCCAUCAUCAUCAUCACCACCAAGGUUCUCCUCAUCGUCCUCAUCAGUUACAUGCUUAUGUCUUAUUCCCAUUGUGUCUCGCAGUUCAGAUCGAAUCUCUUCUAUAUCUGUAGCUUUCUUCGCUUUUGCCUUAUUUUUUUGCUCUAGAAGUCGUCUUAUUUAUUGUUUCACUUCUGGAGGCAUGUUAGGACACUUUUUUGUAUUUGAAUUAGGGUCUGUAUGUGAUAGGUGAAAUUUAAAACGAGUAAUCCCACCACUCUUUAUUGCCAACCCACAGUAAUUGCAUACUGUUCCAUUUUUGUCCCCUUCCAUAGGUGUACAAUAUUUCCAACAAGGAUCUCGACCCAUGAUACCGCUUUCACUAGCCAUUUUCUAAAAUUGAAUUAUGAAACUAAUAUCAAAUUUAAAAUUAUUAAAGAUAAAACAUGUAAGAAAUUUAAUAUUCAUGAAAUUGAUAAGAACUAAUAAAAAUUGAAAUUAAAAUUAAAUUAUGCAUAUAUGAAAUAGAUAAACAUUACAAUAAAAUUUCAAUAUGAAUUAAAUUUAAAUUAAAUUAAAUUAAAUUUGUAUAUUCAUGAAAUUGAUAAGAAUCAUUACUAAUAAAAAUUAAAAUUAAAAUUGAAUUAUGCAUAUAUGAAAUAGAUAAACAUUACAAUAAAAUUUCAAUAUGAAUUAAAUUAAAUUAAAUUUGCAUAUUCAUGAAAUUGAUAAGAAUCAUUACUAAUAAAAAUUAAAAUUAAAAUUGAAUUAUGCAUAUAUUAAAUAGAUAAACAUUACAAUAAAAUUUCAAUAUGAAUUAAAUUUAAAUUAAAUUAAAUUAAAUUAAAUUUGCAUAUUCAUGAAAUUGAUAAGAAUCAUUACUAAUAAAAAUUAAAAUUAAAAUUGAAUUAUGCAUAUAUGAAAUAGAUAGACAUUACAAUAAAAUUUUGAUAAGAAUUAAAUUAAAUUAAAUUUGCAUAUUCAUGAAAUUGAUAAGAAUCAUUACUAAUAAAAAUUAAAAUUGAAUUAUGCAUAUAUGAAAUAGAUAAACAUUACAAUUACAUUUCCAUAUGAAUUAGAUAAUAUCAAUUAAACUAUUGUAGACCCCCCUCUUUUGGUCUCGUUUCUUUUUUUUUCCUCUACAUAUAUUAUGUUUGUUUUAGCCAUUGCGGAAGCACCUGGAAGAGGUGUUAGUGCCUUGAACAAGUGGGGGGACCUGGCUGUUUGGAGAGAUGAGCUGCGUGGAACACGUGGUGGAGCAGUUGGCCACAGCCAUGGUGGUGGUUGGGGCUCCAGUUUGCUGAGCAGAGGAACAGUAUAGUAGCUGAUGGCUUGCAGGAAAAGCUUUGACGGAGAAGGAGGACAGAGGAUUUUUAAGAGGAUCCUUUUGAGAGUGCUGGCAGGGGGGGAUCUUGGAGGGAAAGGGAAGAGGAGAAGUAAGUUUUGAGGAGAAAGGGGCUUUCAGGUAUGGCCAUUUAUGAUUUUUCCCGAAUAUUCUGAUCUUUCAUAUCUUUCCCAUCUUACUCUCCAUGAUUCCAGUUUUGCUUGAUGAGUUGUUUUGUUUUGAUGAUUGUUGGUUUAACAUUAAAAAAGAUGGCUGUUUUUUUUGUGUUUUACCCGUGCAAACCUCUUCCAACUUAACCCUUUGAUCGUUAAGCUCAUGGAUGAAAGAAUGAAACGAAGUUAGCACAUUCAUCAAAAGGUUCCCUGCUAUGUUUCUCCAUUUGUUCCCUUUGCUUGAGUAUGUGAGUAUUGAUGCUAAUAGUAGCAAGGUCCCAGCCAACUUUGUACAAUAGAGCUCAGAUGUUGCUCUAGGGGUUCAUGAUCAUCCUGUCAAGUGCCUAGGAGCAAAUGAUGCCCUUGAGCUUACGUUUCUAAGUCGUGUUCUCCCUACCAAGCUGGAUACCCUCCUUGCUAAGGACGGGGGGACGAAACCUAUUAACAGCCGAAACCCAAUGAUAAGAUCCAAGUCACUGUCGAGUAUCUCAAUGAGAAGGAUGCCAUGGUUCUUUCUUCGUGUACAUGUUGUUCCCAUCUCCACCCAAGUUGACUAAACUGUCAUCAGUGAUGAGAUUGCUGCCUACACUAAAUAAUACAUCAUCCAGCCGGUUAUUCAUGAGAAACAUUAAGAUGAGAAGUCCACCUUCCAACACCCAUUAAGCCACUCUUCACACCCAUCUUCUCUCAUUAACAUCCUCAUACCCCUCCCACCACUUCGUGAUUCAUAUCCCCAUCAUCCCCAGCCGUCCAUGCUAUCAAUAAUAUCCCCACUUAUCUUCAUACCCAUUUGUUCCACUAUUCGGAAUCCCCAUGCAUGCGAAACUGGACGCGGAAGCCAUGAUAGCAGAGAUUGUGAUGAAGAACGUGGAAUGCGGUACCCUGUUGCAUGAAGUGAGCAUGGUGGAGCGGCGGUUUGAGGAGUCGACGAGGAAGAUAGAGCUGUAGAAGAGCUUGCUGGAGGUGUUGGAGUUGGAGAGGACGAUAUUGCUGAAUGAUAACGUGCGGCUGGGGCGCGAGAUGAGUGCGCUGAUUGAGGAGAACAAGGGGCUGUGGAGGUCCCGGCUCCUGCUCCGACGCUGGAGGCGCUGAGUCCUCCAGCACCGCCGGCCGAAGCUCCUAGGCCACAGCUAGAUGCGAUCCCAUCCAUCUCCAUCUCUGCCAGGUGAGAGUAGGGCAGAGAAGAUCACGUGCGUGAGGUAGAGGGUAGAAAUGGAUAAAGGGCAUAGAAAAUGGGCUACAGCAAUGCAUGGAAUUGUUUGAUAAAAGAAAAGAGAAAUGGGUUUGUUGACACGUGAAAGAACUAUGCACUUUAAAAAAACUCUCCCUGUUUGUUUUACAUAUUCUCAAACAAUGCUUAAAAAUCCCUUAAAAUUUUAAAGUUAAAAAUUUAUUCACUUAUUCAUGUUUUUCUAUUCACUUCAAAUUCUCGAAACUCAAUCCUAAAAUUUAAUUUCUUCAAAGUUCAAUCUCCAAAAUAACUUUUUUUUUAGGUUCUAAUUUUAACUUUAAUUCUCCAAAGAUCCAAAAUUUUAAAUUUAACUUUCCAAAAAUCCCACAAUUCCGAAUUUAAUUUUAGGUCUUGUAAAUUAGUAUUAUUAUCCCAUAUUUAUUUAUUUAAAGUCCAAUCCUUCAAAAAUCUCAUUAUUAUUAUUAUUAUUACUUCAACUUUCGAAAUCAAUUUAUUCUUAUUAUUAUUAUCAUUAAUCCAAACUUUCAAAAUCCUAUUAUUAUUAUUAUUAACCCAACUCUCAAAAUAUUAUUAUUAUUAUUAUUAUUAUUAUCAUUAAUUCAGACUUUCGAAAUCUUAUUAUCAUUAUUAUUAAUUCAACUUGCAAAACCUUAUUAUUAUUAUUAUCAUUUCAAAACCUUAUCAUUAUUAUUAUUAUUAUGAUUAUCAUUAUUAUUAAUUUAACUUUUAAAAUAUUAUUAUUACUGUUUUUAUUAAUUCAACUUUUAAAAUCUUAUUAUUAUUAUUAUUACUAAUUCAAUUUUCAAAAUCUUAUUAUUGUUAUUAUUAUUAUUAUUGUUAAUUCAACUUUCAAAAUCUUAUUAUUAUUAUUAUUAUUAUCAUUAUUAACCUAUUAUCAUUAUUAUUAUUAUUAUUACUAUUACUAUUAUUAUUAUUAUUAUCAUUAUUAUUAAUUCAAUUCCCCAAAUCUUAUUAUUAUUAUUAUUAUUAAUUCAACUGUCAAAAUCUAUAUUCCCGUAGUUUAAUUUCUCAAAGUUCAUUUCUUAUCAUUACUGUUAUUAUUAAUUCAAUUUUCAAAAUCUAUAUUCUCGCAGUUUAAUUUCUCAAAGUUCAUUUCUUAUCAUUACUAUUAUUAUUAAUUCAGCUUUCAAAAUCCAUAUUCUCGCAGAUCAAUUUCCUAAAGUUCAUCUCUCAUUUUCUUUGACGAAUUUCAAUUUAAUUACCGAAGCUCUAAUCUUUCAAAGUUAAUUCCAAAUACUUCAAUUUUCAAAUAAAGUCUAAUAAUCCAGUUUUCACUCGAAUGGUUUUAAUCCCAUUUCAGUCCCUAAAUAAUCUUCUGGUAUUCUUGAUUUUAUAUAAGCAAUAGUGAAUUCUUCAUAAUUCUAAAACACGGAAUUUGUGAGACUGGUUCAUGAAUAAUAAAUUGGGUUUUGGUGGGAGGCACUAUGUUUGAUCCCUAUUGAUUGUCAACUGUUGUGCUUAAUGUAUUUUUGCUUGAUCUUCAUUUUGCACCCUGAUAUGCAUGAGUUAUAAUUUGUAUUCAUUAAUUAUGCACUAAUCCUGUUUCUUGAUAGCAAAUUGCUGUUUGCUACCCAGGUACGCAUUCACUCAUUCUGAUCAUUCACUAUACGUAUUCUGAUUCUCAUAUAUGCAUGAUUAAUGUGAGUAUCCAUUGACUUUCUUAUUCGAUUGCCACGUCAGUUUCACUUUAUUAGUAGAGACCCGACUUUAGGGACUUUGAGGGGUGCUAUGGUCUCUACCGUACCUUCCCGAUAAGUAACCUGACCCUCGAACCCGAUCCGGUUUUUCACAGACCACCUUUUCCAAAACAAGGAGUCGCACUUAGGGUUUUUCUUUCUUAUUUUGUUUACCCUUUAAAAAUAAAACAAAAAUAAGUGGCGACUCCAAGUCAUUUUCAAAUAAUCAAUAAAAAUCAAGUUUUCAAAUAAAAAUCGAGUUCGUCAUCGAGUGGGAAACGCAUUGAGCCGAAAUGCGGGGUCCACAACUAUAUAUAACAAAUAAAAUUGAAUUAUGCAUAAUAAAAUAAAUUUUAUGAAAGGUAAGACAUACCUUAAUUAGCUUUGACUUGGAGUUAAUCCCUUUCACCAACAAAUUUUCAAAAUAAAAAAAUUUUGCUAGAUCAUAUAAGAAUUUUGAUGUAUGAAAUGGAAUGGAAUGUGGGUAUUUAUAGGAAUUUUUUGGUCAAACUACUCGUUGGAUGGUCAAAUAGCCGUUAUAAAUUAAUUUUAACCGUUGGAUCAAAAUUUGGUUCAAAUUUCACCAUUAGAUCUUCAUAUAACCGUUGGAAACACUCCAUAGCCCUUGGAUAAAGUGAAGAUUGAUUUUCCACCAUUGGAUCACAAAUCUGACCAUUGGAGGCCUUUAUAAACACACGGGUGAAAUUUGGGCCAUCAGAUCCUCAAAAAUUCAAAUUUGGCCGUCAGAUCAAAAUCCUUGAAGCUGUAAAAAAAUCACCGAUUAAUCGCGAUUUUCUCGGCAAAAAAUCGUUGAUAUAUCGGUAAAAUAGCUGAUUUUUUGGGCUCCUCCUCCGGCUUCUUCGUGCGUGCCUCUACUCGCGAUUUUUCGUCGAUUUAUCGGUGAAGCACCGAUAUUUGGCCGAUAUAUCGGCGAUUUUGCCGAUUUUUCCGUCGAUUGAUAAUCGGUGACGAUUAUUAUUUCGGUGCCGCCCAAUAUCCGAUAUUUCUCCGAAAUAUCGAUGAUAUAUCCCGAUUUUUCAAUCCCUAGUUAGACCCUUAGAGGGAUUUUAAGUAGAGAGGGCCCGAGCUUGACAUUUCUCCUCCACCUCAUUCAGAUGGUAUUCAUGUUGAGACCACUUUCUUAGAGCCUAUGAUGAUUGAGUCGUCUUACACUACAGGAGCAUCAUCUCAGCCAUCAUUCACCGAGCUUCCUCACACAGAGAUACCAUCUCAGGCACCUCACGCUUCUGAUCAUGCCCCUUGGAUGGAUGUAUCAGCUCAUAUCAGCUUCCUUGGGACUCCUAUGGAGGAGCUUGCUUUAGUCAAUGAUACUCGAUUCUACUCUAUGGAGGAUCACAUAGAUCAGUAUCAGACUGGCUUCACUUCUCGUUUUGAGCACUUCCAGCAGAGAUUUGAGCGUAUAGAGGAGCGUAUGGAUCAACAGCAGGCUACAGUUGAGCAUCUCCAGCAAAGUAUUGAGCGCAUUGAGAGUCGCCAGGCGAGUUAGCAUGAGGAGAUGAUGGCUUACCUCCGCUCCGUGUUUCCAUCUUCACCCCCUCAGCCUUGAGUUUAUCUAGAGUUCCCCCUCAAUUUCUUUUUUAUGUUGCUAAAGGGGGAAAAAUAUCUAGGAUCUAGGAAACCCUCAUGCAUAUCAUUGUCAUAUCUAUCUUGAUUAGCAUAUAUGUUAUGUUUUCGUGUACAUGUGAGGUUACCAUAUAUAUGAUAUGCUAUUUUCAUGAUCCAUUGUUUCCUAUUCAAUUUUUCAUGCUUUACAUUGUUUCCUAUUGAAAAUUGAUUGAUUGAUCCAUGAUUGGUUUGAGGGGGAGAUUUUUUUUCUCUCCUAGAUAACCAAGGUUGGUCAUCAUAAAAAAUGGGGAGAUUGUUAGCCUAAGGGCUCUCCUAAUCGGGUUUUGAUGAUAACAAACCAUGGUUAAAUGACUAAUUGGUUUAAUGGUUAAGAAUCUCAGGCAUAAACUCGAAAAUUCAUCAAAUGACCAAAUGGAUACAAGAUCGAGACAUUUGGAAGACUUGUGAUCAUAGGAAACUAAUGUAAGAUAAAUACAUGAGUGCACUUAGGAUUUUCAUACCGUUUCAUGCAAUUUAGAAAACUCGGUUUAUUUUUUAAAACUUCGAUUUCAUUAAAACCCGAGUUUUAACAAAUGUACCUUAGGCAAAAUGUUUUAAAAUUGGCAUAAUAAUUCACCUAAAAACCUUGCCUAAGUGUUAGAAAAAAAAUGAAUUCAAAAAGAUAGGUUUUUAGGGCCAAAAGGCUCAACCGGUUGGAGAACCAGUCGACCAAUUGCCCUUCUCCGGUCGAGGAAUGCACAAAAUUUUCUCUCUCACAGUAGCCUUCUCUUCCCAGUCGAGGUUAUUCUCUUCCCGAUUGAGAACUGGUCAAGGUCCGGUCGAUGACCGGUCGAGGCAACGGUAUCCUGUCAAGCAUUAAAUGCUCCAACGGCUAGUGAACCGGUUGACCCCUAGUUCGAUCGGUCGAGGUUACCUUUUGCUGUUUUUGGCUCCCGAGCUUAGAAACCUAUAAAUUGAGAGCUCCACUUCAUUUAUUGACGAGAGAACACUUGCAACUAAUUGUCUACCUACCUGUUCUUGAUCAAAAAGCUUUCAUUUCUUUCUUAGUGCAUUAAAUCUUCAAUUGCAUAUCCUUUAGUGCACUCUUGUGUGUCAUCCUAGCUUUGUCUUAUAUUUGAGCUAUCCUUAAGCUAGGUUGAGGGAUUCAUUCUUGUAAAAAUCGAGUGUUAAAGCCUUCAAGAGGUUUAAAUCUUGAAGAGAUUGUGUAAGAGCCCAUUGGAGCCGGAAUCCAAGUGUAAGAAGAUUGGAAGCUUGGUUGAAACUUUAAGUUAGUGGAACCCUCACUCAGUUAGGAGAUUGAGGAGAGUGGACGUAGGCAAGAAAGUGCCGAACCACUAUAAAAUCCGAGUUUGAAUUCUUUAACUCUAUUUCUUUAUUUUGCUUAUAUUUUGCUUGAACUCGUUGUGAUCGAAAAGAAUUUAAAAAAUCCAAUUCACCCCCUUCCCCUCCUUUUGGGUGUUUUUCUUAAUUAAGCAUAGCCUAUAUUUUCUCAUAAAUAAUCUCACAAAAUCCUAGUACAAACUUUAGCCUCAAAUUAUACAAGAUAAACUAGGAUUGAAUGGUGCACUAAUGAUAUGUAAGUUUUAAAACAAUGUGUACUAAAAAACACUCCCCUAAGGCUCAAUUAUAUUCAAGAAAGGUUUAAGAAGGUUAAACUCUUGAAACUAUAAAGAUUGAAGCGUUUUUAUAGAAGAGAAAAGCCAAACUACCUAUUGGGGGUUCGUCUGGUCGAGCUCUGGUUCGACCAGUUCACUAGCCAUUAGCAUUUAAUGUAUGAUAGGUGACCAUUGGGCCUUGACUGGUACUCAAUUGGAUGAAGUUCAACCUUGAUUGAUCGAAUAAGCAUUAUGGAAAAGAGAUAAGGUUUUUGCACCCUUCAACUGAGUAAGUUGAAUAAGUCGACUAAUUCCUCAUUCAAUUCAACCAAUUAAGUCAUUUUUUGCUAAAAAAACCAUCAUUUUCAACUUAAAACCUUUUAAACAAGUUUGGAAAGCAUUUGACAUAAGGUUUUAGUUGAAAACAUGAAAUCAUCCAAUUUUUAAAAGAUUUAAAACAAAAUAACUCUUGAAUGAUUUUAGUGUAUAAGUAAAGAAUGUAAUGCAUGAAAAACCCCAUGCACUAACAACCUUACAAAGAGAUCCUAUGAGGCUUAGGUCUUGAAAAAACACUUAUCUUUAAGGUUUUCUUCUUCUUAUUGAUUUUAUCUUUGUGAUUGCCACUUUGGAAAUCAUCUUGCCUAGUCACACUUAAAAUAUAAUCAUUAGUUCUAAACCUUGUUUUGUUAUCAUCAAAACUAAGAUUAACCAAACCUUGGUUUCACAGUAUGAAUAUUGUAUCUUUAGAUCUAUAGUUAAUAGUGGUUUUUAUAGUCAUAUGUUUCUAUUGUGAUAAAUUUAGAGAUGCCUAGGGAUAGAUGAAUGCACCCUAUGAGAUCUAGUGCAUAUGAAUGGAGUAAUCUGGGGUUCCUAACAUAGUUUAGGCUUGUGCUUCAUAGAGCGAUAACAAUUCUUCAAGCAUAGUUAUGCUUUAGAAAUUUGUUAUUGAUUGGUCCAAUUUUUAGACCAUCUUUAGCAACAAUCUUGUGGGCACCAUUGAUAUAAACUUGUUAUACAAAAUAUGAUCUAUCACAUUUUUGGCAAGAACUUUCCACUAGUUUUGUGCAUGGUAAUGAUCAUGCAUGCAAACUUAACUAAGUUAUACACUAGAUGCCAAACUACUACAAUUCUUAUACACCUUCCCAUUUUGUGCAACCGAACAAUUCAACAUCAUAACACCAAAGUUCUUGCUUAGAUUUCCUACAGUGCUAAAAUUUUGAAAUGAUUAAUUUUUUUAUUUUCCUUUCAAUACCAAGACCCACAUACAUCAUGUCAUGCCCUAAGACCCACUCUAAGGGCAUGACAAUCAUUUCACAUCUCAAGGUAGAAAGCUCAAAGUGUAAAUUGACCUUAACAUUCAUUUUGUAACUGGAAAAUUAUCAAUUACCAAAUUCAUAUUCAAAGUAGUAGAAUAAAAUUCUAUAAGUUUCAAAUCUCAACUUUAAAGCUAACACAUCAACUAAAGUGUUAUUGUCCAAACAACUUCAAACUUAACAAUUCAAGCAAUCAUUAAAUUCUAGCUUUCAAAAAAAUAAAGUUUUAACCAAAAGUCUUAAUAUUGCCAAAAUAUCAUCCUAACGAUCACUCCUAGCCCGAAUUAAGGUGCCUAAAAAAUUGUCAAUGAAAGGAAAUGAGAUCAACGCUCAAUAAGGAAUAUUAACAAAGUUUCAUGGAUCAAACAUUUUUAAUUAUAAUUCCAAAUAGGAGAUAUAAUAUAUAAUCAUUUUCAUAAAAACUUUUGAGUUUAAAUAUAAUAAUACAUUCAAAAAUUUUUAGCUAAACAUUUUCAUAUCUAUGUCAAAACAAUUUCAUAUCAAAUUCAAAUCAAAUAUAUACAAAAUAUUUUUAUUUUGGUUAUCAAAUAUCACAUGGUGUCAAGUUAGGUGGGACUUUACAAAUUGGUGUCUAGCCUCAAAUUUUUUCAUUUCAAGGUGGAUGAAACCAAACACUACUAGUAUUAUUAACAUCUAACCAAAUGCCUAAAGGGUGGAAUCUAAAGCAAUUACAUGCCCCGCCAAGAAAUAUAAGGUCAACAAUUAUAACUAGUUAACUAAGGACAAAAAUAAACUAGAGUCAAACACCUUAUUUCAUUAAUUCAAACUUACAAAACAAAAACAUCAUAUCUCCAUAAUUUUCAUUUUUUAUAAACAAAAGAAAUGUUCUAACAUAUUUUUUUCAUGAAAAAUAUAUAUUUGAUCCAUGCAUAAAAAUAAAAAUAAUUUUUUUUAUUAUUCAAAAUAACAUAUAAAAGUAAAUAUGUUCUUUUGGCCAAAACAUGUAUUAAUUUUUCUUACCUCAAAGAAACACUCAAAGACCUUGAAGCAAUUAAUCCUGAAGAAUUUCACCCCAAAAAACAUAUUUCAUACCUUACAAAAAAAAAACAAAAAAACAAAAUUACUAUUGAUUAUUUAUCUAAUAAUAGUUUCGUAUCUCAUAUCACCUAUAUUAUUUUUAACUUCCUAAUAAAUAACAAUUUAAUAAGUGAUUUUCCAAAUUUUAAAAAGUUAUGUUCUUUCCAAAAUUUAUUCAUAAUAUUCUAUUAUUAUUAAUUAAAUCUCUCAAAAAUAUGUUUUUUCUAUUUAUUGCAUUAAACUAUUAUUAUUAUUAUUCAAUUUCAAUUUGAUUAAUUGGUUUUUUCUUUUAAAUUUUUAAUUUAUAUAAGAUUCUUGUUUUGAAAAUCUUCCAUAUUUACUUAUUUGUUUAAAGUAAAUUUCUCCAAAACUUGUUCCUUUUUGUUAAACAAAUAUCUUUUCCUAUUAUUAUUAUUAUUAUUAUCCCUAAUAUUAUAUUCAAAUAACUAAACAAUAAUAAUUUAAAUUAGUGAGUUUCCAAAUUUUUAUAAAACUCAUAUUCAUUCUAAAUCUUAUCAUAUAUAUCUAUUUCUUUUAUAUAAUUAAAUUAAAUUAAAAAUUUUACUUAAAUAUAUAUAUAUAUAUAUAUAUAUAUAUAUAUAUAUAUAUAUAUUAUAUUAUAUUAUUACUUUCAACAUCCUUCUACCACCGAAACAAUUACCUCAAGUAAAAGUCAUCUAUCCUUAUUCUACUAACUACCCUCUCUCUUGCAAUAGCACACUUAGGGAUGGCAAUGGGGCGGGUUCAGGAUAGGUCACCCCCAUCCCAACUCCACCUUGUUUAUUCAAAAUAAUUAUCAUCCUCGUCCCAUUUAAAAAAUUAAAUGAGACGGGGCGAGUAUGAUAAAUUCUCAUACUCGCCUCGUCCUGCCCCGUUUAACUUUUUUUUGAAUUUAUUUAUUUAUUUAUUUUUAAAAUUACUUUUAAAAUUUUUAAUUACAUUAAAAUAAAUAUAUUUUAUAAAUAAUUAAAUAAUUAUAUUUUUUAUUACUUAUUUUAUUAAAAAUAUUUUAUUAUUAUCUAUAUAUUAAAAAUAGUAAAAUAAAAAUUAAAUUAAAUUAAUUUUAAAAAUUAAUUUUAUAUAUAAUUGGGGCGGGGUGGGACGGGGCAAUACCCAAACCUGCUUCGGGUUUUAAAAAAAAUUCUCAAACUUGUCCCAAACCCGUUUAUUAAAAUUGAACUCCGUCCCAUUAGGGACGAGGCGAGUACCUCGAAAAAACCUGCCUUAUUGUCAUUCCUAAGCACACUUUCAUUUUUUUUUUUUCAUUUUUAUUGCUUUUAUCUUUUUCCUCCCUAAGAUCAAUCAUAUUGUAAGCACCCCUUUUUUUUUUCUACCACAUCUUGUUGCAAUCAACCUUGUAAGUUUUUUUAAUUUAAAUUUUUUUUCCACUAUGGAGGCACGUACAACCAUAAAACCCCAUCUUUUUUUAUUUUAUUUUUACAACUCUCAAAUCUCUCAACCUCCAUACUAUUAGGUUUUAUUCAUUCAUUUAUUUAUUUAUUAUUCCAUAUCCAAAACUAUAAUUAAUUUUCUUUUAUAUUUUUUUAUUUUAGAUCUAUUAAUUUGAAUAUUCAAAAUUUCUAAUCUUUACUAAUAACUCUAAAGCAUUCAAAACUAAUUAAUAAAUAUAAAAUAUUAAUCUAAGGAUUAAAAUCUUAUAUAGAAAAUUGAUCUUCAAAUCUUAAACCCCCAAAUUUUCAACCUUACAUUGCGUUGUCUAAUAUCUCAAAUCUCCAUGUAAAAGGGCUUUUGAAUAGAGUAAAUAAGAAAAAUUUAAUUUAUACCUAAAAUUUUUAAAAUAGAGAAAAAUCUUUCUACCCUUAUUAAUUUAAUUUAAUUAAUUUUUUAAAAUUAUGUUUUUACCCUUUAAUUGGGUUUGGGCAUCACACAUCAUACUAAAAAGUUAUCAAUAACCGUCCUUUGAGGCAUAUUAGCAUAAAUUUGCAACUUUAGUUGUGUUCUAGGUGCAAUUCUAUUAUGUUUAAUUGAAAAAUAACACACAUAGCACAACCAAGCCUAAUUGAAAGCAUUUGGGCAAAUAAAUGGUAAAUUUCUAAAAGUUCACCAAAACAAAAAAAAAGAUCAUAGAGGGCAUAUUUUUCAAGUCAACCUAGUUUUGGGAUAGCCACUUUCAAGCCUAAUGAUGUUAAGAUGUCUUAUUGCAAUCCAAUCUAAGAAUGCAAUAAUAGCUCUUUAAUUCAUAAUUUUAAAUUCACAAAAGAUAUCACCAAAAAUUACCAUAGGUUACCAAAGCAUCAACAACAUACAGAAAGCUUAGAAAUGCUUGGAACCUAUCGGAUUUUCACUUUUUAGGAAUAAAAAAAAAAAUCAACUUUAAGGAUUUUAGGGUAAUACUUGCUUGAACCAUCUUUCAAUCCUUUUGUUGGUGGUGGGCCUUUUACCUAUAGGAACAGGAAUAAGAGGUGAAAAUGAGGGAGCCUUAUGAAAACAGAUCCCUAGGGCUUAAGAAGGGGUUUUCAAUUUUAGGGUUUGCCUUUUCACCAAGGAUGUGAAUGGGAAGAUCAAGUGAAGUUAAGAGAUUGGUGAAGCAAAGUGAGGGCAUGGUAGGGUUUGAAUAAGGGAAAUUCUACACUAUUAAUGAAGAUGAUAAUCUCGAGAAAGCAAAGCUAAGGUAAACUAGGGUUUUAAUAACAUUUUUCAAUCUACACUAGUGAAGACGAUAUCUUCGAAAACCAAAGCUAGGGUAAGCUAGGGCUUUAAUAAUGAAUUUCAAUCUACAAUGGUGAAGAUGAGAAUCUUCGAAAACCAAAUCUAUAAUGGUGAAGAUGAUUGAAAACUAAAUCUAUACUGGUGAAGACGAUUGUAAAGCAAAUCUACACUAGUGAAGAUGAUAAUCUUCGAAAACCAAAUCUAUAAUGGUGAAGAUGAUUGAAAACUAAAUCUAUACUGAUGAAGAUGAUUAGAAAGCAAAUAUUCACUGGUGAAGACAACGAAACCAAAGGUAGGUCUUCUAAACUAAACCCUUUUAGGGAUUUUCCAUUUUUUUUCCUUUGUUUUCAAGAAAGGUAAACUCUCUUGAAAACCAAAAAACUAAUGCAUUCUUAAAUCCAGAUCACCAUUUUCAACAUAGUAUUUGGAUUUCCACCUUGCAUUUUUUAUUUUUUAUUUUUUUUAAUAGUCAAGGGCAUUUUAGGGAUUAUUGAAGGAUAAUAUCAAUAAGCUCAAUUUCCUACAUUAGUUAGGUCUUAGGCUCAAAUGUGAAACUUAUAGGGAUGUUAGGCCAAUUAUCAAACUUACUUGCCUAAAGCAUAAUUUCCCCUUUUCAAAAUAGUUGUUAAACAUCAAUCCCAAACAUGUGUAACCCUUUGAAGUACUUGUAUGUCAACCUUGUUUCCUUUCCCUCAUGCAACAUGACUUAUUGAUGGUUGCAUUGAAUCAUUAUCAUUCACCAAAUCCAUGCAACUAUGGACUACCUUUCAAAUCCCUUGAACAUAAAUGGUAAUUCCAAAACAACUCAAGUAUAAUCUUUCCGGCCUUUCAAAUGAUUUAAUUAAUUGAUGUUUGAAUAUACUUCAUAUAUUUUUUUAGAGCAAUUUUUAGGCAUAUGACAUAAAUCUCUAAUUUUUUUUAUUUUUAUAAAAGGUUUUAUAUUUUAUAUUACAAUUUCCUCUCUUUUUUUUCAUCUAAAAAACAAAAUAUAAAACCUUAAUAAACGAGUUUUGUCACAAUCCCUUAAAAGGUAAUCUAUUUUUAAAAAUUACUUUAACCAUUUUAGAUAUAUUGAUUCAGUCUAAUUUAAUUUUAAUAUUUUUUAUAAAAUAUUUUUAUUUUAUAUGAUUAUAAAUUAAUUACCAUUGAUUGCAUAUUAUAGAAUAUAUAUUCUAAAAUAUAUCCUAUUGACAAUAAUAUCAUAAGAUAUUAUAUCCAUAUCCUAAUAUAUUAUAUACUUUUAUUUUGUGCAAUUAGCAACAGGGUGGAAGACGGCUUAGGCGGGAGACGGCUUAACGGAAAUGUCGUCUGCCAUGCGUGUCCCUUCCCUUAGUGAGUCUGAACAGCUCCAACAUUUCUGACACGCCCUUCUUCGGUUAGCUCUUAAGUAUUUUCGUUAACCCCAUCACAUUUCGCCAUGUGGAUCUAAGCCUCAUGGUCCUUUCGUUCGUACUAUGAAUAUAUUCCUUAUCUAGAGUCUGGAUCCUUUAUCUCUGCACGUGUCUAUGGCUCUUCACCCCAGCAAGUAUGGCAUUACAAGGGCAAUAUCGUCAUUAAAGACCCAAAAGGCAAACGAAUGGCAUUAUCUUCCUUUUGGGUCUAUUCUAUUUAUAUUUAUAUUGCAAGUUAUUCGUGAUGACUUCUCUCAUAACAGCUAAAAACCACUCCAACAGAGCACACUUCACUUCUUCGUUUUUGUCUUUCCUCUUUUUUUUCCAGAGAAGCUGAGAAAGCCCAGCUUGCCCUCAACUCCCCGAUGGGUUUGAUGAAUGUUCUCAAAUUCUCAGCUGCAUGCUUUGAUCUUCUUGGCUGGUAUGUUGUCCACGGAUUUUCUCGUCAUUGGAAAAUGAAGUGGAAUUCUAUGUUUGAGGACAAAACUGGGAUUUGCUUUGAUUUCUCCAUGUUGGUUUUAUCCCUUUCCUUUGAAUUGUCCACAUUCUUGUCAUUGGUUGUUAGUUAUUUGUUUGGAUUUCUACUUGCAGGCCUCUGUUUGCACUGGGUUAUCCUCUGUAAGUCUUGGUCUUACACCCCAAGAUAUGAUCAUUCAUUUACUCUUUUCUUGUUCUAUGAAUUCUUAGUUCUGUUACAUUUAUUGGGUUGGAUUAUUAGUUAUUAUAUUAAUAAUCAUCAACGUCAUCUCGGUUCUUCACAGAUGUGCUUCAAUUCGGGUAAUUGAGACUAACUCAAUCUCAGACGUUCGGAAGUUGGUGGCGUAUUGGGUUCUAUUUUCCUUGGUUUCACUCUUUGAUCAUACUUUUGCCAAGCUCCUUGAAUGGUAAUUUUGCUCAACUGCAUUCCACUAUAUGUGGCUCUAUUUCUUUCAUUUCUCUGCCCUUAAGGAAUUUGGAGUUGCUUUUUUCAGUUUUCUUCCCUGUGAAAAUAAUCGAGAUGUUUAAUGUUCCAGGCCUGCAUGCUCAAGGAAGUGGUGUCAGCUUUGGAAAUAAGAUGGAUCUACUAGUUUUUAUUUCUCAUCUUUAUAGGGAACUUUCCAUAAUCACAGUGAUGAAUAAUUGUCUUGUUUGAAAGCAUGGUUGCACUUAUUUCCAUGGAAUUUGUCUGCUGAGAAACAAAUGGAAAUAGAAAAUUCAGAAUCUGACAAGUUUGUGUAGGGCAACUGGAUCUAAUCUCUUAGUCGAAGCUUAAUUGGGGCAAAUGCUGAUCAUCUUUGGACCAUUGAAGGCUCUAAUCUGUGCACAAUUCUAAUGUUUUUGUUUUCUUCAUUUCUUUUUCAACUGUUCAUAAUAGAUGUCAAAAGAUAAAACCGAACUUAUGUAGUCCAUCCAAGUGGAUGCAUAUAAAUUUAACAGAAACUGAAAUUCGAAGAAAUUUAUUUAUUUUUUUAAAUAUUUUAUUUUCUUAUAUAAUGCAUGUCAGGAUACCAUUCUGGCCUUACAUAAAGCUGAUGGUCAUCUGCUGGAUGGUGAUACCGCAUUUUGAUGGUUCAUAUUAUGUCUAUCAACACCUAGUUCAUCCAUGCUUGUCCAUUGAUCCACAAGUUGUCAUGAAUUGGCUUUUCAAUGAAUCAAAAAAGAAGUUUCAUAGCAGAGAAAACUUUCUUGUUUCAGCAGACCAAUAUAUUAAGGAGAAUGGACCUGAAGCUUUGAAGAAACUACUUGCUAGGAAGGUAUGCCAUUAUAAGUAGGAUUAUCAACAAGUCAAACAGAGUUUUAUUUGAGAUGUUCAAGUAAAAAAUGACUAUAGCAGGUCAUCUAGAAUUAUGUGGUCUAAAUUCAUGUAUAUAUCUAUAUAUAAUUGUGUUCUCUUUUUUUCACAUAUGCAUGUGCAUUUAGAUUUACAUAAUUAUAUAUGCAUAAUCAGAUUCAACUGUGAUAGCCCGGGAUUUAAUUCAGUAAUCAACUCUUCUGGGAACAUGUUGGUUAUGGUUUCUCUCUCACUGUCCUCUUAUUUAUACAUGACUUUGGCUUCAGUUGAGGAGCACAAAGCCUAAUGUUGAAGUGAAAGAGAUCAAAGCACCUGCAGCACCGGAGAAAAAAGGGGAAGCGGUAUGCACUCUAAUGUGGCUAUUUUAUUUCUAUGGAGGCAGAUCCCCAGAAAAAUGUUGCUCAUGUAAAUUAGUGAUGCAUUUAAAAGAAAAACCACUUUAUGUAUGUUUCUGUGAAAAAGAGAACAAGUUUAUGGAUUAAGUGAUAUUUUUUAUGGUGAAAUAAUCAAUAAUUUUCAAAAUAAUAAUAUAUUCGUGCAUGUUUUUGCAAUUCAUGAAUUCCUUUUACGAUUGAUUCUUCUCACCUCAGUGGAAGUGUGAAGAGCCUAAUGUUGCAGAAAAGGAGAUCCAAGUAGUCAAAGUAACAGACAUAAAAAAUGGGGGGAUGGAGCAAAGAGGGUAAGUUUUCCUUUUUAUUUAUAAGGAAGGCUGUCUUCACACAAGGAUUAUUGUUAUUAUUUUUAAGACAUGAAUGUUGAAUGCAUUUGGAAUUGUCGUUGAAUCAUGUGAAGUGUGAAGGUGCAAAUGGUGCUAAGAAGGAGAUCAAAGUGAUGGAAGUAACACAGAUAACAUUUGGUGAUACAGAACAGUGGGUAAGGUUUCUUGUCAUACUUAAACGGCACCUCAUAUUUCACUAGGAUUAAUUUUGGCCUACAAACAUAUUUGGCUACAAGUUGAAGACAGAUUUCCAGAUACUGGUAGAAGUUGAGACAUAAGUAAUGAAUGAGUUUAGAAACAUGCACAACUCUUGUGUGAAACACAAUGAGAGUGGAAAAUAGCUAAGUUGAAAAAUGGCCAAAUACUAUUUUGUAGUUCCCCCCACCACUUAAGUAAUUUUUGUCAUCCUUUGUGAAUGGACAAUGCAGUCCCUUCAGUAAUUCCGCUAUAUUCAUGACUUGGUGAAGCAUAUAACCAUUAGUGUCUUGUCCUAAGUUGACCUUUAAUGAUGAUCCAUUGAGAGGGAUCUGACUUUUGUCAACCCUCUUAGAGGUUAAACAUACGGGGCUUAACCCACUUUUCAAUCUCAUUGGAUAUAUGGCACGUGGUAUCCUCUUCAUCUUGAAAGAGUGAAGUGGUCAUACUCUUUCCUCCGAGUCCAUCGUGGCCAUGCACUUCUGGCUCAUUGGGCUGAGUGAAAGGAUUCCCUUCUGCUUCAAAUCAUAGAGAGAUAUGCCAUGGUCAGCCUCUUUAAUUUGAAGGAUUGAAGUACUCAAAUCCAUUUCUUUGCAUCCAUCUUAGUCCUGCUUCCAUGUCUCAUGGUUAACCAGGAAGAUCAAGCUUCCAUCCAUGAGAUCAGCAUCUGCAGGGUUAUGACUCCACCCUUCCUUGGCAUAGGAAAGCGAUCAUUAAGCCACAUGUCGGAUGACAGAAGUCGUCAUUCAGGUUAUCUUGAGAACUAGGGAAGUUGGAAUUCUAAUUAUUGCAUAUGGUUCUUGAUGUUUAGCCAAUAUACUAUAGGAUUUUAAGCAUCAUGCCCAUGUGCAUUGUGGUUUUUUAUCAGCUAUAUGGUUUACCAAACUGAGGGAUUGAUUAUAGUCAUAAGUACCCUUUUCCCAUUAAUUUCUUGCAUGUGCUUUGCUGAGAUUAUGUUUUUGACAGUGCUAAUCAGGGCAAACCAACAAACAGCUUUAUGUUAACUUUUACAAACUGCCACAUUUUCAGGUUGAACGAUCAGACAUAAAUCUUGGUGAAACUAGAAGUAAUACAACCUGUGCUGUGGAGAUAAAAGAAAGGGCAGCAGCACUGGUGGCUGCAGAAAUUGAGGCAUGUAGAGACAAUAGAACCCCCGAGAUACCUCUGCAUAAGAAAGUCCAGAAAGAGUGGGCUUGUGCUGUAUGCCAGUUCACAACCCAAAGUGAAGUGACCUUCAAUUCCCACCUUCAAGGGAAGAGACAUCAGGCCACUUCUGAGCAGUUGAGAGCCAAAAACCAGGCAACCAAAACCAAUUGUUCCCCAUCUGCUUCAAAGGCCAAGAAAUCUGAUCAGUCCACCAAAGAGGAGCAACCAAAGUGUCCUUCCAACAAUCUGAAUUCCAAAAACAAUGGAAUCUCAGCUGCUUCAACAGUGAAGAAACCUGACGAGACCAAAGAUGAUGAGCAACAAAAGUGUGCAUCCAGCAAUGGACCAAACCAGAAGAAUAACAAAAAGCAAGAGGAGAAGGUGCUAGUUCUUGAGACCAAUGAGCAAGGCCAUCAGAAUAAUUUUGAUCCACGAUCCCACAUUUAUUUUGGGUCUCACAAGUUUCAAAUUUGCAGAAAAAUGAAAGAUGUUUGAGAGAAAAUUAAAUCAUAUUGCACUACUGUUAGGAAAAAUAUGGCUGAAUCCAAUUGCUUUUCUUCUCCAAGUCUAUUAAAAAUAUAAUUUUUUCUCCAUUCCUGACAAAAUUUAAAUUUUUUCCUUAAAAAAAAAAAAAUUAAGUUUGAUCACCUAACACAUCUUUCUAAACUCAAUCUCAACUUGAAAAAUCAAACCUUAAUGGAUGGACUAUAGAAAUAGUGAGAAAACACUUCUGGGGUUUUUUUUUUCUUCCAACAUCAAAUUUUUCUAUAUAUGGGAUUUCACAUGCAAAAGCAGGAGUAGAUUUGCUUGUGUUUGAUGUAUGUAUUAGAAAAAUUUGUCCCUUCUGGGAUGUUUAAUACUUUUCUAUUCUUUUAUAUGCAUGUUUAGCUAGAAGAUAUAGAAUCGAUACCAUUCCUUAAAAGUGAUAGCCACAACUGUGAUAAUUAAACACCAAAGAAUGUGAAGAUCUAUAUAUUCUUUUUUUUUUCCUCUCUCUUUCAAUAAUGAAGCUAAGAUGUGUUGUAAGCAUCAAAUGCAUUGUCUCUGCUUGAAUAUAUACAAAGCCAAGGACCACAAGAUGGAUAGAUAUGGGGACGCACAAAACUUCUCAAACAUGAUUAUAUUAAUCAAGAAUUCAACUAAGCUUAAAUUCAAGAUGUUGAUUUCUAGCAUCUCUGGUGCUAUAGGAUGACUAUUGAUCCUGUACUGUUAUGUGCCCUACUGAUAUAUUCUUCGGGUUGUUAUGUAUAAAUAAAAUUUUUGGGAAAGUUUGCUUGGUGGUUACACUAUCACUAUUUAGGCCAGUAAAAAUUGGAAGCCUUUGUAAAAAACUGAUGGUCCAAGAGCUAUUCUACUUCAUCAUCCAUGUAAUAUGACGAUACAAAUUUGACUAAAUGCAGCUAUAGAAGGCUUAGGACCAUAAACCAAGCCUAGUCGAUGUCACUCACCUAAAUUUAUGCAUAAAGCUUUUGGAUGGCUCAGAGUUAUAUUUAAUUACUGUUAUGUUCGCAACUAUAUUUUCAUUGGAUUUAUAGUCCAGCUUGAGAACUAGUCCUCCAUUGCACAUAAUGUCCACACAAGGCCACAGUGCCCGCUCAAAGGCCAUAGCGCUACUCAAGGAUAUAGUGCUUACUCAAGGCCAUAGAGCCCACCUAAGGCUAACGACCCAAAAGGAGAAAAAGGUUGGUUCCACGUACUCUAAUAUUUACUAGAAAAGGUUCUUCCUAUUAAAGAACAAAAAAUUGCAUUCCCUUGUGACCAAUCCAAACAGUAGACCACUGACUUGUAUAAGGCAUUAUUCACCAUGCAAGCACUUUUUCAGCAACCUACCAUCUGGCAUGAACCAUUUUGGAUUGAUUCACAAAGCAAUGGUGUUAUAUUAAGCAUAUUCAAUAUAGAACCAAAUUGUGCCUCCUUAGAUUAACUAAAAUAUUUCCAUUGCAAGAUGUGCAGAUAGGCAUAUGAUCAUGAAGUAAUUUCCUGAUGAUAAUACCCCACAAAAUAUUUCUUUUUCUCACUGAUCUCUCCUAGAUUUUCAGUUCACCCAUCCAUGGCGCCUGACUAAAAAUGGGGGCAUUUUGGAUACCCCGAGCAGUAAGUUAGCCUGGUAGGCAUCCCGUUGCAAGCAAAGUCAACCCGAGCGGUCCAUUUGACCAAAGCUUAUCCAGGCAGUAAGCGUCCAUAUACAGCUAACUGUUAUGCACCAUCAACAGGUUGAGGUUACAAGAUUAAAGAGUCAUAAUGGCCAAAUGGAAGUUACACGACUCGGCCUAUAUAAUAACAGUAUGACAAAAAAUGCAGGUAUGAAGAACUAUCACUGAAAAAAUUUAUUCCUAAAAAUCCUUUAAGCUCCUUUAAGCUAACUUGGGCAUUGGAGAGGUCUCUCCGAAGCACACUCGAGCUUACCUUUUUGUAAGACAUCGAGAACAAGAGGCAUUGAAGUGAUUGUCCGGAGGGUUGAACUUGGUCGGGAACCAACAAUACACACUAUUCAAAAAUAGGGAUCAUAUUAAAUUAUUAAUGCAACCAUAGGAAGCAAUUGAGGACAAGGGUGUUAUUUGAUUAAAAGGGUAAUUGAAAACCUAAAUUUUGAAAUUUAACCCUCCAUUCUAUUUGGCCUUAUGUGAACAAAAAUGCCUUCAUUAUUUUCUUGUAAAAAUAACUCACCCAUUUAAACCUUACAUGAAAAUACUUAAAAUGGUAAAUGAUAUGUUAAAAAUUGAUUAUUUUUCAAAUAAAACAUAAGAAGGGUCAAAUUCAUGAAAGGAUUAUUUCAUCCCUUUUAAUCAAUUAAUUCGAUUUAUUUCUUUUUAUUUUUUUUCUCUCCAUGUUAAUUUUCACAUCACCCAACAACACCACUCUUAAUUCACACAAGUUUGAAGUUUUUGAAUGAGAUAUAUUCGUAAUUAUAUUGUAAUUGUGUUAUAAUAACCAUUUCGUACUUGGAUUUGUUCUUUCAGUCCAUUUAACCUUUUUGUUUAUUCAUGUCAAAACAAUGUACUUAUAAUCGAAUCCAUUUAUGACAUGUUGAUCUUAUAUAAAUUUAUUAAUUUUAUAUAUUUAAAAAUUAUAAAAAUUAAAUAUACUUUUUCAAUUAUGAAUAUCAUAUUACUAAAAUAUUAAAUAACAAAUUAACUUGAAAUGCUAUAUAUUUCAUUAAUUAUUUUAUAAUUAAAACAUUAAAUGAAAUAAUAAACAAGUAUAAAAUAGAAAAUUCUAUCUUAGUUAGAAAUUAUAAACUGUUAUUGAGACAUAUAAGUAUUAAAAUUCUACCCAUUUCACUACCAAACAACUUAUGUUUUUAGUCAUAAUUUAACCUUAUGAUGAACACUUAAAUAAAAUUUGUCAUCUUUUUCUAUUGAUUUAUAUUUAUUUAUUUAAAAAUUUUGUCUGGCAUAAACUAUCAUCUCACAAAAUCAUCAUUGAUGAGUAGGCUAUGCCCCAGUGUAAGCAUCUCCAAAUCAAACAUCAAUGAGAGGAGUACAACCAAUCAUACAUCAUCUUAUCAAAAUGAAUCUCCGCUUUUCAAAGUCAUCGUGGUAACGUGAAGAGAGUAUUUGACCUCCUCUAAAGAAAAAACAUGUCUUGAUGUGAAAAAGAUCAAGCAAAGUGGUAUGCCUCAACAAAAAUGUGCUCAAACAUGAUCAUGCCCCGAUGUAAGUUAGUAUCUCUAAGAUCAAUCGCCAAUGAAAAGGUUAUUCCCCAGUAUAGGGCAAACUCUGAAAUGACUAAACUCCGUUGCAAGCUCUCAUAAGUGUCUGUGUCAUGAUCCAAUCAUCGCAAAAAUUUGUCAACAAUGAUGAGAAGGCUAUGCUCCUAUAAUCACAUCAAAGAAAUCACUCGGUCAUAUUACUCCAAUGUGAAAGAAAUCUAAUCACCUCCAAGGAACAGCUAUGCCUCAAAACCAUCAUCGACUGAGAGGGGGAUGCCCCUGAUCCAAUCACCACCCUAACUAACGUACCCAUCAUGAGGAACACUUGUUUGAGCUCCAUAAUGGGGAUCAACCAUUAGAUGAACAAGAUUCGAAUAUUACUUGCUCCCCAUUUCAACCAAUGAAUGAUGUACCUGGAAACCUUGUAGACAACCAUAGUUUUCAGCCUUCUUCCUCGCGAUCAUCUAGAACAGAGUCGGUAAGCUUCACUCAUUUCUUAUAAUGGACCUUGACCCACAACGUCGAACUACCUGUAUGCAAAAUUAUCCGUCCAGAAAACCCAUCCAUACAAUUCAGGUUCAAAACCCACAAGAACCACCCUAUGAAUAAACUAAUUAUAGCUGGCUUCGUUGCAAUAGGCAUUAACUUUCUUAUGCUGACAGUCCUAGCAUCAUUUACCAAAGGAUCAACAACUUUUCCAUGUCAGAGAACAUUAUCAAUCACAAUGACACCCCUGGUCCUCACUAGUUGCGAUAGCAAUUUAAAGUAUUCUUGAUUCAAAGGGUAAACAAAACAAAAAAGAAAACCCUAAGUGUGACUCCUUAUUUGAAAAAUGUGGUUUAUGAAAAACCGGAUCGAGCUUAGGGGUCAGGUUACUUAUCGGGAAGGUACAAAAAAAACCGUAGCACCCCUCUAAGUCCCUAAAAUGGGUCUCUAUUGAUAAAAUGAAGCAAUCAUGGCAAUUGGUAAGGAAAUCAUUGAGUAUCAACAUGAUCACACAUUGAGAGUUAAAGCAUGCAUGAGGAAUGGUCAAAGUGAGAAAGGAUGCGUACCUUAGCAACGAGUCCCAAUGCGCUAUCAAGAAAUUGGGUUAGUGCACAAUCAAUAAAUAUAAAAUAUAACACACAUGCAUCACUAAAUAGGGUAAUAAAUCCCCGAUGACAAACCUUGCACUUCACUCAGGUUUAUUUCUACUUCUCUGAUGUUGGGCCCCACCAAAGCUCAUUUUAUUUUGCAUGAAUCAACUCCAAUAACUCCAUUAUUCGGAAUUACGAAAUUUAAUUCUUGCUUAUUUUAAAGCAUUUUAAAAAUAGAGGAGAUAUGAGAAUUGCUCGCCAGAAAAGAAGAUGGCGGCAAAAUUUUAAUGAAAAACGAGUUUUUGGAACCUAAGAAAAAUGUUAAGGAUGGAAAAUUUUGGAGGUUUGAAAUUAAUUAAAAAUUAGAAUUGAGGAAUUUAUUUACAAAAUGGGGUUUAGGAAAAUUAUUUUCAAAAAAAAAAAAUGAUGAAAUGAGAGAUGGCACGUGACACAAGGGUGGCCAUGCUGAAGGCGUUCUCUUCUGGCCCAAGCUGGAAAUGCACUCCAAUUAUCCUUCUUUUCUGGUAUAACACCUUCAUCAAAAUAAAUAGCUUUUGCACCAUACUCUGAUAGACAAGGACCAAUAACAAUGCCUAUAUUUGCCUUAAGUAGACAAAGUAAGUCACCCAUUGAACCUCCAAUAUAAAUUGUCAAGUGCUCUGUGUCAUUACUGCAUCCCUCCUUCAAGAUGUCCUUAGAAACCUAAAGCUUUUCCACGACAUACUCCAUCUUCUUAAUGAUUUCACCCGUGGAAAUGGAUUCUUCACAAGCCAACUCAUUUGAAUAUACUCUCAAAACACCCAUAUCACCUGAUGAAAAUGCUGAUCUAACGAAAUCGCCACACCAACAGUAUGAAAGUCCAUGAACAUCUGCUUUCAGAUUAUUAUUUUUAAGAAUCUUUUGGAAGAAACCUGUGCAACCAUCUUGAAGAAUUAGACCUUGACCAACCUGUUUUAUAUCAUCUGAAUUUAAACCCUUCAAUACUCCAGACUGAGUCACUCUUGAAUCUGCCUUUUCCUCAAAAUCAGAAAGUUGCUCAAGUGCUUUACAUAAGCCUUCAUAAUUGAAUUUUUCCACUGUUUCACUGGGGACGAUGCUUCCCAUGCAUUUUUCAAGCUCUUCAGUAUGCUGGGUAGAUAGAACACCCCAUGUGUGUGUCCAGAUCACCAUGAGUGACCAUUUGAACCUUGACGAAUGAGAGAGUACAUAACAUUUAAGCACACAGGACAUAUAUUAACAUUCUCCAUUAGCUUCUCUUUGCCUUUGUCCACCUCUUGACCUCCCAUGCAGCCAACUGUGAAGACCACGUCCAGGUGCAGUCACGUGGUGACACAUCUCAUGGUCUUCCUCAUCCAAUAAAUCACAUGCUCUGUUAAAUCUGCUACCCGAAUGGAUACCUCCUAUCCAUCAACCUGAAUAUACUCCGAGCUUUCUUCAUAAAACCCAAGAAACUCCAGAAGGCAUCAUGGUUCUCCUCCAUCAUUGAAAUGAUUAGGGAUAGUAAAUCACUCAUCCCUUAGCAAUAUCCCAUUUUUAAACCAUAGGGUGCGUAGGCUUCUAGAAUAGUAGCAAAGUGAGCAACACGGAAAAUCUUGCGUGGAUCCAAGUUCCAUGAUGGUGAUCGUAGCCUCACCUUUGAAAUCACAAGACCCAGAACCCAUUCGUUCUUCCUGGUAAUAACUAUCAGAUGCAUAGGAGGCAGGGUUCUUCAGAUUGUUGAUUUGGUAAAAGCCUCUUCUGGUUGAACCCCUGAAUGAUUCACUUUUCUCAGUCCGCAAACCUAGUUCAGAACAGCCCGCAAGAUCAGAACCUUAACCUAGGCGUGGAGAUCCAGUGUUGUAUAACGCCUCAAUUGUCGGAAGCAGCCAUGGCCCAAACAAUGAUAUAAUGGUCAGCAAGUUGUCCCCAAGGACCAUGACAGUGAUGAGCAUUUCCGGGCAGCGCGUCACCACGUUCCACGUCGCGACGGUAAUGGCUAUGGACUGAGUGUCAUGGUCAGGGAGCUUGAUGAAGCAGGUGAAAAUCUGGUGUUUUAGAUUCUGAGGCAAUGACUGCUUGAUCGGUCGGAUUCUAGUACCGGCGUUACAUUGGGGAGGCAAUCUUAAAGUUCCAACGGAGGUAGUAGUGGACUAAUAUUCCUCAAUAACCAAACUUGAGUUUCUCACUUUCCGCUUCUCAAGGCAUUCACCUGAAACGCUUCAGGCGCCCAAACCCUUUCUGCUCAUCAGUAUAAUCACGCGCAUGAAAGUCUUAACUGCCUUCUAAACUUCACAACUUCAUCUUGCAUCUGGGUCAUCGUCGGCACGAACUUAUCACCUGAUUCAGUUAAUAUCCCCAUAUAACAAGUUCCAAUGAAGUCGCAACUUUGCAUCUUCUUUUCUGCGAUUACUUUGAUUCUCAAAGCCGAUUACUUGUUGCAGUCCAUAGGAGAUUCAAUAAUCAAACAUCAUGCACAAGCAAAAAGGCAACAAAAUACAUCGGCAUGUGGCCCAUACACCCUCCAAAAUCUUCACUCAUUUAGUAAGUUUUAGAUUCAAAAGAGUUAGCCUUCUGGUGAGCAACCCGAUACCCAUAACGAAUGAUGUAUCUGAAACACCUUUCCCACGUGGCCCUUGAAGGAUUCACUAGAAGGUGACCAUGCAUAGUAGGUCUUCACUCGCAGGAGAAUGAGAAGGAAAUAAACCUAAAGGGGGGUUGACAGCGUAGUCUAGAAGGUGAUGAGCUGAGCGGGUGGGGGUAUUAGGGUGGUCAAGUUCAGUGGGUAUGAAGGGUGGAAAGAUGGCAUGAUAGAGGAAUAAGCAGCUGAUAGUGGGUGCGAUGAUAUAAGGUAGGUUGACUAUGGAGAGUAUGGCAUUAAAGGAUGAAGACUUAGAGAGAGAGAGGUGGGUUUAAGGGUAUGGUGAGAUGGAGGGUUGAGGGUGAUAGGCUUGGAUAGUUGCAUGAGGAGGAUGAAAGGUGGGUAUGGAAAAUGUGCAUGGGUAGGAAAUGGGUAUAACAAUGGGUGUGAAUAUUGAGAGGUAGUGAAAUGAAGGCAGCCUUGCUCGUAUGGAUCAGUGUCGGAUUGAGUUAAGAAUGGUGAGAGAAAGGGAUUCGAUGAAUAUUGAAUGAUGGAAAAUGGUGAUUGGUUAGAUAGGGAUUUGUGGUCGAAUGGAAAUAGGAGACAUGAACAUAGAGAUGAGUGUGAUGGAUGAUAGUGGGCAUGAAGGGUAUUGGAUUUGUUCAUGGGUAUAGUGGUUAAAAGAGUGGUGAGAAGAAAAAAAAAUGGCCAUGUAAAUAGCAAUUAUACAUGUGGGCCCGUGAUUGCAAACGGGACUGCAUUGUUGCAUCUCAUGCUGAACCCUCACCUCCUUCUAGGAUCAUUUUCUGCAUCAAAGCUAGAUAAACUUAGAUGGUAUUUCCUGCCAAUUUUGGAUGCCCCCCACUUUGGAAAUAUUUCCUUUUCACCCAUCAGAAUAUGCUUAUCAGGUGUACUUGACUCAGGUUCAUUCCCAUAUUGCCUCUCUGAUUUAUGAUCUUCAAAGGUUUUGCAUGAAGGAAGCCUUUCACUGCAUUCCCCUUCAUCCACCAGACCUUCAGAGCAUCGUUUCCAACAAAAGCAACCUUGACUCUUCUAGUCCCAUCAGAAAAAAGUCUGAAUAUCCUCAGUUUAUGUCAUCCCUUGAUGCCCAACUCAGAAAUGAUCCAAAAAACAGUCAUCUCCCAUAUUUGGCUUCCCAGAAACACCUCGACUCAGAUGGCCAGUCCAAAUGUGAUACCCAACAUUCUAAAAAUGCUAAAAACAGAGGAGAUGAUGAAGAAAAACAGAGCAUGUAUAAAAGAAAAAAAAAAGGACUGUUAAAUCUCACUCCAUUCCAUAAAUGCUAAUGGGGUGGAUAUGGUGGAAUCAAAAGGAAGCAAGAGCGUGAUCUUCAAAAUCAAAAGCAAUGAUGGAUCCAUAUUCAAAACGUUCCAGAAUAGAGAAAGACACAAAUAAGGAGCAGGGUUUUUUUUUGUUACUGGCAGGAAGAUAUUUUUUCUAGAGAGUAACUAGAGAGAAAAAUAGGAAGAAAAGGGAAGAGCAUAGAAGACAUCUACAUAGGAGAGUAUUCAUUGUUGUGAGGAGUAGUAGAGAGCUUAGGAGGAGUUACAAAGAGAGUGAGUUUGGUUAGAGGAGGAAGUUUUGUUGGUUUUUCAGAAAGGAUUCUAGCUUGAGUGAGAGCCAUUCUAGAGAGGGUUAGAGAGGAGAAAGGUGUGUUUUGAGCAGCAAAGACACGAAGCAAAAUAGAGCAGCCAGGAAAGAGAAGCAGAAAAUCAAAAUUACUAAAAAAUUAGUGAAAGCUGUGAAAUUUCAUAUUGUUACUAAUUAUUAUAAUUUUUUUUUGUAUUUUCAAUAUUUCAACCAAUAUUUUAUAUAAUUAAAUUUAAAUUAUAAGAAUUAUAUUAUUAAUACACAUAACUAUCUUAAUGUUUUAACAAUGUAUACUUAUUUAAAUUUAUUUCAAUUUUUUUAUUUUUUUAUAAAUAUCUAAUUAGACUUAUAAUUCAUUGAAAUUAUUCAUUUUUUUUUUACUUCAUAAACCAAUUAUAUUACUUUUUGUAUUUUCAAUAUUCAUUUGGAAAAAAUAAUUUCAAUUUAAAAUAAAAUAAAUUAAUUAACUCUCAAUUUAUAAAUUGUGUCAUUGAAUUAUUUUUUAUUUAUAAUAUUUAGUUUAUUUUAAAUUUAAUUUUUUUUCUUCACCUUUUGGUUUAUCACUUUAUAUUAAAAAAUAAAAUAAAAUUGAAUUUCUUUUAAUUUAUAUUUUCACAAAUUAUUCAAUAUUUUUUUAAUUUUUAUAAAAUAAAUCCUCAGAUUAUAUAAUUGGAUGUUGUAAAGAGUUAAAAUUUUUGUGUUGCAUUGAAUUAUUUUUUCUAACAAAAGUAUAUUUGGGUACCGUAGACAUUAUAUCCAUAUCUUAACGUAUUAUAUACUUUUAUUUUGUGCAAUUAGCAAUUGAGCGGAAGACGCGGAGCCGGCUAACGGAAAUACCGCGUGUCACGCGUGUCCCUUCCCGUACCAAGUCUCAACUGCUUCAAGAUUUCCGACGCGCCCUUCUUCGCUUAACUCUUAAGUCUUUUCUUCCACUCUUCCUUAAACCCAUCACAUUUCGCCGCGUGGACCUAAGUCUCAAUGUCCUUGUGUUCAUACGAUGUAUGUUCCCCCAAUUCCUCAUCUACACUGAAACUCCAUACUCGCCUACUCAAUCACUUCUCUACUCUAGAGUCUGGAUGCUUAUCUCUGCGCGUGUCGAUGGCUCUUCACCCCAGCGAGUAUGGCAUUACAAGGGCAAUAUCGUCAUUAAAGACACAACAGAGUGUCUAUUUUAUUUAAGCUGUACGUAAUCGUGAUUGACUUCUUAGUAUCCUUUUGCUCCUAGUCUUCUCCCGCGUCUCUUAUAAAAACUAAAGAAAACCACUCCAAGAGAGCACACUACAAGAAUCUUCUUCCUUUUUUUCUUUCCUCUUUCUCUUUACAGAUAAACUGAGAAAGCCCAGCUCAUCCCUCAAUUCCCAGAUGGGUUUCAUGAAUGUUCUCAAGUUCUCAGCUGCAUGCUUUGAUCUUCUUGGCUGGUAUGUUGUCCACGCGUUUUCUUGCCAUUGGAAAUUUUUGGGAAAUGAAGUGGAAUUCUCUGUUUGAGGACAAACAUGGGAUUUUCUUUGAUUUCUCCCUGUUGGUUUUAUCUAUAUUCUUUGAAUUACCCACAUUCUUGUCAUUGAUUGUUAGUCAUUUGUUUGGAUUUCUACUUGCAGGCCUCUAUGUGCACUGGGUUAUCCUCUGUAAGUCUUGGUCUUACACCUCAAGAUAUGAUGAUUCAUUUACUCUUUUCUUGUUCUACGAAUGGUUCAGUUACAUUUAUUGUGUUGGGAAACUGAAAAGGAAAAGGAUUAUUAGUUAUUAUCGUAAUAAUCAUCAACAUCAUCUCGGUUCUUCACAGAUGUGCUUCAAUUCGGGCAAUUGAGACUAACUCAAUCUCAGACUUUCGGAAGUUGGUGGCGUAUUGGGUUCUAUUUUCCUUGAUUUCACUCUUUGAUCAUGCUUUUUCCAAGCUCCUUGAAUGGUAAUUUUGCUCAACUGCAUUCCACUAUAUGUGACUCUGUUUGUUUCAUUUCUUUGCCCUUAAGGAAUUUGGAGUUGCUUUUUUCAGUUUUCUUUCCUAUGAAAAUAAUCGAGAGGUCUCCAUGUAUUUUAUAUUCCUUCAUUUCUCUGCUUUGACAAAGGCCCACAUUCUGAUCAGCAGAAAGGUUAUAACAUUUGAAAAAGAAGUGCUUUAUUUUUGUUUUUUGUUAGUACAAUAAUUUUCGUUUGGAUAAAUGGUCUGAAGGGUGUUUGUGUUUGGCUGAGUUCAUGGAAUUUUCUAGCUAAUUUGGGAUUUAUUCUCAAUUUCAAGAUCAUUGUGGAUAUGUCAGAAAUUAAUGAAAUAUAAACGGUGGAAUGUGAUUUUCUUGUUUAAGAAAAGUUUUUCUUUGAAAAUACGGGUGCACCUGACCUACCUUAUUGUGCUACUUGGAACACAAAACAUUAGUACAGGUAAUUUAUUAACUAAAUUGUACACUUUUUGAUAGUUCAAGGAGGUGGUUUUCUUCUUUUAGGGUGUCAGCUUUGGAAAUAGGAUGGAUCUAAAAGUUUUUAUGUCUCAUCUUUAUAGGGAACUUGAAAGCAUGGAUGCACUUAUUUCCAUGGAAUUUGGCUUCCUUGAAAUCAAAUUAAGCUUUAUGCAUCAUUUGGAUGCUGAGAAACAAAUGGAAAUAGAAAAUUCAGAAUCUGACAAGUUUUUGUAGGGCAACUGGAUCUAAUCUCUUAGUCGAAGCCUAAUUGGGGCAAAUGCUGAUCAUCUUUGGACCCCAUUGAAAGCUCUAAUCUGUGCACAAUUCUAAUGUUUUUGUUUUCUUCAUUUCUUUUUCAACUUUUCACAAUAGAUGUCAAAGGUUAAAACCAAAUUUACGCAGUCCAUCCAAGUGGAUGCAUAUAAAUUUAACAGAAACUGAAAUUCGAAGAAAUUUAUUUUCCCUUUUGUAAAUGGUGUUUAAAUAUUUUAUUUUCUUAUAUAAUGCAUGUCAGGGUACCAUUCUGGCCUUACAUAAAGCUGAUGGUCAUCUGCUGGCUGGUGAUACAGCAGUUUGAUGGUUCAUAUUAUGUCUAUCAACACCUAGUUCAGCCAUGCUUGUCCAUGGAUCCACAAGCUGUCAUGAACUGGCUCUUCAAUGAAUCAAAAAAGAAGUUUCAUAGCAGAGAAAACUUUCUUGUUUCAGCAGACCGAUAUAUUAAGGAGAAUGGACCUGAAGCUUUGGAGAAACUACUUUCUAGGAAGGUAUGCCAUUAUAAGUAGGAUUAUCAACAAGUCAAACAGAGUUUUAUUUGAGAUGUUCAGGUAAAAAAUGACUAUAGUAGGUCAUCUAGAAUCAUUUGGUCUAAAUUCAUGUAUAUAUCUAUAUAUAAUUGUGUUCUCUUUUUUUCACAUAUGCAUGUGCAUUUAGAUUUACAUAAUUAUAUAUGCAUAAUCAGAUUCAACUGUGAUAGCCCGGAAUUAUUUCAGUAAUCAACUCUUCUGGGAACAUGUUGGUUAUGGUUUCUCUCUCACUGUCCUCUUCUUUAUACAUGACUUUGGCUUCAGUUGAGGAGCGCAAAGCCUAAUGUUGAAGUGAAAAAGAUCAAAGCACCUGCAGCACCGGAGAAAAAAGGGGAACAGGUAAGUUCUCUAAUGUGACUAUUUAAUUUCUAUGAGGCAGAUCCCCAGAGAAAUGUUGCUCAUGUAAAUUACUGAUGCAUUUGAUUCAAUGGCAUGGUUUUAAAAGAAAAACCACUUUAUGUAUGUUUCUGUGAAUAAGAGAACAAGUUUAUGGAUUAAAUGAUAUUUUUUAUGGUGGAUUAAUCAAUAAUUUUCAAAAUAAUAAUAUAUUCGUGCAUGUUUUUGCAAUUCAUGAAUUCCUUUUAUGAUUGAUUCUUCUUGCCUUUUUUCUCACCUCAGUGGAAGUGUGAAGAGCCUAAUGUUGCUCAAAAGGAGAUCCAAGUUGUCAAAGUAACAGAGAUAAAAAAUGGGGGGGAUGGAGCAAAGAGGGUAAGUUUUGCUUUUUAUUUAUAAAGUAGGCUGUCUUCACACAAGGAUUAUUAUCUUUAAGACAUGAAUGUUGAAUGCUUUUGGAAUUGUCCAUGAAUCAUGUGUAGUGUGAAUGGCCUAAUGCUGCUAAGAAGGAGGUCAAAGUGACAGAAGUAACACACAGAACAUUCGGUGGUACAGCACAGUGGGUAAGGUUUCAUGUCAUAUUUAAAUGGCUCCUCAUAUUUCACUAGGAUUAAUUUUGCCCCUACAAACAUAUUUGGCUACAAGUUAAGACAGAGUUCCAGAUGCUGAUAAAGUUGAGACAUAAGUAAUGAAUGAGUUUAGAAACAUGCACAACUCUUGUGUGAAACACAAUGAGAGUGGAAAAUAGCUAAGUUGAAAAAUGGCCAAAUACUAUUUUGUAGUUCCCCCUACCACUUAAGUAAUUUUUGUCAUCCUUUGUGAAUGGAAAAUCCAGUCCCUUCAGUAAUUCCGUUAUAUUCAUGACUUGGUGAAGCAUAUAACCAUUAGUGUCUUGCCUUAAGUCGACCUUUAAUGAUGAUCCAUUGAGAUGGGUCUGACUUUUGUCAACCCUCUUAUUCCCUUGAUCAUAGAGGUUAAACUUAGGGGGCUUAACCCACUUUUGAACCUUAUUGGAUAUAUGGCACAUGGUAUCCUCUUCAUCUUGAAAGAGUGAAGUGGUCAUACUCUUUCCUCUGAGUCCAUUGUGGCCAUGCACUUCUGGCCCAUUGGGCUGAGUGAAAGGAUUCCCUUCUGCUUCAAAUCAUAGAGAGAUAUGCCAUGGUCAGCCUCUUUAAUUCAAGGGAUCGAAGUACUCAAAUCCAUUUCUCUGCAUCCAUCUUAAUUCUGCAUUCAUGUCUCAUGGUUAACCAAGAAGAUCCAGCUUCCAUCCAUGAGAUCAGCAUCUGCAGGUUUAUGACACCACCCUUCCUUGGCAUAGGAAAGGGAUCAUUAAGCCAUGUGUUGGAUGACAGAAGUCAUCAUUCAGGUUAUCUUGAGAACUAAGGAAGUUGGAAUUCUAAUUAUUGCAUAUGGUUCUUGAUGUUUAGCCAAUAUACCGUAGGAUUUUAAGGAUCAUGCUCAUGUGCAUUGUGGUUGUUUAUCAGCUAUAUGGUUUACCAAAAUGAGGGACUGAUUAUGGUCAUAAGUACCUUUUUCCUAUUAAUUUCUUGCAUGUGCUCUGCUGAGAUUAUGUUUUUGACAGUCCAAAUCAGGGCAAACCAACAAACAGCUUUAUGUUAACUUUUACAAACUGCCACAUUUUCAGGUUAAACGAACAGAGAUAAAUCUUGGUGAAACUAGAAGUAAUACAACUUGUGCUGUGGAGAUAAAAGAAAGGGCAGCGGCACUGGUGGCUGCAGAAAUUGAGGCAUGUAGAGACGAUAGAACCCCCAAGAUACCUCUUCAUGAGAAAGUCCAGAAAGAGUGGGCUUGUGCUGUAUGCCAGGUCACAACCCAAAGUGAAGCGACCUUCAAUUCCCACCUUCAAGGGAAGAGACAUCAGGCCACUUCUGAGCAGCUGAGAGCCAAAAACCAGGCAACCAAAACCAAUUGUUCCCCAUCUGCUUCAAUGGCCAAGAAAUCUGAUCAGUCCACCAAAGAGGAGCAACCGAAGUGUACUUCCAACAAUCUGAAUUCCAAAAACAAUGGAAUCUCAGCUGCUUCAACAGUGAAGAAACCUGAUGACACCAAAGAUGAUGAGCGACAAAAGUCUGCAUCUAGCAAUGAACCGAACCAGAAGAAUAACAAAAAGCAAGAGGUACAGACCAAUGAGCAAGGCCAUCAGAAGAACUUAAAGCAAACUGGCGAUGGAAUGAAAGAGUUGAGAUUAUGCUGCAAUAUCUGUAAUGUAAGCUGCACAAGUGAGCUUGACAUGGCCUCUCAUCUCAAUGGAUGGAGGCACUUUAAUAUGAUAAAGGAGGCGUCUGAAUUAUGGUGCAGUAACUGCAAUGUAAGGUGCAACAGUGAGGCUGUCAUGGCCUCUCACCGAAAUGGGAGGAGGCACUUGAAGCAGCUGAAGGAACGGUCGGGAUUAUAGUGCAGUAUCUGUAGCGUGAGAUUGUGUUAGGAAGAGGUGGAAUGGGUUCCAAUCAGGAAUUAAGACUCGGUUCCAAGACAUGGAAAGUGUCUUUAGAUUAUGUUAUCUCCAUUUUUUUUAUUGUGAGAGGGGAGUAUAAGGAAUGAAAAUAAAUAUAUAUAUAUUUUUUAAUAGAGAUGAAUUUGAUAAUUUUAAUUAUUGUGUUUUGAUGUAUUUAGGAAUGUAAAAUUAAAAUAAUUAUUUAUUUUCAUUUUAGUAUUUGACAAUAAUAAAAUUAUGAAUUAAAAAAUAAUGUGAUAAUAAUACAUUUAUAUUUAAUUUAAAAUAUUUUUUAUUUUAUUUUAGAAGAAUAUGGGUUAAAUUCUUUUUUUAAAUAAUAAGCUUAAGAAAAAUAAUUUUUACUCAAUAAAUAAAAUUAAUCAUAAAAAGUCAUAACAACCUAAUAAAAAUAUAGGGGUAAAAUAAUAAUUUUAAAAUAUUAUUUAAGUUAUCCAAACAAAUUUGACUCUUCAUUCUCUCUCUUGAACCAAAUACGGUCUUUUAAGCGUUUGUCAACUUAUUUUUUUUUGCAAAAUAUCAAUAUUUUACUAAUAUUUUUAUCGAUUAUUUGCCAAUAUUUAUCGCCACGUCACCAAUUCUUUGAGUUUGACUUUCAAAAUUUUGAAAUGAUAUUUGAAGUCCAGUUCAGCCCAAAUCACUACACCCAUGAUUUUUCCCUUUUCUUUUUCUCCUUAAUUUUCACAUCACCCAACAACACUACUCUUAAUUCACACAAAUUUGAAGGUUUGGAACGAGACUUCUUCCUAAUUAUAUUGUAAUUAUGUUAUAAUAACCAUGUCGUAUUUGGAUUUAUUUAUUCAGUCCAUCUAAAUCUUUUGUUUAUUCAUGUAAAAAGAAUAUAGUUAUAAUCGAAUCCAUUUGUGACAUAUUCAUCUUUUAUAAAUUUAUUAAUUUUAUAUAUUUAAAAACUAUAAAAAUUAAAUAUAUUUUUUCAAUUAUGAAUAUCAUAUUACUAAAAUAUUAAAUAACUAAUUAACUUGAAAUGUUUUAUAUUUCAUUCAUUAUUUUAUAAUUACAACAUUAAGUGAAAUAAUAAAUAGGUUAAAAUAUAUAUUUUAUUUUAGUUAAAAAUUAUAAAUUGUUAUUGAGACGUAUAACUAUUAAAAUUCUACCCAUUUGACCAUCAAACAAACAACUUAAGUUUUUAGUCAUAAUUUAAGCUUCUGAUAAACUCUAUUUCCAUAAAUUAGAAACCGAAAUCAAUUUCUUCUUAGACUCAAAAACAUAAAGACAAUCUUUUAAUUCUAGAAGACAUCUAUCAUUUAAGAUAAGGGUAACAUAUCCCAUUGCCUAAACAACAACUCUUGCUUCAAAAGCCAAUGUCAAGUACAUAUCCCUAUCAUUCAACCUUUCCCUUAGCUAAAACCCCUAUAAAGAAUUAUAAACAUAAUCAAUGGCUCCAAAAUUUAUCCACCAAGAGUUAGUGGAAUCCAACACUAAACAUAAUUCAACUAUAAGAGAAUGAUGCAUAGUUGACUAUCUCUUCAAGAACUAAGGACAUUCCUUCUUCUUCUAAUGGCAUUUUUUACCACAAAGGAAACACUUGUCAUGACCCUUACUCUUCUUCUUCUUCCCCUUAGCCUUAAACUUCCCCUUCUGCUUGAUGAACUCUAUAGUGUUCUUCUUAUUUUGGCUAGAAAAACCUAAAGAACCCUUAACUGCCAUAUAAAUACCUCUCUGGUCCUUGAGAAUUCCCUCAGUCAUUUUGUGUUCUCUCAUUAGUUCAAUUGUAGUUUAAGAAAAAUAAUGUUUUUUAUUUUAUUUUAUGUGAUUGAACUUGGAAUGAAUUUCCAAGUUGCAUACAUACUUGGGUUGAGAUCAAGUCAUAACGUAGUUUAAGAAAAAGAUUUUUUAUUUUUUAUGUGAUUGAACUUGGAAUGAAUCUCUAAGCUACCUACGUAUCCAAGAUGGGAUCAAGUUCUAACAUAGUCACAAUGCAGUUCAAGAUUUUUUUUUUUCUUUUUUUGUGCUCUAACUUUUGUCAAGACUAAAGAUCUUAAUCUUGCAAGCAUGUCCUAACUUUUGUCUAGGUCACCUUUCCAAGUUUUCAACUUAGCAAACAUUUUUUUUUUUUGUUCUCUAACGUUUGCCAAGACAAAAGAUUUUAAUCUUGCAAGCAUGUCAUAACUUUUACCUAAGUCAGAUUUUUAGGUUUUCAAUGUGGUGGAUUUUUUUGUUUUUUAUUUUUUAUUUUUUAUUUUUUGUGUCGUAGGCAAUUUAGCUCAUACGGCCCAGAAGCGAUGUGUAGUUUGUUGGGAUUCAACCCUUAAAAGCAAAACAUGAUGUAACAAAGUUAGACUUAACUAUCCCCUUGCUAUCAUUUUGGUGUAUUAACAUUGAUUUAAACAUUCAACUCAUAUUUUACAUUGUACAUGACUUAGGUGCAUUAGGAGUUGCUCAUAAGAUACAUGGAUUCCUUGUAAGUAGAUGAGUUAUCCAUAGUCAGUUCAUGGAUUUGGGCAAUCUAGUAGAGACUGUAAUGCACCACCUCUUAAUUGAAGAGAUGACUUGUCUUGACAGUUGGGAUAGGUUUCCUAUGGUGAGUGCACUAGUAUAUAUGAUGCACAUUGGAUAGGACCUACGGUAAAUCAUGAGCAAAGCUAUCAAUUGUCAUGAUUCACCAAGUUACGAUACUGCAUGGACUCUCAAUCUUGAGAGGACAUUGAACCUGUGCCAAAAUCAACAAAAAGCUUUCACCUAUAGAUGAGACCUUAAAGUGAUCAUAUAUCCCUAUGGAUUGAGUCACUAUUGAUGAAGGUUGGUGGUAAUAGGUAUUCUCAAUAGAGGCACCAUGAUAUCUCAUGAGAUUGAGACGGUGUGUCCCCUUGGGUGAUACAAAGGACAUGUGAUCAUAAAAUCUGUGACCAUAGUAAUUCUUUUAUUGAAAUUUGACAUAUACCCCUUCGAGCUAGAGUAUGUCAGUUGAUUACAUAAUAAGUGGCAUCUAUAACUUAAGGAUUUGAGAGGUAAUCUUGAUAGGUGAUAGCACUACCUUGUUAGAUUAUGGACACCAGUUCAUGGGGAAUCUACAUGCAGUGGAUGAUAUGUCACGAACGCGAGCUUCAUAUCGUUGUUAUUAACAUAGGAUACUGGAGUGCAAUUGAUUCUCUUUAGUAGAAUGUUGAAUCAACUUCAAAAUGGAUUAUGAGGGAGCCAAUACUCCUAUGGGUCUUAAUGGUCCCCACUCUGAGCUCAUAUACCAUGAUGACACAGUUUAUGAGGGUUUGAUUGGCUUUAUGUUCAUUUUUGUGCAUAAGGGCAUUUUGGUAAUUACACAAGGUUACAUAGGGGAUAGUCAAUAAGGUCUUUAGAUUGGGCCAAUUGAUUAAUUAGAUGACCUUAUGUGGUUAAUUAAUCAAUUAUGAUAUGUUUAGGCUAGAUUAAAUGACCCAAGCCUUGAUGAAUUUAAGUCACUUAAGCCUAGCAGAUAACCUUAUAAAUACCCUCUUAUGGGUUAGGGUUUCCUAAUGACUUUCAGUUAAUCAUCUUCCAUCCCUAGAAAGAGAAAGAGAGCCAAAUCUUUCUCCCUUCCAUUGCCCACACUUUGGUAUGCCAAGAUCAUGGUUCAAGUCACUGGGAGGAAGAUCUUGGGUGUACAAGACCUUCGGACUCUUUAAGUUUCUUCUUCGUUGGAUGAAUUUUUAUUUGGGACACAUCUAGAUCAUAAGUAUGUGUUAGAAAAUUUGGCUAAUUCAACUUAAGGUAAUCACUCUAGAGGAGGGGUGAAUAGGGUGAUGAUCUUUUUUUACAAAUUUAAAUUAUGUGAAUGCAAGAGACAAUUAUACUAUGCAAAUAUAUAGUAAAACCAUAUAAAAAUAAUUGCAUAUAAAGUACAAGGGUAGAAAAUAGAGAAUAUAAACACAAGAUUUUUAUAGUGGUUUGGUGCAACUCGGCCUACAUCCAUUCUCCUCUAGCUUCAAUCCCAAGUUUGAGGUUCCACUAAUUCAAGGCUUCCAACCUAACCCUUCAAGCAAUACAAUUGGAUUAUGGUUCCAAUCAAACCUUUUGGACUUUUGGCUCUAAGCACCUUUUACAAUCUUUGAUUCGUGCCUAACUGGUGUUUGCCCUGUUGAUUGGUGUUCAAUCAACUGAUGUGCUUUGAUUUCAGUCCUCAGACGAGAGUAAUCAACAAAAUUUAUAAACCUAUUUCACCAUAUACUAGGGUAGCAUUAGCUAGCAUAGCAUAGUGGCUCUAGGAUCGUCCACAGGGAUGGGUUUUCAAAUUACAAUUGAUAUUAGUUCAAAAACUGAAUUGGUGUUUUUUCUUUUCAAGGUUAGCUUUAAAAGAAAACAUAAGUAUGUGUGAAAAGGUUGGUUUUAAGUGAAACCAAAAAUAAAGUAACUGAAAUUACUUACAAAGAAAAGUGCUUCUUGGAGUUUUAGAUCACUAGGCUCAAGUUCCUUAUACAAAAAGAGAGAUUCCGAUCACUUGGAUCUUUUCCUAGCAUUGGGGAUUUAACAUAUAGUUAUUUCCCGAACCGGUGCGGUACAGAUGCUUCCCCUUAAUGGUUUCAAACACUAAAUCUCUAUCACUGAAUCAUCUUGUAAUGGUUCAUACCUCUCACCUGGUAUUGGUCAUUUAAGGUGAUCAUUAACCUUGGAUUACCCGUCAAAAGCUCGCAAAAGAUAACUAAUGAAUGUCUCCUAGGAGUCCAAAAGCUUACCAAGUGUUGGCUAUUCUAGAUAAUCCUACCUUUAAACCAUCUCCCAAAAGCUCGCAAGAGAUAAACUAGUGGAUCUCAAUGGACGGAGUCCACUUGCCUUACCAAGUGUUGGCCCAAGUGAUUUUAAGGGAUUUUAAGUUAACUAAAAAGAUAAAAACCAUUAACGGGUCACACUUUCUCUUCAUUAAAACCUGAAACAAUGAAACUUCCACUUUUGUAUACGAAACCUUACCUAGCUUCCUUCACUCCAAGAAACAAAAAGCCUAGCCACUCAUCCUCUAGGAAAACAUCCUCAGAGUUUGAUUUGGUAGAAAUAAAAAUAAAAGAGAAAACCAAAUGUGAAGGUAAGGCCGAGCAGAGCUCUGUGUAUUACUUUAUGAAAAACUAUACAAAAUUUGUCUCUAAGAGAAACUCCCCCGAGAUCUCUUUUAAAAGAAAAUUACAAUAGAUAUCAUAUAAAGAGGCUAUUCACCCCUCUUGCUAACUUCCCAACCAUGAAAACUUGUCAAUGGUGGGUUACAAGGAGAAAAUAGGGAUUUACACACAAAUAUUUGAAGAUAAACAUCAAACUGAGUCGGUGCGCAAAUAUCUCAGAUUACAAGUGGAUUUCGCAAGUUCAAACGCAACUUGCAAAAAUUUUGCAAGUUGAAAUUAUGGUUUCGCAAGUUGCGAAAUUGUCCUGCAACUAAUCAGCUCUCUGUCCUACAACAAUUCCUUUCCUCUUCCUAUUUCGCAAGUUGUGAGAAUUUCGCAAGUUGGAUUCCACAACUUGCAAAAUUGUUGGAUGGUUGAUUUCUUUUGUGAUUUUCUUCCUUGCAUCCUCAUUUGGCUUUGGCAAAGGGUUAUGAAGCUCCAAAGCUUAGUUUCUUCAUGAAUUUGAGCUUCAACUUGCUUUGCCAUGAACUAUACAAAGAUCUCCCUCAUUCUUGGAUUGCUUUGGUGAUAAAAAAGCUAUGAAAAACACCAAAACUUAACACAAUUUGAUUAGAAACGAUUGUAAGGGUCUUUAACAUGCCAAUUGAGUUAAAAGGUAAUAGCUACUACUCAAAAGUGUUUAAAAGAGUUAAUUACAAGCUAUAAAAUGACCCUUUUUGAAGUUCAACCCCUUAAGUGAUACCCCUUAAGUGAUACCCCUUAAUUCAAGAGAUGUCUUACUCUUAAACAACCCCUUAAGUGAUACCCCAUACUUGAGAUUCCCUAAGUGAUGCCUCACACUUAGAUUUUUCAUCUCAAAGAUUUACAAAUGAAGAUAGGAAAUAAUCUCACAAAAUCUUAAUACAAAACAUUAGGCUCAAAUGAUACAAGAUAAACUAUGAUUGAAUGGUGCACUAAUAAUAUGCAAGUUUUAAAACAAUGAGUACUAAAAAACACUCUCCUAAGGUUCAAAUAUAUUCAAGAAAGAUUUAAGAAGGUUAAACUCUUGAAACAAUAAAGAUUGAAACCUUUUUAUGGAGGAGAAAUGCCAAACUAGUUGUUGGGGGUUUGUCCAGUCGAGUUCUGGUUUGACCGGUUCACUAACCGUUAGCAUUUAAUGCAUGAUAGGUGAUCAUUGGGCCUUGACCAUCCCUCGACCAGUACUCAACCGGAUAAAGUUCAACCUUAAUCAAUCGAAUAAGCAUUCUAGAAUAGAGAGAAGGUUUUUGCACCUUUCAAUCAGUUGAGUUGAACAAAUAGACGGAUUCCUUAUCCAGUUCAACCGGUUGAGCCAUUUUUGGCUCAACAAUCAUCAUUUUCAACUUAAAACCUUUUAAACAAGUUUAGAAAGCAUUUGACACAAGGAUUUAGUUGAAAACAUUAAAUCAUCCUAUUUUUAAAAGAUUUAAAACAAAAUACCUCUUGAAUGAUUUUGGUGUAUAAGUAAAUAAUGUAAUGCAUGAAAAACCCAGUGCGCCAACAACCUUACAAAGAGAUCUUAUGAGGCUUAGGUAUUGAAAAACACUUCUCUUUAAGGCAGACAACAUCGUGUGAAUACCAAAGGGGAACUCUACGUUCCUAGGGAAAGAUGCCUCGUCAGUACGUCUUGAGGUUGUUCACUAACUUCGGGGUUACCGGCUUUGAGAGGAGCCCUUUGAUGACAUUUGGGCAUGCAACUCUUCAUUUUCUUCCUUGAUUCGCCUUGUUUGGUGGAUCAAAGAUUGCAUAUGCCAGUCAUUUUUGCACUAGGUUCUCUCCAUGCUUUCACGCCAGCCAAAGUAGCUUUCGUUACCCAUAGUUGAGGAUCGGCUUCUAAAGGGUACUAACAUCCUUAGUCAUUCCCACAGAUGACACCAAUGUUGGUUCUGAGUCGGCUGAAGUCAAAUUCAUCCAACUUAACGGAAGUUUGACAACCUUCCUCCAUUUUUUGUGCCUCUUAGAGAAUCCACCUAGCAGUAAUGAGAUUGGGCGAACUCCUUUCUUGCACAAAAGAAUGUUCAGAUGAGUACUUCGGGUACGCCCUUCGAAGCUUAAGUGAGGCAAAAAUAGCUCAAACUACUUAAUGAGAGAGAGUGGAUAGGUGAAUAUGUGCCUACCUUGUUCGUGCUUUUUGAGGGGUUUAUAUAAUGUUGAUGAGAAUGCCACUAUAGUGCUUACUAGACACUUUAACUUUCUUCUAUAAUGAUGAUUGUCUUGCAGGCGGUUGGGCAAUCAUCAAAAUUUUGGGUGGCUGAUAGGUGCCAUCAACUAACGUGCCAUGAUCUUAGACCAUGCAGUAACCUGUUCCCUCAGUCUGUUGAUGGCCUAAGGUUAUGUGCAACAAUUAAUUGACAUGGACUUGAGGGCUAGAAGAGGUCCCAUCGGCCGUUCACAUGUCAAGUGUGAAUGAUCACUCAUGCUAGUGGGUCUUGAAGAUUUGACUAGACAACCUUACCUAUUUGGGAGGUCCAACCUCCCAUUGCCGUUGUUUUGGCCUUAUAGGAGAAAAGGGCUUUCUCAUGUAUGGUGCUAGAGGGACUAGUCGUGAUCCAGAUGAGUUGCAUACCCAUGCUAGAUGGUCGAAGUGUCCGGGUUGGAAAUGGAGGGAAGCCUCCCACAAAUAUGAGGGAGCCUUAUGAAAACGGAUCCUUAGGGCUUAAGAAGGGGUUUUCAAUUUUAAGGUUUGCCUUUUCACCCAAGGAUGUGAAUGGGAAGAUGAGGCGAAGUUAAAAGAUUGGUGAAGCAAAGUGAGGGCAAGGUAGGGUUUGAAUAAAGGAAAGUAUACACUAUUAAUGAAGAUGAUAAUCUCUAGAAAGAAAAACUAAGGUAAACUAGGGCUUUAAUAAUAAUUUUCAAUCUACACUAGUGAAGAGGAUAUCUUCGAAAACCAAAGUUAGGGCUUCAAUAACGAAUUUCAAUCUACAAUGGUGAAGACAAUAAUCUUCGAAAACCAAAUCUAUAAUGAUGAAGAUGAUUGAAAACUAAAUCUAUACUAGUGAAGACGAUUGGAAAGCAAAUCUACACUGGUGAAGACAAUGAAACCAAAUGUAGGUCUUCUAAACUAAACGCUUUUAAGGAUUUUCCUUUUUUUUUUCCUUUGUUUUCAAGAAAGGCAAACUCUUUAGAAAACUAAAAAAACUAAUGCAUUCUUAGAUCCAGAUCACUAUUUCCAACAUGGUAUUUGGAUUGCCAGCUUGCAUUUUUUAUUUUUUUAUUUUUUUAAUAGUCAUUGGCAUUUUAGGGAUUAUUGAAGGAUAAUAUCAUUCAGCUCAAUUUCCCAAAUUAGUUAGGUCUUACACUCAAAUGUGAAACUUAUAUGGAUGUUAGGCCAAUUAUCAAACUCAUCUGCCCUAAAACAUAAUUUCCCUUUUUUAAAAUAGUUGUUAAACAUCUAUCCCAAACACGUUUAACCCUUUGAAUUGCUUGUAUGUUAACCUUGUUUCCUUUUCUUCAUGCAACAUGGCUUAUUGAUGGUUGCAUUGAAUCAUUAUCAUUCACCAAUUCCAUGCAACUAUGGACUACAUUUCAAAUCCCUCGAACAUAAAUGGUAAUUCCAAAACAACUCAAGUAUAAUCUUUUCAACCCUUUCAAAUGAUUUAAUUAAUUGAUUUUUGAAUAUAUUCAUAUAUUUUUUUGAGCAAUUUUUAGGCAUAUAACAUAAAUCUCUUUUUUAUAUAUAUAUAAAAGGUUUUAUAUUUUAUAUUACAAUUUCCUUUUGUUUUUUCAUCUAAAAAACAAAACAUAAAACCUUAAUAAACGAGUUUUGUCACAAUCCCUUAACAAGUAAUCUAUUUUUUAAAUUACUUUAACAUUUUUAGAUAUAUUGAUUCAAUCUAAUUUACUUUUAAUAUUUUUUAUAAAAUAUUUUUACUUUAUAUGACUAUAAAUUAAUUACUAUUGAUUGCAUAUUAUAGAAUAUAUAUUCUAAAAUAUAUCUUAUUGACAAUAUAAUCAUAAGAUGUUAUAUCCAUAUCCUAACAUAUUAUAUACUUUUAUUUUGUGCAAUUAGCAACAUGGUGGGAAGUGGCAAGCAGCUUAACGGAAAUGUCAUGUGCCAAUGUGCCAUGCGUGUCCCUUCCCUUAGUGAGUCUGAACUGCUCCAACAUUUCCGACAUGUUAUUUUUUACUUAGCUCUUAAGUAUUUUCGUCUCGUUUUCGUUAACCCCAUCACAUUUCGCCACAUGGAUCUAAGCCUCAUGGUCCUUUCGUUCGUACAAUGAAUGUUCCCCCAAUUCCUUAUCUACACUAAAACUCCAUACUCGCCAUCUACUCAACCACUUCUCUACUCUAGAGUUUGGGUCCUUUAUCUCUGCACGUGUCUAUGGCUUUUCACCCCAACAAGUAUGGCAUUACAAGGGCAAUAUCGUCAUUAAAGACCCAAAAGGGAAACCAAUGGCAUUAUCUUCCUUUUGGUCUAUUCUAUUUAUAUUGUAAGUUAUUCGUGAUGACUUCUCCCAUAAAAGCUAAAAACCACUCCAAUAGAGCACACUUCACUUCUUCAUUUUUUUUUUUCCAGAUAAGCUCAGAAAGCCCAGCUCAUCCCUCAACUCCCCGAUGGGUUUGAUGAAUGUUCUUAAAUUCUCAACUGCAUGCUUUGAUCUUCUUAUCUGGUAUAUUGUCCACGCAUUUUCUUGUCAUUGGAAAAUUUUGGAAAAUGAAAUGGAAUUCUAUGUUUGAUGACAAAACUGGGAUUUGCUUUGAUUUCUCCAUGUUGGUUUUAUCCCUUUUGUUUGAAUUGUCCACAUUCUUGUCAUUGGUUGUUAGUUAUUUGUUUGGAUUUCUACUUGUAGGCCUCUGUUUGCACUGGGUUAUCCUCUAUAAAUCUUGGUCUUACACACCAAGAUAUGAUGAUUCAUUUACUCUUUUCUUGUUCUAUGAAUUCUUAGUUCUGUUACAUUUAUUGGGUUGGAAAACUGAAAAAGGAAAGGAUUAUUCGUUAUUAUCAUAAUAAUCAUCAACGUCAUCUCAAUUAUUCACAGAUGUGCAUCAAUUCAGGUAAUUGAGACUAACUCGAUCUCAGACAUUCAGAAGUUGGUGGCAUAUUGGGUUCUAUUUUCCUUGAUUUCACUUUUUGAUCGUACUUUUUCCAAGCUCCUUGAAUGGUAAUUUUGUUCAACUUCAUUCCAUCAUAUGUGGCUCUAUUUGUUUCAUUUCUUUGCCCUUCAGGAAUUUGGAGUUGCCUUUUUUAGUUUUCUUCCCUGUGAAAAUAAUCGAGAUGUUUAAUGUUCCAAGCCUCCAUGUAUUUUAUUUUCCUUCAUUUCUCUGCUUUGAUAAAUCCCCAUGAUUUGAUCAGCAAAAAGGCUAUAACAUUUGACAAAGAAAUGCUUUAUUUUGGUUUUUUAAGUACAACAAUUUUCAUUUGGAGAAAUGGUCUAAAGGGUAUCGGUGUUUGGAUGAAUCAUGGAAUUUUCUCGCUAAUUUGGGAUUUAUUCUCAAUUUCAAUAUCAUUGUGGAUAUUUCAAAAAUUAAUGAAAUAUAUAUGAUGGAAUGUGAUUUUCUUGUUUAAGAAAAGUUUUUCUUUAAAAAUUUAGGUAACCCUGACCUACCUUAUUGUGCUACUCGAAACACAAAACAAAAGUACAAGUAAUUUAGUAACUAAAUUGCACACUUUUUGAUAGUUCAAGGAAGUGGUGUUAGCUUUGGAAAUAAGAUGGAUCUACUAGUUUUUAUUUCUCAUCUUUAUAGGGAACUUUCCAUAAUAUAGCUUAUAAAUACCAUAAUCACAGUGAUGAAUAAUUGUCUUGUUUGAAAGCAUGGUUGCACUUAUUUGCAUGGAAUUUGUCUGCGUUGAAAUUAAAUUAAGCUUUAUGCAUCAUUUGGAUGCUGAGAAACAAAUGAAAAUAGAAAAUUCAAAAUUUGACAAGUUUGUGUAGGGAAAUUGGAUCUAAUCUCUUAAUCGAAGCUUAAUUAGGGCAAAUGUUGAUCCUCUUUGGACCUAUUGAAAGCUCUAAUCUGUGCACAAUUCUAAUGUUUUUGUUUCCUUAAUUUCUUUUUCAACUUUUCAACAAAGCAUCAAUUUGCUAUAAUAAAUGAGAACCAACUUGACGAUGAGAAAAAUGACUGGUGAUGAUGUCAUAGAGAAUCGCAGAUGAGAACAACCAAAAAUACUAGGAUUGGUACCACUGAUGGUAAUGAAGAAAACACAAAAAUGGUGCAAAUGGUGAACAGGAAACUCAAAAUGGAAUGGGAAAAGAAACCUAAACAAUAGUCUCCUAUAUAAAGCACACAACAUGUACAUCGAGGCAUCUGAAAGGACACGCUGCCUGAGAAGUCACUCUAAUUGAUGUGACUCCUCAUGACGUGGGUGGUGGACAUAUGUCCCAUGGUGCCAAAAAUUUCAAACACUCAAGCAACCGAAUACUUUCACUUAGUCAUUUAAAGCCUAGCUAGACUCAAUUGCAAGAAUUAAGGGCAUUGUGGGAUGCUCACCACCGUCUAUCAUGGUCCUCAAACACUGUCUGGUGUGAGACAUAUUGGCACAAGAGCCAUGUAGCUUCUCUAUCCACCCCAAGAUACUCCUAGGGUAGCAAACGAACACAAUCCGACCAAACACUAUGCAUUCCUACCCUACAAGCAUUAAUUUCAAUGAGCAAUAAGUGUAUUAACACAUUAAUGAAUGCAACCGUUAUAACGCUAAAACGCCAUACUUUAAGGUUCAUCAAGACACAACAACCAUUAUGGGCCGACAAUUAUUGGCGUUAAAUAUGGUAAUGCGCAAUCAAAGGCUCAAUUAAGGCCCUUUAGAAGACGUUACUAUUGGGCAAAGAUAAAUAACCAUUUUUUACCACAAGAAAGUCUGAUGCCAUUUUUUUCACAAAAACUUUUGCUUAAGUCUUCCAUCUCUAACCUAAGCUUUGAAGGGGUGUACUUGGAAAACCUAUCCGAACAUUCCUUUAUGUAGGUGCAAUCAUCGUUUAUGUCACGCGAAGGCUAGUCAAAGACCUUUAUUGGUCGUGCACCAAUAAAUCUAUUUAGUAUAUCUCAUUUAUCCGUUCAAGUGAGAUGAAGGAGUGACCUAAAGAUAGAUUGGAAACAUCAUAGUUUCUUAUAUUGGUAAGGCAGCAACAACCUCGGCUAGUGCAUCAACCUGCUCGUUUUCCUCUAGGGGUACGCGUUUGAUAAACCAUUCAUUCAAUUUUUCUGUUCAAGUGUACCAAAGAGAGGUAAUGAGCCAUGCAUUCAUCUCAAGCUUCAUAUUUUAGUUAGAUUUGUUCACCCACUAGUUGUGAAUUGCUUUUGAUUUCUACUUUCAUGGUUGUGAGAGCUAAGGCUAGAUCGUCUCAUAAGAAUUGCUUCAUAUUUUGCCUCAAUAUUAGAUACUGGAAAGUUGAGACAGACGACUUGUUCAAUUUGCUCUCCUGUAAGGAAUUGUUGUGUUAGUCCUAUCCUAGCUUCUGAUGUUCUAGAGGCUUCGUCUACAUGGAGAACACGCCAUUGUUCUUCAUUGUUAGACCUUGUCCAUUUUUGGGGUGGUUCGACUAUGAAAUCAAUGAGAACUUGCUAUUUGAGAUACUAAUGAGGUUUGUACCGUAUGUAAUAUUCACUCAAUUUGAUUGCCCAAUUCACCAUUCGACUAGAUAGAUUUAGCUUGUGCAACGUGACCCACAACGGUUGAUUUGUCAAGACCGUUAUUUGGUGCGCCUGAAAAUAUGGACAAAGCUUCUUGGCAGCGAUCCGUAAGUUCAGAGCCAUUUGUUCCACUUAAGAAUAUCGUGUUUUUGUGUCAAUCAUAGCUUUUCUCACAUAGUAAAUAAGUCUUUGUUCAUUACUCUAAUUGUGUGGAAACAAUAUGACAUUGACAGCAAAGUUUGACACAACCAGGUACAUGUAUAACUCUUCUCUAGCUUCAAGACUACUUAAGAUUGGUGGCUUCGUAAGAUACUGUUUGAUGUCUUUAAAGGCAUGCUCACACUCAUCCAUCUAACUAGACAUCUUUGCUCCCUAGAGUUUGCUCAAGAAAGGUCUGAGCUUAUUUAUGAAGCGUGUUAUGAACCAACCUAAGGUGAUUAGACACCCAGUUAGACGUUGCACUUCCUUCUUGCUAGUAGGAGCAGGGAUUUCUAACACUACUUUCACUUGAGCCAGAUCGACUUCAAUACCCCCUUUGAGUCACCAUGAACACAAGAAACUUCCACUCACUUACUCUAAAUGCAUAUUUUAUUGGAUUAAGCUUCAUGUCAUACCUGCACAUUAAACUGAAUGCUUCUUCCAAAUGGAGGAGCUUCUUGGAACGAGUUAUUCUCUUAAUGACAAUGUCAUCGAUAUAGACUUCCAACGUUCGACCUAUCAAGGGCUUAAAAAUAUGGGUCAUCAACUGUUGGUACGUAGCUCCAAUGUUCAUUAACCCAAGCGACAUGAUCUUGUAAAAGUACAACUCCUUAUGUGUAAUAAAUGUCAUCUUCUCUUUGUCAUGUGGAAACAUUGGUAUCUGGUGGUAUCCAAAAGAAGCAUCAAGAAAAGACAACAUUCCAUGCCUGGUUGUGGCAUCGACUAUCUAAUCUAUCUAGAGCAAUGGGAAGCUAUCUUUCAAGCAGACUUCAUUCAUAUCCACGUAGUCUGCGCACACCUGCCAUUUUUCUCCUUUCUUGGUACCACUACCACAUUUGUUAACUAGUCCAAGUAGGUCACCUCCUUGAUAAAUCUUCCUUUUAAUAGCUUCUCAACUUCUAUCUAGAUAAUUUUUUGAUGAUCCAACUAGAAACGUCAGACUUUAUAUUGUAUGGGUCGUGCUGUAGGAAGAAGGUUCAACUUAUGAGAGCUCACCGCUAGGUCUAUUCCAAGCAUUUCCGAAUGAAUCCACACGAGGAUAUCCUUGUUUUUACAAAGCAUUUCACCAACAUUACCACAUUCAUCCCUAGUUAGCAAAAAAUUAGCGUAAGUCAUCUGCUUAUUAUUUUUCGACAAAGAUAGCUAUUGUAAUAGGCUGAUUGCCAAUGAGUCUCUAUCCUCUAGUUUUCCUUCGACCUAAUUCUAUAAUUGUUAUUAGCUCUCUCUUGAUGAUUUGAGUUCAUCUUUAGUUGGGCCUGAACUCCAUCGCCACUUAGUAACACUACUAGGUGGCUAAUUGGAUUCCAUGUGGAUCCACUUACCCAAAUUCUGUCAGGUAGCUCACCAUCUUAUGAUAGGUGGAUGGAAUAACUUUCAUCUUAUGUAGGUACGACAACCUUAUGAUGGUGUUGUACGACGGUAAAUCCUCUACUAUAGAAAAUCAUACGUUGAGAGUAGGCGGGUUGGCUUGGACAAGAAGUACCACGUCGCAUAGUGAUAUUGUGGCAACCCUAUUAAACCCAAACAAAAGUCGAACUAGAUUUUCUAAGGCAGAUGACGAACAUCCCAUUUUCCUGUAGGUUGACAUAUGCAAUAAAUUGGAAUGAUCAUUUUAGGAAGGAUCACUUGAUUAAUGUUAAUUGAAGGGAAAGUGAUUGGGUCAUUGACUGGUCGGGCACUUUCGACAGUAAAUGUGCACUGAACUGCACUUACUCUUUCCCUCCCUGUAGUCGCACAGAGCAUUCGUCUCCUUUGUUGUUUGGAGUGAUAUUUGUCAUCUACUAUUUCCCCAUGGAUAUAGUUAAUCACUACUCGAUGUGUUGUGGGAGAGUCAGGAACUCACUCUGACACUUCACGUGUCAUUUCUUUAUGUCCACCAGUUGCUCAGACAUACAACUUGAGAUGUCCGGUAAUGAUUAGUUUCUCCACCAAGUAGUGCAAAUUUUUGCACUCUUCUGUGGUGUGCCCAUGCUCCUUAUGAUAGAAUCAUCGCAAUCCUCGAUCAUGCUUGGACGAAUCAGUUUUGAUGGGCUCUAGCCACUUGAACUCGAGCAGCUCUCAAAUCAAGAGGAGAAUUCUAUCAUAAAAAAUGGUCAACGGGGUGAGCCUAGGCGAUUAUCAUUGUUGUUGUCUUUCUUGUCCUUGAUUAGUCUAUCUAGACUGGCUUGAGGGCUUUAAGCUCUUAGCCUUCUUUUUUAAUUGCUCGGUUUAUAACCAGGAUUUGUUGAGAGGUUACCUAAACAUCCUCCUCAAGCAUGACAUGUUUGCCCACUCGUCUAAAUAGGUCAUUCAUUGUAGUGGGCAACUUUUUGGCCAUGGACUUGAAGAAUUGAGUGCUUGGACUGAUGAUCCAUUUGAAGAUCUGCAGGAUAGCAUCCAUGUUGUAAGAUUCCAUCUAGAACACCGCUUGUCUGAAUCACUUCAUGAAGUCCCUUAGCGAUUCAUUCUCCUACAUCUGAAUGUUCUAUAAGGUGCUUAUAUUCUGCUUUUGGCGAGCAAAACAUAAAUAAUGGCCCACAAAGGCCUCUAAAACAUCUGUCAUCUGUUGUUGGAAGUGCAUCAGGUGAACAAAAGAGUCACCAUCCCAUAGUAAAUAGUAAAUUUGGGCACCGGAAACCCCUGGGCAGCUCAUAACUAAUGAUAUGUGGGUCAAACGACAUGAAGAGCAUGUCAUCCAAUCAUCUACUUAUGGAGUCAAGAGGGGCUUUUGUCAAUGGGUUAUUUGUCGAUUGUAGUUCUAGUAUUGAACAUUAAGGCAGACGGCUUGGUGAUGCCUCAUCGUUUGAUUGGCCUAAUUGUGCUUUCAAGGCCUCCAAUAUGCAUGGCGAUGCUAGUGUUCUUCUCUCCUGAUACCCAAGAUAGGCUUUCAGGGCAUCUGAGAGACGUAAGCCCCAUUCUUAACCCAUUUUCCAUUUUUCUCCAAUAGAGCUUGCAACCUCUUUCGCUUGAGUUCGAUCGACUACUGAAUGCACUAGUUCAAGUAAUGUUAGCGAACUGCUAGUAGACAAUCCCUCAUCCACUGUUUGUAGAGACGACUUAGUGUAUCAUUGAAGAACUUUCAUUGUUUGGCUUCAAACUACUCUUGAAGUCGUCUAUUGGUUGGAGGUACGAUGACUUUUUUAUCAGCACCCCAUAGCCACUUGUGCUCGUAGCUCUUGGUUCUCUUGCUGUAGUUGUUCUGCCUGUUGGACAGGGACUACAUAGGUUAUUCAUAUUCUUCUUGCUUUUUUUCUAUCUUUCCUUGCCAAGCUUGGAAUCGCUCGUCAACAUUUGCAGAAUGAGUUGCAGGAGGCGUGUUAACCAUCGUGUUUUUUAGGCAUUUGUGGUUGAUUCCCAUAGACAAUGCCAAUGUUGGUGCACGACCAGUAAAAAAAGGUGUUUGGCUAGUCUCCAUGUAACAUAGAUGACGAUUGCACCUGCACAAAGGAAUGUCUGAAUGGGUUUUUCAGGUACACCUUUCCAAAGCUUAGGUCAGAAAUGGAAGACUUAAGCAAGAGUUUUUGUGGAAAAAUUGGUAGCAUACUUUUCUUGUGGUUAAGAAUAACUAUUUAUCUUUGUCCAACUAUAAUAUCUUCUCAGAUGCCUUAAUUGAGCCUUUGAUUGUGCAUUAUCAUCUUUAAUGUCAAUGAUAGCCAACCCAUAAUGGUUGUUGUGUCUUGAUGAACCUUAAAGGUUGGCGUUUUAACCUCAUAAUGAUUGCAUCCAUCAAUGCGUUAAUGCACUAAUUGCCUAUUGCAAUUAAUGCUUGUUGGGCAAGAAUGCAUAGUGCCCGAUUAGAUUGUGUUUGUUUGGUACCCUAAGAGUACCCUGGGGUGGACAAAAAAGCCACAUGGCUCUUGUUCUAACAUGUCUCGACUAGACAGUGUUUGAGGAUCAUGUUAGAUGGUGAUGAGCAUCCCACAGUGAAGACGUAUGAUGAAAGCAAAGGUAGGGCUUCUAAACCAAACGCUUUUAGGGAUUUUUUUUUUUUUUUCAACAAAGUUGACCUCUUCAAGGAAAAAAAAAAAGGUUAAAAAAACUAUUGCUUUUUUGGAUCCAAAUCACCAUUUCCAAUGUGAUAUUUGGAUUUCCACCAUGUAUUUUUUUUUUUUUUAACAGUCAAGGACAUUUUAUGGAUUAUUGAAAGAUAAUAUCUUUCAACUUAAUUUCCUACAUUAAUUAAGUCUUAGGCUCAAAUGUGAAACUUAAGUGGUUGUUAGGCCAUCAAACCCAUCUGCCCUAAAGUAUAAUUUCCCAUUUUCAAAAUAUAUAGUUGUUAAACAUCUAUCCCAAACUAUUGUAACCCUUUGAAGUGCUUGGUAUGUUAACCUUGUUUCCUUUUCCUUAUGCAACAUGGCUAAUUGAUUGUUGCAUUGAAUCAUUAUCAUUCACCAAAUCCAUUCAACUAUGGACUUACCUUUCAAAUCCCUCUAACAAAAAUGGUAAUUCCAAAACAACUCAAGUCUAAUGUUCUCAACUCUUUCAAAUGAUUUAAUUAAUUGGUGUUUGAAUAUACCUCUUAUAUUUUUUUAGAGCAAUUUUUAGGCACAUAACAUAAAUUUCUAAUUUUUUUUUAGAAAAGGUUUUAUAUUUUAUAUUUUAUAUUACAACUUCCCCUUUUUUUUCCAUCUAAAAAACAAAACAUAAAACCUUAAUAACCGAGUUUUGUCACAAACCCUUAACAAAUAAUCUAUUUUCCAAAAAUUACUUUAACAUCUUUAAACAUAUUGAUUUAGUAUACUUUACUUUUAAUAUUUUUUGAAAAAUAUUUUUAUUUUAUAUGAUUAUUAAUUAAUUAAGAUUGAUUGGGUAUGGUAGAAUAUAUAUUCCAAAAUACAUCGUAUUGAGAACAAUAUCACAAGAUAUUAUAUCCAUAUCUUAACAUAUUAUAUACUUUUAUUUUGUGCAAUUAGCAAUUGGACGGAAGGUAGGGAGCCGGCUUAAUGGAAAUGUCGCAUCUCACGUGUGUCCCUUCCCUUACCAAGUCUCAACAAAGGAUGAAAAUAUCGGUAAUCACGGAUAUAUCGGUACUUCGAUUUUACGGAUAUAUUAGAUAUAUCAGAGAUAUAUUGACGGAUAUUUUGGAAAAAAAUAUCGAUAAGCCUAAAAUUGAUCAAAAUUUAUAAAAAUAUAAAAAAAACUUCAUAAAAAUGUAAUUAAAAGAAGGUCGUAUAAGUUACUCAUGUUGAUCAUGUGAUAUAUCACGAGAUAUAAUCGAUUUUUGGGAAUUUCUCACGAAAAUAUCGCGACAUUUCUUCCUUGUCUCGACUGCUCCAAGAUUUCCUAUACGCCCUUCUUCGCUUAGCUCUUAAGUCUUUUCUUCUCCUCUUCCUCAAACCCAUCACAUUUCGCCGCGUGGAGCUAAGUCUCAAGGUCCUUUUGUUCGUACGAUGUAUGUUCCCCCAAUUCCUCAUCUACCUUGAAACUCCAUACUCGCCAUCUACUCAACCACUUCUCUACUCUAGAGUCUGGAUGCUUUAUCUCCGCGAGUGUCGAUGGCUCUUCACCCCAGCGAGUAUGGAAUUACAAGGGCAAUAUCGUCAUUAAAGACACAACAGGCAAACCAAUGGCAUUGUCUUCCUUUUGGUCUAUUUUAUUUAUGCUGUAAGUAUUCGUGCUUGACUUCUCCCGCGUCUCUUAUAAAAACUAAAGAAAACCACUCCAACAGAGCACACUUCAAGAAUCUUCUUUUUUUUUUUCUUUCCUCUUUCUCUUUACAUAUAUACUGAGAAAGCCCAGCUCAUCCCUCAAUUCCCAGAUGGGUUUUAUGAAUGUUCUCAAGUUCUCAGCUGCAUGCUUUGAUAUUCUUGCCUGGUAUGUUGUCCACGCAUUUUCUCGCCAUUGGAAAUUUUUGGAAAAUGAAGUGGAAUUCUCUGUUUGAGGACAAACAUGGGAUUUUCUUUGAUUUCUCCCUGUUGGUUUUAUCUAUAUUCUUUGGAUUACCCACAUUCUUGUCAUUGAUUGUUAGUCAUUUGUUUGGAUUUCUACUUGCAGGCCUCUAUUUGCACUGGGUUAUCCUCUGUAAGUCUUGGUCUUACACCUCAAGAUAUGAUGAUUCAUUUACUCUUUUCUUGUUCUACGAAUAGUUCAGUUACAUUUAUUGUGUUGGGAAACUGAAAAGGGAAAGGAUUAUUCUUUAUUAUCGUAAUAAUCAUCAACAUCAUCUCGGUUCUUCACAGAUGUUCUUCAAUUCGGGCAAUUGAGACUAACUCAAUCUCAGACUUUCGGAAGUUGGUGGCGUAUUGGGUUCUAUUUUCCUUGAUUUCACUCUUUGAUCAUGCUUUUUCCAAGCUCCUUGAAUGGUAAUUUUGCUCAACUGCGUUCCACUAUAUGUGACUCUGUUUGUUUCAUUUCUUUGCCCUUAAGGAAUUUGGAGUUGCUUUUUUCAGUUUUCUUUCCUAUGAAAAUAAUCGAGAUGUUUAAUGUUCCAGGCCUCCAUGUAUUUUAUAUUCCUUCAUUUCUCUGCUUUGACAAAUGCUCACAAUCUGAUCAGCAGAAAGGUUAUAACAUUUGAAAAAGAAGUGGUUUAUUUUUGUUUUUUUUAAGUACAAUAAUUUUCGUUUGGAUAAAUGGUCUGAAGGGUGUUUGUGUUUGGCUGAGUUCAUGGAAUUUUCAAGCUAAUUUGGGAUUUAUUCUCAAUUUCAAGAUCAUUGUGGAUAUGUCAGAAAUUAAUGAAAUAUAAAUGGUGGAAUGUGAUUUUCUUGUUUAAGAAAAGUUUUUCUUUGAAAAUGCGGGUGCACCAGACCUACCUUAUUGNNNNNNNNNNNNNNNNNNNNNNNNNNNNNNNNNNNNNNNNNNNNNNNNNNNAUCAGAUUCAACUGUGAUAGCCCGGAAUUUAAUUCAGUAUUCGACUCUUCUGGGAACAUGUUGGUUAUGGUUUCUCUCUCACUGUCCUCUUCUUUACACAUGACUUUUCAGUUGAGGAGCACAAAGCCUAAUGUUGAAGUGAAAGAGAUCAAAGCACCUGCAGCACCGGAGAAAAAAGGGGAACAGGUAAGUACUCUAAUGUGGCUAUUUAAUUUCUAUGGAGGCAGAUCCCCAGAGAAAUGCUGUUCAUGUAAAUUACUGAUGCAUUUGAUUCAAUGGCCACGGUUUUAAAAGAAAAACCACUUUAUGUAUGUUUCUGUGAAUGAGAGAACAAGUUUAUGGAUUAAAUGAUAUUUUUUAUGGUGAAAUAAUCAAUAAUUUUCAAAAUAAUAAUACAUUCCUGCAUGUUUUUGCAAUUCAUGAAUUCCUUUUAUGAUUGAUUCUUCUCACCUUUUUUCUCACCUCAGUGGAAGUGUGAAGAGCCUAAUGUUGCUCAAAAAGAGAUCCAAGUAGUCAAAGUAACAGAGAUAAAAAAUGGGGGGGAUGGAGCAAAGAGGGUAAGUUUUGCUUUUUAUUUAUAAAGUAGGCUGUCUUCACACAAGGAUUAUUAUUAUUAUUAUUGUUAUUAUUUUAAGACAUGAAUGUUGAAUGAUUUUGGAAUUGUCCUUGAAUCAUGUGAAGUGUGAAUGGUCUAAUGCUGCUAAGGAGGAGGUCAAAGUGACAGAAGUAACACAGAGAACAUUUGGUGGUACAGCACAGUGGGUAAGGUUUCAUGUCAUAUUUAAAUGGCUCCUCAUAUUUCACUAGGAUUAAUUUUGCCCCUACAAACUAUUUGGCUACAAGUUAAGACAGAGUUCCAGAUGCUGAUAAAGCUGAGACAUAAGUAAUGAACGAAUUUAGACACAUGCACAACUCUUGUGUGAAACACAAUGAGAGUGGAAAAUAGCUAAGUUGAAAAAUGGCCAAAUACUAUUUUGUAGUUCCCCCUACCACUUAAGUAAUUUUUGUCAUCCUUUGUGAAUGGAAAAUGCAGUCCCUUCAGUAAUUCCAUUAUAUUCAUGACUUGGUGAAGCAUAUAACCAUUAGUGUCUUACCCUAAGUCGACCUUUAAUGAUGAUCCAUUGAGAUGGGUCUGACUUUUGUCAACCCUCUUAUUCCCUUGAUCAUAGAGGUGAAACUUAGGGGGCUUAACCCACUUUUCAAUCUUAUUGGAUAUAUGGCACGUGGUAUCCUCUUCAUCUUGAAAGAGUGAAGUGGUCAUACUCUUUCCUCUGAGUCCAUUGUGGCCAUGCACUUCAGGCUCAUUGGGCUGAGUGAAAGGAUUCCCUUCUGCUUCAAAUCAUAGAGAGAUAUGCCAUGGUCAGCCUCUUUAAUUCAAGGGAUUGAAGUACUCAAAUCCAUUUCUCUGUAUCCAUCUUAGUUCUGCAUUCAUGUCUCAUGGUUAACCAAGAAGAUCCAGCCUCCAUCCAUGAGAUCAGCAUCUGCAGGUUUAUGACACCACCCUUCCUUUGCAUAGGAAAGGGAUCAUUAAGCCAUGUGUCGGAUGACAGAAGUCAUCAUUCAGGUUAUCUUGAGAACUAAGGAAGUUGGAAUUCUAAUUAUUGCAUAUGGUUCUUGAUGUUUAGCCAAUAUACUAUAGGAUUUUAAGCAUCAUGCUCACGUGCAUUGUGGUUGCUUAUCAGCUAUAUGGUUUGCCAAAAUGAGGGACUGAUUAUGGUCAUAAGUACCUUUUUCCCAUUAAUUUCUUGCAUGUGCUCUGCUGAGAUUAUGUUUUUGACAGUCCAAAUCAGGGCAAACCAACAAACAGCUUUAUGUUAACUUUUACAAACUGCCAUAUUUUCAGGUUAAACAAACAGAGAUAAAUCUUGGUGAAACUAGAAGUAAUACAACCUGUGCUGUGGAGAUAAAAGAAAGGGCAGCAGCACUGGUGGCUGCAGAAAUUGAGGCAUGUAGAGACGAUAGAACCCCCAAGAUACCUCUUCAUGAGAAAGUCCAGAAAGAGUGGGCUUGUGCUGUGUGCCAGUUCACAACCCAAACUGAAGCGACCUUCAAUUCCCACCUUCAAGGGAAGAGACAUCAGGCCAUUUCUGAGCAGCUGAGAGCCAAAAAUCAGGCAACCAAAACCAAUUGUUCCCCAUCUGCUUCAAUGGCCAAGAAAUCUGAUCAGUCCACCAAAGAGGAGCAACCGAAGUGUACUUCCAAUCUGAAUUCCAAAAACAAUGGAAUCUCAGCUGCUUCAACAGUGAAGAAACUUGAUGAGACCAAAGAUGAUGAGCAACAAAAGUCUGCAUCUAGCAAUGGACCGAACCAGAAGAAUAACAAAAAGCAAGAGGUACAGACCAAUGAGCAAGGCCGUCAGAAGAACUUAAGGCAAACUGGUGAUGGAAUGAAAGAGUUGAGAUCAUGGUGCAAUAUCUGUAAUGUAAGCUGCACAAGGGAGCUUGACCUGGCCUCGCAUCUCAAUGGAAGGAGGCACUUUGAUAGGAUAAAGCAGCUGUCUGAAUUAUGGUGCAGUAACUGCAAUGUAAGGUGCAACAGUGAGGUUGAUAUGGCCUCUCACCGAAAUGGGAGGAGGCACUUGGAGCAGCUGAAGGAACGGUUAGGAUUAUGGUGCAGUAUCUGUAGUGUGAGUUGCAACAGCAAGGUGGACAUGGAUUCUCACCUAAAUGGGAAGAUUCACUUGGAUCAGAUCAAGGACCAGUUAAGAUUAUGGUGUGGGGCAUGUAAUACAACCUGCAAGAGUGAGCGCAACAUGGCCUUUCAUCUGAAUGGGAGGAAGCACUUAGAGAAGAAGGGGAAUACCUGAUUUGCAUGUUUCUUCAGAUUAUUGAUACUUACAAAUGGUUUUAGUUAGAAGCAUACAGGCCAGUGGGUGGUGGUCACAGAUGCCUCUAUUUUGUUGUAUGAAGUAAAAACAGUAUUUCCAUGUCCAGAAAUCAACCACUUGUUUAGUGCAUGCAUGGCUGGUUCAAAAUUAAACCUAAUUGUGAAUGACUAGGAGCAGGGAGGGAAAAAUUGAAGGGAAGAAUGUAAGAUUAUGGCUUCAUUUUUAUUUUUUCCUCUUCUGAAAAUUGUAAGAUUGUGUUAGGAGGAGCUGGAAUGGGUUCAAAUCAGGAAUUAAGACCCAGUUCCAAGACAUGGAAAGUGUCUUUAGAUUAUGUUAAGUUAUUUCCAUUUUUUUUUCUUUUCUAUUUUUUUUCUUUAUUUAUUGUAAGAGGGAGCAUAAAUGAAUUUUUAUUUUUUAUUUUUUUUUUCAGAAUAAAGAUGAAUUUGAUAAUUUCAAUUAUUGCGUUUGGAUGUAUUUCGGAACGUAAGAUUGAAAUAAUUAUUUGUUUUCAUUUUAGUGUUUGAUAAUAAUGAAAGUAUGAAUUAAAAAAUAAAUUGAUAAUAAUACUCUUACAUUUAAUUUAAAACAAUUUUUUAUUUUUAUUUUUAUUUUAGAAGAAUAUGGGUUAAUUUUAUUUAUUUAUUUUUUAAAUAAUAAGCUUAAGAAAAAUAAUUUUUACUCAAUAAAUAAAAUUAAUCAUACAAAGUCAUAAAAACCAAACCAAAAUAUAAGGGUAAAAUAGUAAUUUUAAAAUAUUCAUUUAAGUUAUCCAAAUGCAUUCCUACUCUUCAUUCUCUUGUACGAAAUACGGUCUUUAAGCGUUUGUCAAACUUAUUUCUUUUUUGGCAAUAUAUCAAUAUUUUAGUAAUAUUUUUAUCGAUUAGUUGCUGAUAUUUAUCGCCACGUCACCAAUUCUUUGAGUUUGACUUUCAAAAUUUUGAAAUGAUCAUUGAAGUCCAGUUCAGCCCAAAUCACUACACCCAUGAAAGGGAACGGCUGGGCCACCACACUAAUAUGGCCCAUACAUGGGACCUCGUAAAAGAAUACCCAUCUUCAAAAAUAGGGACCAUAUUAAAUUAUUAAUGUAGCUAUAGGAAGCAUUUGAGGACAAGGGUCAUGAUUUUUCCCUUUUCUUUUUCUCCUUAAUUUUCACAUCACCCAACAACACCACUCUUAAUUCACACAAAUUUGAAGGUUUGGAAUGAGACUUAUUCGUAUUUAUAUUGUAAUUAUGCUAUAAUAAUCGUGUCGUAUUUGGAUUUAUUUAUUAAAUCCAUCUAAAUCUUUUGUUUAUUCGUGUCAAAACAAUAUAUUUAUAAUCGAAUCCAUUUAUGACAUAUUCAUCUUUUAUAAAUUUAUUAAUUUUAUAUAUUUUAAAAUUAUAAAAAUUAAAUAUAUUUUUUCAAUUAUGAAAUCAUAUUACUAAAAUAUUAAAUAAUUCAUUAACUUGAAAUGUUUUACAUUUCAUUAAUUAUUUUAUAAUUACAACAUUAAGUGAAAUAAUAAAUAGGUAUAAAAUAUAUAUUUUAUUUUAGUUAAAAAUUAUAAAUUGUUAUUGAGACAUAUAACUAUUAAAAUUCUACCCAUUUGACUAUCAAACAAACAACUUAAGUUUUUAGUCAUGAUUUAAGCUUAUGAUAAACUCUAUUUACAAAAAUUAGAAACCAAAAUCAAAUUCUUCCUAGACUCAAAAACAUAAAGACAAUCUUUUAACUUUAGAAGACAACUAUCAUCUAAGAUAAGGGUAACUCAUCCCAUUGCAUGUACAACAAUUCUUGCUUCAAAAGCUAAUGUUAGGUACAUAUCCCUAUCAUUCAACCUUUCCCUUAGCUAAAACCCCUAUAAAGAAUUAUAAACAUGAUCAAUGGCUCCAAAAUUUAUCCACCAAGAGUUAGUGGAAUCUAACACUAAAAAUGAUUCAACUAAAAGAGAAUGAUGCAUACCUAACUGUCUCUUCAAGAACUAAGGGCAUUCCUUCUUCUAGUGGCUUUUUUUACCACAAAGGAAACACUUAUCAUGACCCUUACUCUUCUUCUUUUUCCCUUGCCCUUGAACUUUCCCUUCUGCUUGGUGAAUUCUACAAUGUUCUUCUUAUUUUGGUUAGAAGAACCUAAAGAACACUUAACUGCCAUAUAAAUACCUCUCUGGUCCUUGAGAAUUCCCUCAAUUGUUUUGUGUUCUCUCAUCAGUUCGGUUAUAGUUUAAGAAAAAAAAUGUUUUUUUUAUGUGACUAAACUUGGAAUGAAUGUCCAAGUUGCAUACAUACUCGGGCUAAGAUCAAGUCAUAACGUAGUUUAAGAAAAAAGAUUUUUUUUUUUUUUUUUUUUUUUUUUUUUUUGUGAUUGAACUUGGAAUGGAUUUCUAAGCUACUUACGUAUCCAGGAUGGGAUCAAGUUCUAACAUAGUCACAAUGCAGUUCAAGAAUUUUUUUUUUCUUUUUUUGUGCUCUAACUUUUGCCAAGACUAAAGAUCUUAAUUUUGCGAGCAUGUUCUAACUUUUGCCUAGGUCGCCUUUCCAAGUUUUCAAUUUAGCAAACAAGGUUUUUUUUUUCUUUUUUUUCUUUUUCUUUUUUUAGUUCUCUAACUUUUGCCAAGACUAAAGAUUUUAAUCUUGGAAGCAUGUCUUAACUUUUACCUUAAGUCGAAUUUUUAGGUUUUCAAUGUGGUGGAUUUUUUUUUUUUUUUUUUUUUUUUGUGUCGUAGGUAAUUUAAGCUCAUAUGGAUUGGAAGCAAUGUGUAGUUUGUUGGGAUUAAGCCCUUAAAAGCAAGACAUGAUGUAAUAAAGUUAAACUUAACUAUUUCCUUACUAUCUUUUUGGUGUAUCAACAUUGAUUUAAACAUUCAACCCAUAUCUCUUACAUUGUACAUGAUUUAGGAGCAUUAAGAGUUGCACAAAAGAUACAAGUUAUGGGUUCCUUGUAAGUAGAUGAGUUAUCCAUAGUCAUUUCAUGGAUUUGGGCAAUCUAGUAGUGACUAUAGUGCACCACCUCCUAAUUUAAGGGAUGACUUGUCUUGGCAGUUGGGAUGAGUUUCCUAUGGUGAGCGUACUAGUGUAAAUGAUGCACAUUGGACAGGACCUAUGGUGAAUCAUGACGCAAGGCUAUCAAUUGUCAUGAUUCACCAAGUUACUAUACUACAUGGACUCUCAACCUUGAGAGGACAUUGAACCCAUGUCAAAAUCAAUAGAAAGUUUUGACCUAUGGGCGAGACCCUAAAGUAGUCAUAUAUUCCUAUGGAUUAGGUCAUUGUUGAUGUAGGCUGGUUAUAAUAGGCAUUCUCAAUAGAGGCACCAUGAUAUGUCAUGGGAUUGAGAUGGUGUGUCCCUUUGGGUGAUCCAAAGAACAUGUGAUCAUGAAAUUUGUGGCCACAGUAAUUCCUUUAGUGAAAUUUGACAUAUGCUCCUUGGAGUUAGAGUAUGUCAAUUGAUCACAUAAUAAGUGAGAUCUAUAACUCAAGGAUUUGAGAGAUAAUAUUGAUAGGUGAUAACACUAACUUGUUAGAUUUAGACACCAGUUUCAUGAGGAAUAUGCAUGUAGUGGAUAGUAGGUCAUGAAUGCGAGCUUUGUCUCGUUGUUAUUUACAUAAGGUACCGGAGUGUAGUUGAUUCUCUUUAGUAGAGUGUUGAAUCAACUUCAAAAUUGGAUUAUGAGGUAGUCAGUACUCCUAUGGGUCUCAAUGGUCCCCACUCUGAGCUAAUAUACCAUGAUGACACAAUUUAUGAGGGUUGGAUUGACUUUAGGUUCAUUCUUAUGCAUAAGGGCAUUUUGAUAAUUACACAAGGUUGCAUAGGGGAUAAUAAAUAAGGUCUCUAGAUUGGACUAAUUGAUUAAUUAGAUGGCCUUAUGUGGUUAAUUAAUCAAUUAAGACAUGUUAGGGCUAGAUUAAGUGACCCAAGCCUUGAUGGGUUCAAGUCACUUAAGCCUAAUGGGUAACCGUAUAAAUACCUCCUUAUGGGUUAGGGUUUUCUAAUGACUUUUAGUUAGUCAUCUUCCACUUUUAGAAAAAUAGAGAGAGCCAAAGCUUCCUCCUUUCCACUGCCCACACUUUGGUAUGCCAAGAUCGGGAAUCGAGUCAUCGAACAAAAGAUCUUAGGUGUACGAGACCUUUGAACUCUUUAGGCUUCUUCUUCGUUGGAUGGAUUUUGAUCUGGGAACAUCUAGAUCACAUGUAUGUGUUAUAAUAUUUGGUUAAUUCAACCUAAGGUAAUCACCCUAGAGAAGGGGUGAAUAGGGUGAUGAUUUUUUUUUGCAAAUUUAAAUUAUGUGAAUGCAAGAGACAAUUAUAUGCAAAAUAUAUGGCAAAACCAUAUAAAAACAAUUGCAUAUAAAGUAAAAGGUUAAGGAAGAGAGAAUAUAAACACAAGAUUUUUAUAGCGGUUCAGUGCAACCCGACCUCCAUCCAUUCUCUUCUAGCUUCAAUACUAAACUUGAGGUUCCACUAAUUCAAGGCUUCCAAUCCAAGCCUUCAAGUAAUACAAUUGGAUUAUGGUUCCAAUCAAACCUCUUGAAAUUUUAGUUCUAAACACAUUUUACAAUCUUCAAGAGAUACCUCACUCUUGAACAACUCCUUAAGUGAUACCUCACACUUGAGAAUCCCUAAGUGAUACCUCACACUUAGAUUUUUCAUCUCAAAGAUUUAUCCGCUCUGCACCCACCUCCCGAGUAUAUGCUUCAACAGGAAUCACACAAGGGUAGAUUGAUACAAUAGAAACCUCUGGUAAAAUGCCCGCUCGUAACCCAGCAGAUAAAGUACAUUACAUAGUCCGUUUUAGGGAUUGGCUACUUACCCAUUCAGUGACUUUGGCACUGGACGUUCCCAAAAUGGGUACUAUCGGGUCGGGUGAAUUCAAUAAUAGACGCCUGUUGGCAUUCCAGCCUUCCUUCUCCUUUCAGGGCCUAUCCGAAAGAGAAUCCAGUACUUCUUGGUCAAAUGAAGAUAGGAAAUUAUUAGCCUAAGGACUCUCCUAAUCGGGUUUUGAUGAUAACAAACCAUGAUUAAAUGACUAAUUGGUUUAAUGGUUAAGAAUCUCAAGCAUAAACUCGAAAAUUCAUCAAAUGACCAAAUGGAUACAAGAUCGAGACAUUUGGAAGACUUGUGAUCAUAGGAAACUAAUGUAAGAUGAAUGCAUGAGUGCACUUAGGAUUUUCAUACCGUUUCAUACAAUUUAGAAAACUCAGUUUAUUCUUUAAAACUUCAAUUUCAUUAAAACCCGAGUUUUAACAAUUGUACCUCAGGCAAAAUGUUUUAAAAUUGGCAUAAUAAUUCACCUAAAAACCUUGCCUAAGUGUUAGGAAAGAAAGGAAUUGAAAAAGAUAGGUUUUCGGGGCCAAAAGGCUCAACCGGUCGAGGCUAUGGCCAACCAACUCAACCGGUUAGGGAAUCGGUCGACUGGUUACCCUUGUCCAGUUGAGGUCCGAUCGAAGGAUGCACAAAAUUUUCUCUCUCUCCCAGUAGCCUUCUCUUCCCGGUUGAGGUUAUUCUCUUCCCUGUCGAGGUCCGGUAUAGGCAACGGUAACCUGUCAAGCAUUAAAUGCUCCAACGGCUAGCGAACCGGUCAACCCCUAGCUCGACCGGUCAAGGUUACCUUUUGUUGUUUUUGACUCCCGAGCUUAGAAACCUAUAAAUUGAGAGCUCCACUUCAUUUAUUGACGAGAUAACACUUGCAAUCAAUUGUCUACCUAUUUGUUCUUGAUCAGAAAGCUCUCAUUUCUUUCUUAGUACAUUAAAUCAUCACUUGCAUAUCCUUUAGUGCACUCUUGUGUGUCAUCCUAGAUUUGUCUUGUAUUUGAGCUAUCUUUAAGCUAGGUUGAGGGAUUCAUUCUUGUAAAAACCGAGUGUUAAAGCCUUCAAGAAGUUUAAAUCUUGAAGAGAUUGUGUAAGAGUCCAUUGGAGCCAAAAUCCAAGUGUAAGAAGAUUGGAAGUUUGGUUGAAGUUUCAAGUUAGUGGAACCUUCACUCGGUUAGGAGAUUGAGGAGACUGAACGUAGGCAAAGAAGUGUCGAACUACUAUAAAACCCGAGUUUGAAUUCUCUAACUCUAGCUCUUUAUUUUGCUUAUAUUGUGCUUGAACUCGUUGUGAUUUAAAAGAAUUUAAAAAACCCCUAUUUGGGUGUUUUUCUUAAUUAAGCAUAGCCUUUAUUUUCUCAUAAAUAAUCUUACAAAAUCUUAGUACAAACUUUAGCCUUAAAUGAUACAAAAUAAACUAGGAUUGAAUGGUGCACUAAUGAUAUGUAAGUUUUAAAACAAUGUGUACAAAAAACACUCCCCUAAAGCUCAAAUAUAUUCGAGAAAGGUUUAAGAAGGUUAAACUCUUGAAACAAUAAAUAUUGAAACCUUUUUAUAGAAGAGAAAAACCAAACUACCUGUUGGGGAUUCGUUCGAUCAAGCUCUGGUUCGACCAGUUCACUAGCCUUUAGCAUUUAAUGUAUGAUAGGUGACCAUUGGACCUUGACUACCCCUUGAUUGGUACUCGACCGGAUGAAGUUCAACCUUGAUUGAUCGAAUAAGCAUUCUGGAAGAGAGAUAAGGUUUUUGCACCUUUCAACCGAGUAAGCUGAAUAGGUCGACUAAUUUCUCAUUCGAUUCAACCGAUUGAGUCAUUUUUUGCUCAACAACUAUUAUUUUCAACUUAAAACCUUUUAAACAAGUUUGGAAAGCAUUUGACAUAAGGUUUUAGUUGAAAACAUGAAAUCAUCCAAUUUUUAAAAGAUUUAAAACAAAAUAACUCUUGAAUGAUUUUGGUGUAUAAGUAAAGAAUGUAAUGCAUGAAAAACCCAAUGCACCAACAACCUUACAAAGAGAUCCUAUGAGUCUUAGGUCUUGAAAAACACUUAUCUUUAAGGUCUUCUUCUUCUUAUUGAUUUUAUCUUUGUGAUUGCCACUUUGGAAAUCAUCUUGCCUAGUCACACUUAAAAUAUAAUCAUUAGUUCUAAAUCUUGUUUUGUUAUCAUCAAAACUAAGAUUAACCAAACCUUGGUUUCACAAUAUGAAUAUUGUAUCUCUAGAUCUAUAGUUAAUAGUGGUUUUUAUAGUCAUUUGUUUCCAUUGCGAUAAAUUUAGAGAAGCUUAGGGAUAGAUGAAUGCACCCUAUGAGAUCUAGGGCAUAGGAAUGGAGUAAUCCGGGGUUCCUAACAUAGUUUAGGCUUGUGCUUCAUGGAGUGAUAACAAUUCUUCAAGCAUAGUUAUGCUUUAGAAAUUUGUUAUUGAUUGGUCCAAUUUUUAGACCAUCUUCAGCAACAAUCUUGUGUGCACCAUUGAUAUAAUCUUGUUAUACAAAAUAUGAUCUAUCACAUUUUUGGCAAGAACUUUCCACUGGUUUUGUGCAUGGUAAUGAUCAUGCAUGCAAACUUAACUAAGUUAUACACUAGAUGCCAAACUACUACAAUUCUUAUACACCUUCCCGUUUUGUGCAACUGAACAAUUCAACAUCAUAACACCAAAGUUCUUGCUUAGAUUUCCUACAGUGCUAAAAUUUUGAAAUGAUUAAUUUGUUUAUUUUUCUUUCAAUCCCAAGACCCACAUACAUCAUGUCAUGCCCUAAGACCCACUCUAAGGGCAUGACAAUCAUUUCACAUCUCAAGGUCGAAAGCUCAAAGUGUAAAUUGACCUUAACAUUCAUUUUGUAACUGGAAAAUUAUCAAUUACCAAAUUCAUAUUUAUAGUAGUAGAAUAAAAUUCUACAAGUUUCAAAUCUCAACUUUAAAGUUAACACAUCAACUAAAGUGUUAUUGUCCAAACAACUUCAAACUUAACAAUUCAAGCAAUCAUUAAAUUCUAACUUUCAAAAAAUAUUUUUUAAAAAUAAAGAUUUAACGAAAAGUCUUAGUAUUGCCAAAAUCUCAUCCUAACCUUCACUCCUAGCCUGAAUUAAGGUGCCUAAAAAAUUGUCAAUGAAAGGAAAUGAGAUCAACGCUCAAUAAGGAAUAUUAAUAAGGUUUCAUGGAUCAAACAUUUUUAAUUAUAAUUCCAAAUAGGAGAUAUAAUAUAUAAUCAUUUUCAUAAGAAAUUUUGAGUUUAAAUAUAAUAAUAUAUUGAAAACUUUUCAGCUAAACAUUUUCAUAUCUAUGUCAAAACAAUUUCAUAUCAAAUUCAAAUCAAAUAUAUACAAAAUAUUUUUACUUUGGUUAUCAAAUGUCACAUGGUGUCAAGUUAGGUGGGACUUUACAAAUUGGUGUCUAACCUCAAAUUUUUUCCUUUCAAGGUGGACGAAACCAAACACUACUAGUAUUAUUAACAUCUAACCAAAUCCCUAAAGGGUGAGAUCUAAAGCAAUUACAUUCUCCGCCAAGAAAUAUAAGGUCAACAAUUAUAACUCGUUGACUAGGGACAAAAAUAAACUAGAGUCAAACACCUUAUUUCAUUAAUUCAAACUUGCAAAACAAAAACAUCAUAUCUCCAUAAUUUUCAUUUUUUAUAAACAAAAGAAAUGUUCUAACAUAGUUUUUUCAUGAAAAAUAUAUAUUUGAUCCAUGCAUAAAAAUAAAAAUAAUUUUUUUAUUAUUCAAAAUAACAUAUAAAAAUAAAUAUGUUCUUUUGGCCAAAACAUGUAUUAAUUUUUCUUACCUCAAAGAAACACUCAAAGACCUUGAAGCAAUUAAUCCUAAAGAAUUUCACCCCAAAAAACAUAUUUCACACCUUACUAAAAAAAAAAAAACAAAACAAAAAAAUUACUAUUGAUUAUUUAUCUAAUAAUAGUUUUGUAUUUUAUAUCACCUAUAUUAUUUUUAACUUCCUAAUAAAUAACAAUUUAAUAAGCGAUUUUCCAAAUUUUUAAAAGUUAUGUUCUUUCCAAAAUUUAUUCAUAAUAUUCUAUUAUUAUUAUUAUUAAUUAAAUCUCUCAAAAAUAUGUUUUUUCUAUUUAUUGCAUUAAACUAUUAUUAUUAUUAUUCAAUUUCAAUUUGAUUAAUUGGUUUUUUCUUUUAAAUUCCUAAUUUAUAUAAGAUUCUUGUUUUGAAAAUCUUCCAUAUUUACUUAUUUGUUUAAAGUAAAUUUCUCCAAAACUUGUUCCUUUUGGUUAAACAAGUAUCUUUUCCUAUUAUUAUUAUUAUUAUUAUUAUCCCUAAUAUUAUAUUCAAAUAACUAAACAAUAAUAAUUUAAAUUAGUGAGUUUCCAAAUUUUUAUAAAACUCAUAUUCAUUCUAAAUCUUAUCAUAUAUAUCAAUUUCUUUUAUAUACUUAAAUUAAAUUAAAAAAUUUACUUAAAAAAUAUAUAUAUUAUAUUAUUACUUUCAACAUCCUUCUACCACCCAAACAAUUACUUCAAGUAAAAGUCAUAUAUCCUUAUUCUACUAACUAUCCUCUCUCUUGCAAUAGCACACUUAGGGAUGGCAAUGGGGUGGGUUCGGGAUGGAUCGCCCCUAUCCCAACUCCUCCCCAUUUAUUCAAAAUAAUUUUCAUCCUCGUCCCAUUUAAAAAAUUAAAUGAGGCAGGGCGAGUAUGAUAAAUUCUCAUAUUCGCCUCGCCCCGCCCCGUUUAACUCUUUUUUGAAUUUUUUUUUAAAAUUACUUUAAAAAUUUUUAAUUACAUUAAAAUAAAUAUAUUUUAUAAAUAAUUAAAUUAUUAUAUUUUUUAUAACUUAUUUUAUUAAAAAUAUUUUAUUAUUAUCUAUAUAUUAAAAAUAGUAAAAUAAAAAUUAAAUUAAAUUAAUUUUAUAUAUAAUUGGGGUGGGACGGGAUGAGGCAAUACCCAAACCUGCUCCGGGUUUUAAAAAAAAUUCUCAAACCUAUCCCAAACCCGUUUAUUAAAAUUAAAUCUCGUCUCAUUAGGGACGAGGCGAGUACCUGAAAAAACCUGCCUCAUUGCCAUCCCUAGGCAAACUUUCAUUUUUUUUUUUUUUUUUAUCUUUUUCCUCCUUAAGAUCAAUCCUAUUGUAAGCACCCUUUUUUUUUCUACCACAUCUUGUUGCAAGCAACCUUGUAAGUUUUUUUAAUUUAAAUUUUUUUUCCACUAUGGAGGCACGUACAACCAUAAAACCUCCUCUUUUUUUUAUUUUAUUUUUACAACUCUCAAAUCUCUCAACCUCCAUACUAUUAGGUUUUAUUCAUUUAUUUAUUAUUAUUAUUAUUAUUAUUAUUAUUCCAUAUCCAAAACUAUAAUUAAUUUUCUUUUAUAUUUUUUUAUUUUAGAUCUAUUAAUUUGAAUAUUCGAAAUUUUCUAAUCUUACUAAUAACUCUAAACGUUCAAAACUAAUUAAUGAAUAUAAAAUAUUAAUCUAAGGAUUAAAAUCUUAUAUAGAAAAUUGAUCUUUAAAUCCUAAACUCCCAAAUUUUCAACCUUACGUUGCCCUAUGUUGUCCAAUCUCUUAGAUCUCCAUGUAAAAGGGUUUUUUUUUUUAAUAGAGUAAAUAAGAAAAAUUUAAUUUAUACCUAAAAUUUUAAAAUGGAGAAAAAUCUUUCUACCCUUAUUAAUUUAAUUAAUUUUUUUAAAUUAUGUUUUUACCCUUGAAUUGGGUCUGGGCAUCACACAUCAUACUAAAAAGUUAUCAAUAACCAUCCUUUGAGGCACAUUAGCAUAAAUUUGCGACUUUAGUUGUGUUCUAGGUGCAAUUCUAUUAUGUUUAAUUGAAAAAUAACACCCAUAGCACAACCAAGCCUAAUUGACAGCAUUUGGGCAAAUAAAUGGUAAAUUUCUAAAAGUUCACCAAAAAAAAAAAAAAACAAAAAAGAUCAUAAAGGGCAUAUUUUUCAAGUCAACCUAGUUUUGGGAUAUUGCAAUCCAAUCUAAGAAUGCAAUAAUAGCUCUUUAAUUCAUAAUUUUAAAUUCACAAAAGAUAUCACCUAAAAUUACUAUAGGUUACCAAAACAUCAACAACAUAUAGAAAGCUUAGAAAUGCUUGGAACCUAUCGAAUUUUCACUUUUUAGGAAUAAAAAAAAAAUGAACUUUAAGGAUUUUAGGGUAAUACUUGCUUGAACCAUCUUUCAAUCCUUUUGUUGGCGGUGGGCCUUUUACCUAUAAGAACAGGAAUGAGAGGUGAAAAGGAGGGAGCCUUAUGAAAACGGAUCCCUAGGGCUUAAGAAGGGGUUUUCAAUUUUAGGGUUUGUCUGUUCACCAAGGAUGUGAAUGGGAAGAUGAGGUGAAGUUAAGAGAUUGGUGAAGCAAAGUGAGGGCAUGGUAGGGUUUGAAUAAGGGAAAGUCUACACUAUUAAUGAAGAUGAUAAUCUUUAGAAAGCAAAGCUAAGGUAAACUAGGGCUUUAACAACAAUUUUCGAUCUACACUAGUGAAGACGAUAUCUUCGAAAACCAAAGCUAAGGCAAGCUAGGGCUUUAAUAACGAAUUUCAAUCUACAAUGGUGAAGAUGAUAAUCUUCGAAAACCAAAUCUAUAAUGGUGAAGAUGAUUAAAAACUAAAUCUAUAUUGGUAAAGACGAUUGGAAAGCAAAUCUACACUAGUGAAGUCAACGAAACCAAAGGUAGGUAAAAAUAAUAAUAAUAAUAAUGCAUUCUUAGAUCCAAAUCACCAUUUCCAACAUGGUAUUUGGAUUUCCACCUUGUAUUUUUUGUUUUUAAUUUUUUCAAUAAUCAAGGACAUUUUAGGGAUUAUUAAGUGACAAUAUUCUUCAACUCAAUUUCCCACAUUAGUUAGGUGUAAGGCUCAAAUGUGAAACUCAUAUAGAUGUUAGGCCAAUCAUCAAACUCAUUUGCCUUGAAGCAUAAUUUCCCCUUUUUAAAAUAGUUGUUAAACAUCUAUCCCCAACACUUGUAACCCUUUGAAGUGCUUGUAUGUUAACCUUGUUUCCUUUUUCUCAUGAAACAUGGCUUAUUGAUUGUUGCAUUGAGUCAUUAUCAUUCACCAAAUCCAUGCAACUAUGAACUACCUUUCAAAUCCCUCGAACAUAAAUGGUAAUUCCAAAACAACUCAAGUAUAAUCUUUCCAAGCCCUUCAAAUGAUUUAAUUAAUUGAUGUUUGAAUAUACUUCAUAUAUUUUUUUAGAGCAAUUUUUUAGGCAUAUAACAUAAAUCUCUAAUUUCAUUUUAUUUUUUUUAUAAAAGGUUUUAUAUUUUAUAUUACAAUUUCCUCUCUUUUUUUUCAUCUAAAAAAAAAAACAUAAAACCUUCGUAAACGAGUUUUGUCACAAUCCCUUAACAGGUAAUCUAUUUUUAAAAAUUACUUUAACAUUUUUAGAUAUAUUGAUUCAGUCUAAUUUAAUUUUAAUAUUUUUUAUAAAAUAUUUUUAUUUUAUAUGAUUAUAAAUUAAUUACUAUUGAUUGCAUAUUAUAGAAUAUAUAUUCUAAAAUAUAUCCUAUUCACAAUAAUAUCAUAAGAUAUUAUAUCCAUAUCCUAACAUAUUAUAUACUUUUAUUUUGUGCAAUUAGCAACAGGGUGGAAGACGGCUUAGGCGGGAGACGGCUUAACGGAAAUGCCGUCUGCCAUGCGUGUCCCUUCCCUUAGUGAGUCUGAACAGCUCCAACAUUUCCGACACGCCCUUCUUCGCUUAGCUCUUAAGUAUUUUCGUCCCGUUUUCAUUAACCCCAUCACAUUUCGCCAUGUGGAUCUAAGCCUCAUGGUCCUUUCGUUCGUACGAUGAAUAUUCCCCCAAUUCCUUAUCUACACUAAACCUCCAUACUCGCCAUCUACUCAACCACUUCUCUACUCUAGAGUCUGGAUCCUUUAUCUCUGCACGUGUCUAUGGCUCUUCACCCCAGCAAGUAUGGCAUUACAAGGGCAAUAUCGUCAUUAAAGACCCAAAAGGCAAACGAAUGGCAUUAUCUCCCUUUUGGGUCUAUUCUAUUUAUAUUGUAAGUUUUUCGUGAUGACUUCUCUCAUAACAGCUAAAAACCACUCCAACAGAGCACACUUCACUUCUUCGUUUUUGUCUUUCCUCUUUUUUUUUUUUAGAGAAGCUGAGAAAGCCCAGCUCGCCCUCAACUCCCCGAUGGGUUUGAUGAAUGUUCUCAAAUUCUCAGCUGCAUGCUUUGAUCUUCUUGGUUGGUAUGUUGUCUACGCAUUUUCUCGUCAUUGGAAAAUUUUGGAAAAUGAAGUGGAAUUCUAUGUUUGAGGAGAAACUGGGAUUUGCUUUGAUUUCUCCAUGUUGGUUUUAUCCCUUUUGUUUGAAUUGUCCAGAUUCUUGUCAUUGAUUGUUAGUUAUUUGUUUGGAUUUCUACUUGCAGGCCUCUGUUUGCACUGGGUUAUCCUCUGUAAGUCUUGGUCUUACACCCCAAGAUAUGAUGGUUCAUUUACUCUUUUCUUGUUCUAUGAAUUCUUAGUUCAGUUACAUUUAUUGGGUUGGGAAACUGAAAAGGGAAAGGAUUAUUAGUUAUUAUCAUAAUAAUCAUCAAUAUCAUCUCGGUUCUUCACAGAUGUGCUUCAAUUCGGGCAAUUGAGACUAACUCAAUCUCAGACGUUCGGAAGUUGGUGGCGUAUUGGGUUCUAUUUUCCUUGAUUUCACUCUUUGAUCAUACUUUUGCCAAGCUCCUUGAAUGGUAAUUUUGCUCAACUUCAUUCUUUGCCCUUCAGGAAUUUGGAGUUGCUUUUUUCAGUUUUCUUCCUUGUGACAAUAAUCGAGAUGUUUAAUGUUCCAGGCCUCCAUGUAUUUUAUUUUCCUUCACUUCUCUGCUUUGAAAAAUGCCCACAAUCUGAUCAACAGAAAGGUUAUAACAUUUGAAAAAGAAAUGCUUUGUUUUGGUUUUUUAAGUGCAACAAUUUUCAUUUGGAGAAAUGAUCUAAAGGGUAUUGGUGUUUGGCCGAAUUCAUGGAAUUUUCUCGCUAAUUUGGGAUUUAUUCUCAAUUUCAAGAUCACUGUGGAUAUUUCAGAAAUUAAUGAAAUAUAUAUGAUGGAAUGUGAUUUUCUUGUUUAAGAAAAGUUUUUCUUUGAAAAUGUGGGUGACCCCAACCUACCUUAUUGUACUACUUGGAACACAAAACAAAAGUUUUUCUCGCUAAUUUAUUAACUAAAUUGCACACUUUUUGAUAGUUCAAGGAAGUGGUGUCAGCUUUGGAAAUAAGAUGGAUGAUUGUAGGGAACUUUAUUUCUCAUCUUUAUAGGGAACUUUCCAUAAUAUAGCUUAUAAAUAUCAUAAUCACAGUGAUGAAUGAUUGUCUUGUUUGAAAGCAUGGUUGCACUUAUUUCCAGGGAAUUUGUCUGCGUUGAAAUUAAAUUAAGCUUUAUGCAUCAUUUGGAUGCUGGGAAACAAAUGGAAAUAGAAAAUUCAGAAUCUGACAAGUUUGUGUAGGGCAACUGGAUCUAAUCUCUUAGUCGAAGCUUAAUAGGGGCAAAUGCUGAUCAUCUUUGAACCUAUUGAAGGCUCUAAUCUGUGCACAAUUCUAAUGUUUUUGUUUUCUUCAUUUCUUUUUCAACUUUUCAUAAUAGAUGUCAAAAGUUAAAACCGAACUUACGUAGUCCAUCCAAGUGGAUGCAUAUAAAUUUAACAGAAACUGAAAUUUGAAGAAAUUUAUUUUCCCUUUUGUAAAUGGUGUUUAAAAAGUCUGUGUGUAGUUUGGUUUUUUUCCUGGAAGAUCAGAUGAUUUCGUGAUCAUUUUUUCUAUUUGCCUUAUCAUCAUGAGAUUUAAGUAUUUUUUUUAAAAAAAUAUUUUAUUUUCUUAUAUAAUGCAUGUCAGGAUACCAUUCUGGCCUUACAUAAAGCUGAUGGUCAUCUGCUGGCUGGUGAUACCGCAUUUUGAUGGUUCCUAUUAUAUCUAUCAAUACCUAGUUCAUCCACGCUUGUCCAUGGAUCCACAAGUUGUCAUGAAUUGGCUCUUCAAUGAAUCAAAAAAGAAGUUUCAUAGCAGAGAAAACUUUCUUGUUUCAGCAGACCAAUAUAUUAAGGAGAAGGGACCUGAAGCUUUGGAGAAACUACUUGCAAGGAAGGUAUGCCAUUAUAAGUAGGAUUGUCAACAAGUCAAAUAGAGUUUUAUUUGAGAUGUUCAAGUAAAAAAUUACUAUAGCAGGUCAUCUAGAAUUAUUGGUCUAAAUUCAUGUAUAUAUCUAUAUAUAAUUGUGUUCUCUUUUUUUCACAUAUGCAUGUGCAUUUAGAUUUACGUAAUUAUAUAUGCAUAAUCAGAUUCAACUGUGAUAGCCCAGGAUUUAAUUCAGUAAUCAACUCUUCUGGGAACAUGUUGGUUAUGGUUUCUCUCUCACUGUCCUCUUAUUUAUACAUGACUUUGGCUUCAGUUGAGGAGCACAAAGCCUAAUGUUGAAGUGAAAGAGAUCAAAGGACCUGCAGCACCGGAGAAAAAAGGGGAACAGGUAUGCACUCUACUAUUUUAUUUCUAUGGAGGCAGAUCUCCAGAGAAAUGUUGCUCAUGUAAAUUAGUGAUGCAUUUAAAAGAAAAACCACUUUAUGUAUGUUUCUGUGAAAAAGAGAACAAGUUUAUGGAUUAAGUGAUAUUUUUUAUGGUGAAAUAAUCAAUAAUUUUCAAAAUAAUAAUAUAUUCGUGCAUGUUUUUGCAAUUCAUGAAUUCCUUUUACGAUUGAUUCUUCUCACCUCAGUGGAAGUGUGAAGAGCCUAAUGUUGCAGAAAAGGAGAUCCAAGUAGUCAAAGUAACAGACAUAAAAAAUGGGGGGGAUGGAGCAAAGAGGGUAAGUUUUCCUUUUUAUUUAUAAGGAAGGCUGUCUUCACGCAAGGAUUAUUGUUAUUAUUUUUAAGACAUGAAUGUUGAAUGCAUUUGGAAUUGUCGUUGAAUCAUGUGAAGUGUGAAGGUGCAAAUGGUGCUAAGAAGGAGAUCAAAGUGAUGGAAGUAACACAGAGAACAUUUGGUGAUACAGCACAGUGGGUAAGGUUUCUUGUCAUACUUAAAUGGCACCUCAUAUUUCACUAGGAUUAAUUUUGGCCUACAAACAUAUUUGGCUACAAGUUGAAGACAGCUUUCCAGAUACUGGUAAAAGUUGAGACAUAAGUAAUGAAUGAGUUUAGAAACAUGCACAACUCUUGUGUGAAACACAAUGAGAGUGGAAAAUAGCUAAGUUGAAAAAUGGCCAAAUACUAUUUUGUAGUUCACCCCACCACUUAAGUAAUUUUUGUCAUCCUUUGUGAAUGGAAAAUGCAGUCCCUUCAGUAAUUCUGCAUAUAACCAUUAGUGUCUUGUCCUAAGUUGACCUUUAAUGAUGGUCCAUUGAGAGGGAUCUGACUUUUGUCAACCCUCUUAUUCCUUUGAUCAUAGAGGUUAAACAUACGGGGCUUAACCCACUUUUCAAUCUCAUUGGAUAUAUGGCAUGUGGUAUCCUCUUCAUCUUGAAAGAGUGAAGUGGUCAUACUCUUUCCUGAGUCCAUCGUGGCCAUGCACUUCUGGCUCAUUGGGCAGAGUGAAAGGAUUCCCUUCUGCUUCAAAUCAUAGAGAGAUAUGCCAUGGUCAGCCUCUUUAAUUUGAAGGAUUGAAGUACUCAAAUCGAUUUCUUUGCAUCCAUCUUAGUCCUGCUUUCAUGUCUCAUGGUUAACCAGGAAGAUCAAGCUUCCAUCCAUGAGAUCAGCAUCUGCAGGGUUAUGACACCACCCUUCCUUGGCAUAGGAAAGCGAUCAUUAAGCCACAUGUCGGAUGACAGAAGUCGUCAUUCAGGUUAUCUUGCGAACUAGGGAAGUUGGAAUUCUAAUUAUUGCAUAUGGUUCUUGAUGUUUAGCCAAUAUACUAUAGGAUUUUAAGCAUCCUGCCCAUGUGCAUUGUGGUUUUUUAUCAGCUAUAUGGUUUACCAAACUGAGGGAUUGAUUAUAGUCAUAAGUACCCUUUUCCCAUUAAUUUCUUGCAUGUGCUUUGCUGAGAUUAUGUUUUUGACAGUGCUAAUCAGGGCAAACCAACAAACAGCUUUAUGUUAACUUUUACAAACUGCCACAUUUUCAGGUUGAACGAUCAGAGAUAAAUCUUGGUGAAACUAGAAGUAAUACAACCUGUGCCGUGGAGAUAAAAGAAAGGGCAGCAGCACUGGUGGCUGCAGAAAUUGAGGCAUGUAGAGACGAUAGAACCCCCAAGAUACCUCUUCAUGAGAAAGUCCAGAAAGAGUGGGCUUGUGCUGUGUGCCAGUUCACAACCCAAACUGAAGCGACCUUCAAUUCCCACCUUCAAGGGAAGAGACAUCAGGCCACUUCUGAGCAGUUGACAGCCAAAAACCAGGCAACCAAAACCAAUUGUUCCCCAUCUGCUUCAAAGGCCAAGAAAUCUGAUCAGUCCACCAAAGAGGAGCAACCGAAGUGUCCUUCCAAC